GUUCAAAAACACUGGAGUGAUUGUACAACAUAUGACACAGCUUACACUCGACCAUAUGAACAAAUUAAUAUUUCUGACGGACUUCCUUUUUACAGAGGGAGAGAUGUAGAUACAAGCUCACUGACACCAAAAACCAAAUUGCAUGCAUAUGGCCUUAUGCAUGCCAAGGGUAGGAAACUAGGAAUGAACAAAAAUCAAAUUCCUACCCCCCUUAACCCAAAAAGAAACUAUAGGGAGAACUCGCCAAUAAGAAGCUUCCGGAUUUCUGACUUCUCCCUGAAAGCCAUCAGUCCGUUCAAUUGCAAUCCACCAAACCGAGCAAGCUAUGUUUUGUUCAGCUAGAGUAGUAGUUUAGGUUCAUGGGAAGCAACAGUUUUUAGCUGUUAACAAUGGGAUUCUCCCAUCGGGCACCAGCAGGAACUUCACAAGAUCGGCACUAGUAUCUCCUUCCGAGGAACACGCCGAUGACCACUGACAGCAGGGCGACGCCCAGGAUGAACUUGACGGCCAUGAUGCCGGAGGGCUCCCGCAGUUGUUGCUGCGCCGGGUUCGGGGAGGCCGUGCUAGGAGCCUGAGAUAUGUCGUGCUGUUUGUUUUGCGGUGCUAACGAGUCCAGGCUGAAUUCUCGGGAUCUCGUUGACACCACUGCAUCCUUUGCCUGCAAAAAAGAUGAUGUUGUUAAUUGCUGAUAACUACUGAUCAGGGUACUCAGGAUAUUUCAUAGCAUCUUUUUUCUUCUUUGCUUGCCUGUACUUCAGAUUUGGAAUGAGCAAGCUGCAACUUCUGCUCAAGGUCCUGUACCUUCUUCUCCAUUUCAGCGCUCUUGCUCACAUCUUGGGUUAGCUUGUUGAGCUGUGUAUUGACAAGAGCGAGUUUCUCACUCUCCUUUGCAACCUGAAAAAAGAAACAGCAUAAAUCAGUACAUGAGAAAAAUAUUGUAGACAUAUAUACUUAUAAACUGUCUAUAAAGUGUCAAAGCAACAUGAGGACUAGAAAUUCCAAUGUCGAAGCAAGUUUUUGUGAAGUAUGGGGGUAUUGUGUGAAUCUAUCAGCUUUUUAUCGUCAAGAAUCUGCAAGUAUGACUACUACAACAGAUUGAAAAGGCUAGUUGUGCUAAUUUAAACAUGUUCCUGUAAUCGUGUGAGGCAAUGCAUUUUCUAUUCAUGUUCCCUCAUUCCAUUGUCAUGCAAGCCUUUGAUCAUGAUGCUUCUGUUCUCAAUGAGAGAAAGCCGAGCAAUAAGCCAGAUGCCUCAGAACAAAGCAGGCUUCCAAAUUUAAGGAUUUGAAGGAAAAUAACAGAUGGAUUUUAUCGGGCUGCCUUAAUCUUGGAUCCAUAACACCCAUCAGAUGUAACAGGUGAACUAGUAUUAUAACCUCAAAUGGAUACUCGGAUAGAAUCCAACCUUUUUCUCGUAAUGGAUCUCAGCUUCUUGCAGCUGCUGAUUUAGAGCUGAUACUUGUACUUCCAGCUCUGCAGCGUGUUUUUGUGCAGCUUCUAGUUGAUCCGCUGAAUACGUCUUAAACGCAUCCCACUUUAUCUCCCUCACUGAAGCUUGCUCUUCCUGCCAAAACAAAAGUUUUUCAUGUCAAGAUCAGUUCAAACAACAACCAAAUUUUGAAAAACCGAAGUGUUAAAUUAUCUGGAAUCAUUCAAGUCAACAACUUCAUACAUGUCAACAACAUAGCCAUACAAAGAGGCAACUUUCUAUCUGCCAUCAUUUUCUGAUGGUACCAGUUCAGCAGAUAGGGUUGACAGUAAGAAAAUGAUGGAUCCGGCCAUCCCUUUGUAUUUAGCAGAAAUGCUUGACAGUAAAAAAUUGUUUUAUUAGAAAAAUAGUUACAACGCCAAUUUACCUGGUUAGCUAUGGUACGGUAAGCAGCCUCCAGUUCUUUCCUAACUUCCAGCAAUUGUUGCUCCAACUGAUCUUUUUCAUGGACUAAGUUUGCAUGCUCCUGCAUCUUGCAUGGUACAGGGGCUCUUCCUCAACCGGUGGAGGCCGAGGAUAUGCUCGGGUGGACAAGGGACAGAGUAACAAUGGUUUCCAAGGACCGACCGGGAACUUUGUCGAGGGAGCUCCCAGUCCCAACCGUGCUUUUCGCGGGCGCUUCCGUGGAGGUCGGGGCGGUAACCGCAGGUUUAAUCAGACUCGGUAUGCUAGGACGGCUACAGUGACGGAGGUCGCGGAGGGUGCAUCAGAGUUACCCCAGGUGGCAGUGGAGACGGUGCAGGCUUUGGCUUCAGUCUCGCUGCCUGAGCCUAUGCAGACUGAGGAUACUGUUUCCGAGCACGGUUCUGACAAGGUCGAGAGUGACAAAUUGUCUAAGUGGGCGGCUAAGAAGAAAAAGCUCACUUGUUUCCGGUGUGGGGAACCGGGGCACUUUUUGGUCCAGUGUACGGCGGAGCUUUGUGAUCUUUGCCGGAAGCCUAAUCACACAGCGGCUGACUGUCCUCUGAUGUUGGGGCCAAAACCUUCCGUCCAGAUAUACGGGGUGUGUUGCUCCGAGUUGAUGUUUUUUGAAUCUCCGUCUGCGGAACCUUCCGCGCCCAUAGUGGAAACCUCCUUCCCCGGUGUUGUGAAGGUGGUCCACGGGCCUUUGACCGAAGCACAGAUUAUUCAGCAGUUGAGAGAGCUAGCUCCGGGUAAUUUUCAGUGGUCAUUACUUAAGCUCUCUGAUAAUUCGUAUAAAGUGGACUUCCCUUCUAAGGAGGAUCAGGUGAGGAUUCUCAAGUUUGGUAUGAGCAGGGUCACAGGCACUAGCUUUGUGCUGGCGUUCGAUGAGUGGAAAAAGAAAGAACCACAGGGCACAGCUUUAACUCAGAUUUGGGUUCGUUUCUCUGGUGCCCCGUCUGCUCCUUUGGACAGCUUUCUGGUGACAUGGAGUCUGGGGUCGCUGAUAGGUAAGACCGAGCAGGUGGAUAUGCAGUUCACUCGGGCUCAUGGAGUCGCACGACUGCUAGUUAGUGUCGCCAAUAUUCAGUUCUUGCCAGACGUGGUGCCUUGGACUUACGCAGGCGUUCUGUAUCAGUUGGACGUGCACUAUGAGGAUCCUGAUCUUUUCAAUGAGUUUGAGGAUGACAAUCCCAUGGACACUUCUGAGGGAGGUGGGGGUUCAGGUACCAGGGAUGACAAUGCUAAGAGUAAUGAGGAUAAGGCUUUGGGACCGUCGGGGCAGUCGGAGAAUGCCGACUCCACUCCUGUUGGGCCGUCCUCCACGGUACCAACUACCACGCUUCAGCUGGGUUCUCUUGGGGCCUUCUCGGCGCCGCCGAGAUUGUCGAGUGUUAGGGCUGGUCCUCCGAGUCCAAGACUUAGAUUAUGUGUGGGGAGGUCGGUCGACCACACUGAUGAGGUGGGGCAGCAGGCCCCGUCGUCUGUCCCUCGCUCGCCUUCGACCAUGGCGAUCGUGGCGGAGCCGGUCGCUGCGGGACGAGCGGACUUGCAGGAGGCUAGACCUUCUGGGUCCUUGAUGUGGCUGGAGACUGGGGGCGGCGCGGCCCCACUGGAGAGGUCCCCGGAUGGCAGGGAAACGGGUGCGCAGGAGGCCGCCCUUUCUCCUGCGGUGGCACUGGAAGGCAGCCUGGUGGGUGCGCUUCCUGCGGAACCGGCAGCGCCUUUUUCUUUGGGCACGAGCAUCGGCGAGGUGGAUACUUCGUCAUCUCGGGUGGCUGCUCCGGCGGCUCCGGUGAUGGUCUUAGCGGCUGGGGGACGGGCAGGAGGCUCUUCCCCUAGCGCUACUUCGCGCGAGGAGGUCCGCGAGUUGGAGGAUUCGGCAUCUCUGGUGGCUGCUCCGGUGGCCUCGGUGAUGGCCACUGCGGCUGUGGGACGGGCAGGAGGCUCUUCCCCUACCGCUACUUCGCGCGACGAGGUCAUCGCGUUCGGUGGGAUCCCGGACCCGGUCUCUGUAGGGAGACGGGUCAGCGGGAGACUACAGGAGCACUCCGAUGUUGAUGACAUGCAGCUGAGGUGCGCGUUGAGAGCGGCCAAGCUGCGGGACGUCGAGACUACAACUGGUAUGUCAGUUAAUAAGUCUAAUUCUAUUAUGCAUUUUACCAAUGAAGAGAUUGUUCAUAAUGCAAACCAAAUAGGAGUGUCUCUUGGUAACGAUGAUCUAGAGAUCUCUAAAUCGGUUAAUGAGAUGCUAGACUUGGAAGCUGAACAUGCGUUAGAAUUGAUUCGUAACAUAGCUGCAGUAAAACCGAUGAAUGAGUCGGAGAUUGACAAGCUAGGGGUUAGGGUUCUUGAUAGCUUGUGUGCUGAUCUUGAUCCUGCGGUCCAGGUGACGGAGGAGGAGGAUGAGUAUACCUCUCCGGUAACCACAAACCUAGAGGUGGUGCCUGUGGCCGUAGAGCCUCUUUCCGAGCGUGUUGAAUCUAUUGAUGGUGGGGUUAAGCCUAAGAGGACCUGGAAACGUAAGGUUUAUCCGGUGUCGGCUGUGCGUAGAAGUGCUAGGAUCCGUACCUCCAAAAAAAUUCAUGAUGAAUUAUGAAAGGCAUUUUUUGGAACAGCAGAGGUCUUAAAGACUUGGCUAAAAGACGUUUUCUAGCAGAAGCUUCUAUUGAACAUCACUUAGACUUUAUUGCUUUGUCCGAAACUGGACGAGGUAAUUUUUCAGCACAGUUUCUUAGCACCUUAGCAGGGGGGGUAGACUUUGAUUGGCAUUGUCUCCCACCUCGAGGAAGAUCCGGUGGGGUUCUACUCGGGGUUAAGUGCGAUACGUUGGAGGUUCGGAGUGUAGUGAUGGGUGAAUUUGCGGUUAAGUUUAGGGUAAGAACGAAAGCUGAUGGUUUUGAUUGGGCUUUGGUGGCAGUCUAUGGGGCUGCGCAACCCGAACUUAAACCAGAUUUCCUGGCGGACUUAGUCCGAGUUUGCGGGAAUGAGCAACUACCUGGCUUAGUGGGAGGUGACUUUAACAUUAUUCGAAGAAAGGAAGAAAAGAAUAAUGACAACUUUGACGGCAGAUGGUCCUUUAUGUUCAAUACUAUCAUAGAGAGCUUGGACCUCAGAGAGAUAGAGCUUUCGGGUAGGAAAUUCACUUGGGCAAACUCAUUACCGGUUCCGACGUUUGAGAAGUUGGACCGUGUUCUGGCAAGUGUUGAGUGGGAACAGAAGUUUCCUCUGGUAACGGUGCAGGCGUUGACACGAGGUAUCUCGGAUCACACACCGCUAUUAGUGGACUCAGGGUCCCCAACUCAUUUGGGUAAUAAGAAUAUUUUCUCUUUCGAGCUUGCUUGGUUUGAAAGAGAAGGAUUUAUCGAUCUGUUGGCUAGAGAGUGGGCUAAAGACUCGGGGGGAAGGUCACCCAUGGAGCGGUGGCAAUGCAAGAUUCGUCAUCUGCGAAGGUUCCUUCGUGGAUGGGCUAAGCAUACGAACGGAAUUUAUAAGGCGGAGAAGGAAAGGCUCCUUAUGAUGAUUCACACCCUAGAGUUAAAAGCUGAAACCUCUCUUUUAGAUACCAGAGAGUUGGAGUCUAAAUUGGAGGCCGAGCUAAGGCUGAAAGAGCUUCUCCGUGAGGAGGAAUUGAAGUGGGCUCUCAGAGCUAAGGUUCGCAAGGUUGUCCAAGGUGAGGAUAAUACCCAAUUCUUUCAUAUGAUUGCUAACGGAAAGCAUCGUAAGAAGAGAAUUUUUCAAUUAGAACAAGAUGAAGGAACGAUAGUUGGUCAGGAAAACCUGAAAGUUUACAUUACCAACUACUAUAAGCAGUUAUUUGGACCUCCGGGACGGAGUUUUGUGUCUUUGGAUGAGUCAAGAGUUGAGGAUGUUCCCCAACUUCAGACGGAAGAGAAUGAGAUUUUGACUGCCCCUUUCACGGAGAAGGAGGUGUAUGAGGCCAUUGCACAAAUGAAUAAUAAUAAAGCGCCAGGACCAGAUGGGUUUCCGGCGGAGUUCUACAAAAAGUGCUGGCAUUUCAUUAAACAUGACCUGUUGCUCAUGUUUCAUGAAUUGUUUAAUGGUCAGCUUCAUUUAUUCAAGCUUAAUUUUGGAACAAUAACUCUUCUUCCUAAGAAGACAGAGGCUAUUCGCAUUGAGCAGUUCAGACCCAUUUGUUUGCUUAAUGUAAGUUUCAAAAUUUUCACUAAGGUUGGGACGAACCGACUCACGCAGAUAGCGCAUACGGUGGUGCAACCGUCCCAGACUGCUUUCAUGCCGGAUAGAAAUAUCCUUGAAGGGGUGGUCGUCUUGCAUGAAACGCUCCACGAAAUUCACUCAAAAAAACUUGAUGGGGUGGUUUUUAAAGUGGAUUUCGAAAAAGCAUACGAUAAAGUCAAAUGGCCUUUCCUUCAUCAGGCGUUGCGUAUGAAAGGAUUCGACAAGGCAUGGCGCGACCAAAUUGAUUCCUUUACGCAAAAAGGGAGUGUAGGGAUUAAAGUGAAUGACGAUAUAGGUCACUAUUUCCAGACACAUAAAGGCCUAAGACAGGGGGAUCCAAUGUCACCGAUCUUAUUUAACAUAGUAGCUGAUAUGCUAUCUAUUUUAAUAGGCCGGGCCAAGGAGGCGGGGCAGGUUUCGGGCUUGGUUCCGCACCUAGUUGAUGGAGGUAUAUCCAUUUUGCAGUAUGCUGAUGAUACGAUCAUCUUUAUGGAGCAUGACUUGGUGAAAGCUAGGAAUAUGAAGCUUGUGCUGUGCUUAUUUGAACAAUUGUCUGGACUCAAGAUUAACUUCCACAAGAGCGAAUUGUUUUGCUUUGGAAGAGCUACUGAGGACCAGGUUGCGUAUAAGCAAUUGUUCGGAUGCGAGUUGGGUUCACUACCGUUUACUUACUUGGGCAUUCCCAUUCAUCAUCGUAAGCUUACGAACAAGGAGUGGAAGUGUAUUGAGGAUCGUUUUGAAAAGAAACUAAGCUGUUGGAAAGGGAAGCUCAUGUCAUAUGGAGGUCGAUUAAUUUUGAUUAAUUCGGUUCUCACAAGUAUGCCUAUGUUUCUUCUAUCCUUCUUUGAGAUCCCGGUGGGGGUUAGGAAGAGAUUAGACUUUUAUCGAUCCCGGUUUUUUUGGCAAAACGAUGAGUUGAAACGUAAGUAUAGGCUUGCCAAAUGGGACAUCAUCUGUAGGCCCAAGGACCAAGGCGGUCUAGGCAUUGAAAAUCUAGAGAUCAAGAAUAGAUGUCUCCUUAGCAAGUGGCUUUUUAAACUUUCAUCCGAGACAGAGGCUACUUGGGCACAAAUUCUGCGUAAUAAGUAUCUUCAGUCAAAAACUUUAGCUCAGGUGACGGUGCACCCAACUGAUUCACCGUUUUGGAAAGGGUUGAUGAGAGUCAAGCCCCUCUUCUUUAACAGGAUAAAAAUCUUAGUUGGUGAUGGAGCUACUACGAGGUUCUGGGAGGAUACGUGGCUAGGAGAAACACCUCUGGCACGUCAAUAUCCCACACUGUAUAACAUUGUUCAACGUCGAGAAGUAUACGUUGCAAAUGUCUUACAGUCAACGCCUCUCAAUAUUAGCUUCCGGAGGACACUAGUGGGUGAACGAUGGGAGGCAUGGCUUCAUCUUGUACGACGGCUGAUGGAUGUCCAACUGUCUCAGGAUCCAGAUAGGUUGUUUUGGAAAUUGACAAAGGACGGUAGGUUCUCGGUUAAAUCCAUGUAUCUGGAUGUCAUUAAUACUAGUGUCAUUCCUUGCUCCAGACAUGUCUGGAAAGUUAAGGUACCUUUGCGAAUUAAAGUGUUUAUGUGGUUUGUGCAUAAAAAAGUAAUUUUGACAAAGGAUAAUCUGGCAAAACGCAAUUGGGUGGGUUCUGCUAGAUGUAGUUUCUGCGAUUGUAAUGAAACUAUCAGACACCUCUUUCUGGAUUGUCCACUGGCUAAGCUUCUUUGGCGUUCGAUUCAUAUUGCCUUCAAUAUUAUUCCACCUACUUCUAUCAAUAUGUUGUUUGGAACAUGGCUUGAUGGGGUAGACUUGGUUUUAGCAAGACUCAUUCGUGUUGGCGCGUGUGCCUUGUUAUGGGCAGUAUGGAACUGCAGAAAUGAUUUGGUUUUUAACAGAGCAACGAACUUUCAUUUUUUGCAGGUUAUCUUCAGGGCCACAGCGUUGAUCCGUAUGUGGUCGCCACUCACUCCGAUGGAGGACAGGGGGCAUUUGGCUACUGCUUCUACCCGAUGGGAGAUGGUAGCUCGGGUUAUUUUCAACCGGUUUGGAUGGCGGUCAUGUAAUAGGAUAGGCAUGUAGUGCUCCUAUUUUUUGCCAGCCGGUUGUGGCUUUAUGUUUACGCUCGUCUGAGCGGCUUGUCGUCUUUUUUAUUUUAAACCUGCUGAAGACUUUGUGACACUCUCUAUUUUAAUAUUAUGAGCCGUAUGCAUCUUAUUGAUGCAGAGGCUGGGGUUGCACCCCUUUUCAAAAAAAAAAAAGUGCUUCAUUCUUUUCAGUUGUUUCAACUUGCAUGGUCUGGAUCUGUGAAUAUUUGAGAAAUUAUACAGAUAGUGCUUCGAAAGUAGGACCAAUUGCCCUACUGUACAGCUCGUAGUGGUACAGCUCCUGAAUCAUGUCCUUCAGUAGUACCAUGCUAGAGCCAUUCAUCCAUCUAUUGAUUGGCGCAUUGAAAGGCAGGCCUAAGAUUCAGAGAGGAGACUGUUCCAAAGCAGAGCAGGUUCAGUAGUGCUAUACUAAUUACUGUGCUGUCUCACCCGUACUGUCCUCACCUACUGUUCUCGCCCCUACAUGAUAGAAGCUAAUGGGCUUUACUGAGACACUAAUGGCCCAGCUGACCACUGUUUCCGAAGGCUUUUCAGCCAGUUAAUUGUCACUAGCUAAGCUUGUGGUUGUGGACGCCAAUCCCUUAACAGCUCUCCGUACACCGGUGCUGGGGUCUCUGAAACCAUCUCUUGAAACCAGCAUUUGCAGCACCAACUGAAAAAGUGGACAUUCAAAUCGGCUCACAUGAGCAUUUGCUUUCCUGGGUGACACCAAUGCUGUGUUUUUUCAAAGUAUACACAUGUAGUACGCGUCAGCAAAACUCGAUGUUGCCACUUGGCCUCCGGCGCAGCAAAGCUCAUGUCGGAGUAAUCUUGAAAGAACCAAGGCACUUAUAUAAGCAGCGGCCGAAAAGUCGUCGACGUAUAUCAGAAAAAAGCCGGCGACCACGAUCUCGAGAGAUCACCUUUCCAGGGAAGCUAGUUUUUUUUAGAAAAGGAGGAUGACCCCCGGCCUCUGCAUCUGGGAGAUGCAUAUGGCCACUUUACUGAUUAUUCUCGAGGACCUUACAAAGUAUUACAACAAUGUGCUUGAAUCCACCGUCUUGGCAACACAUGCCGCUACUCCUAUCCAAAAUGAUGAAGGGGUGCUAGCUGGGCCACUACCCAAACCACUCACCUAAGCCUAACAUCAAAAGCCGGAAGCCGAAACAUAUCCGGAAGCUUCAGCCGAGCCACAUACCGGGUCUGGGGCACAAUCCAGUCAGACGCACUCGUGUGUCGUCGCCGCCAUCUUUCACGGGUCCGUCUUCAAAUCAUAUUGAGGCUUCUACCUUGUCUGGCCACUCUGCCAUCGACGCCCCCAUGACGCCAGACAGCAUCCUCCUCCUGCACGAGUCCAUCUCCGCGCAUCAGGCACCGAGUCUCCACAGCACCAUGCCGUCGAGAUCCGCCACCAUCAAUGUGUAAGAUGAAGCACCGCUCCACCAAAGUCGCCGUCCUCUAGUCCCUCGAGUCCGUGUGCACCUCCAAGAAUGACGCCCCCAGGGGGGAAACGACACCAGAGAGCCGCCGUCAUCUGAUCUACUGAUCUAGGGUUUUCCCCGGAGGUAGCAGAGAGUGGCCUUGAACAUCUCCACGGCGAUGCCUUUAGGAAGGGAACGACGCAGACAGCGUCGCCAUCGCCGGCCUUGGCAAUAGCCAAUAGCAGGUUUUCACCCAGAUCUGAUCGAAGACCUCCAUCUCUCGUGCACGGGUCGCCGCCGUCCUUGCCGGGAUCUGGAUGAUCCCGCUUGCCAGAUCUCAGCACGGAGAAGCCCCCCCACCGAGACCCGCCGACCGAGCAGGGGAGGCCGAGGCCACGCCCACAGGAUCAGAUCCGCGAUGGAUCCAAGNNNNNNNNNNNNNNNNNNNNNNNNNNNNNNNNNNNNNNNNNNNNNNNNNNNNNNNNNNNNNNNNNNNNNNNNNNNNNNNNNNNNNNNNNNNNNNNNNNNNNNNNNNNNNNNNNNNNNNNNNNNNNNNNNNNNNNNNNNNNNNNNNNNNNNNNNNNNNNNNNNNNNNNNNNNNNNNNNNNNNNNNNNNNNNNNNNNNNNNNNNNNNNNNNNNNNNNNNNNNNNNNNNNNNNNNNNNNNNNNNNNNNNNNNNNNNNNNNNNNNNNNNNNNNNNNNNNNNNNNNNNNNNNNNNNNNNNNNNNNNNNNNNNNNNNNNNNNNNNNNNNNNNNNNNNNNNNNNNNNNNNNNNNNNNNNNNNNNNNNNNNNNNNNNNNNNNNNNNNNNNNNNNNNNNNNNNNNNNNNNNNNNNNNNNNNNNNNNNNNNNNNNNNNNNNNNNNNNNNNNNNNNNNNNNNNNNNNNNNNNNNNNNNNNNNNNNNNNNNNNNNNNNNNNNNNNNNNNNNNNNNNNNNNNNNNNNNNNNNNNNNNNNNNNGCUCGCCGCCGCGUGCCCCGCGCCCCGCCACCGCUCGCCGAGGCCUGCCGUCGCAGGACACCGCCGCCUGCCGCCUAGAUCCGGCGCCCGCGAAAGAAGGGGAGUCGGGAGAGGGAAUCCCCCCGCUGCCACCGUCUGCCACGCGGGUUUCACCCGGCAGCGUCACCCGGCGGCGGCGCGAGGAGGGGAGAAGGAGGGGCGGCGGCGGUACCUAGGGUUGGAGGCCCCCGAGUCGCCCAGGGCGGGGGCGACGCGAGGGACGGGACGGGCAAGCUCAAGGUUUUCUUAUUAGUACAUCGACAAGGGCCGAGAGAUAAUCCUCCGGGCAGACGGAGAUGGGAGACACCAAACUCGCAAGUUCCCCAUGUAGUUUUGAAUAUUUUCUUUUCUGAAAAAGGCAAUAGAUUCCGCUAGUCUCCACGUAAAUAAAAUAAAACCAACUAAAAACGUAAUAAAAUAAAAAAGGUUAUUUUAGACAUAAUAAUAAAAUAAAAAAAGGUGUCACUGAACAUGUGGGACCAGCACCCACGCGCGCUAUCCAAGGCCGUGUGAAGCGUGCGUGGUUUUGGGUGGCGUUUAUCCAACCAUAGCUGGAUGCACCGAAAACACCACGCGCGCUAUCCAAGGCCGUGUGAAGCGUGCAUGGUUUUGGGUGGCGUUUAUCCAACCGUCGUCGGAUGCACCGAAAACACCACGCGCGCUAUCCAAGGCCGUGUGAAGCGUGCGUGGUUUUGGGUGGCCUUUAUCCAACCGUCGCUGGAUGCACCGAAAACAACUUGUCAAGUAUCAGCUCCAGCAUGGAAAAAGCAUGCCGUGACACCAUCACUGUCGCUUGUGGCCUGGGCGCUUUCACCUGUAUGUGAUAUGAUGAGUGCACCUGCGAAAAUCGAAAUGCGAAGAAAUAUGACCAGAUUCAUGCGCUCGUAUCAUAUGGCCUCCAAAUGCCAGUGAAGCAGAAUCUGCAAAUACAUCUGCCUGGCCUGGAUGCGGUUUACAGUUAAAAAACAAAGCAUUUACAGAGGAAGGUCUUAAUUCUGCGAGUAAUAUAAUAAUGGAAGAGAGGAAUGAAUGGAUGGUAGGGGCCGAAACCCAUCUGAUCUUGAAUAAACACUGGAUAUACAUGGAUCAAAAGCACCGGAGUGAUUGUCACAGCAUCCAUAUGACACAGCCUACAAUCCAUAAGCAAAUCUCUGACUCUGGUUUUGACUGAAUAUAUAUAGAUGAGAAAAACGNNNNNNNNNNNNNNNNNNNNNNNNNNNNNNNNNNNNNNNNNNNNNNNNNNNNNNNNNNNNNNNNNNNNNNNNNNNNNNNNNNNNNNNNNNNNNNNNNNNNNNNNNNNNNNNNNNNNNNNNNNNNNNNNNNNNNNNNNNNNNNNNNNNNNNNNNNNNNNNNNNNNNNNNNNNNNNNNNNNNNNNNNNNNNNNNNNNNNNNNNNNNNNNNNNNNNNNNNNNNNNNNNNNNNNNNNNNNNNNNNNNNNNNNNNNNNNNCAAGCAAUCCUUCUUAUUGCAUGGCCAACAACAAAAGGAAAUAAAUGGUCUCUGCAUGCAUUUCCAGUCCCAGUGCUUCGCCUCUCAACACCAUGCUGAAACUGGAGGUCUGAAACUAGCGUUGUUCGCACCGAAACAUUUCUUCUGUCCGAAUCAUCCUCUGUUACAGAAAACCGAGAUGAUGAAAAUGCGUCGGUCAGACACAUUCGAUGUUGGCAAUAUGCUGAACAGAUCCCUUGCGGCCUCCUUCCAGCUGCGCGGCGAAGUCCCUCGGCAUGUUCCGCGCAUACAGGUGCUGAAGCGACCUAAGGUACCCGAGGCCUUCAGGCACGGCUUCCAGUCUCCAGAGCUCACGAAGUUCUAGGUAUGUCAAGUUGGUCAUGGAGCCAUCGCUUAUCUCAACUGAACUCAGAUUGUCCAGCUUCCCUAGGAACAGCCGCUUUAGCUUGGGAAACCAUCCAGAACAGAACGCCAGGGACUCCCCGUCAUACGCACAAUAGAGGUUGAGGUAAACUAGGUUCCCCAUUUCAGACAAGGAUUUGAGCGGGUCCUGCGCCAGCCCGGACCAGCGCAUUGUCAGGACCUUGAGCCUGUCAAACCCCUCGGACUCCGGAAAAAGCACCCCUUUCUCCAGCUUGCCCGUCAGGUAAAACUUCUCCAGGUUUCUGAGCGGCUUGAACUUGUCCAAACUGUGGACUUCGUCGUUUUCGCCGCGAGUUCCGACUGCCAGUUUCGUCAGGACGGUCAUCUUUCCGAUCGAAGUCCACAGGUCCACGCCAUGGCCUGGAAGGACUGCCGUGAUGCCCAGGCUUCUUAGCUGCGUCAGGCACCCCAGAUUCUGAACCAAAUCUUUGUUGGCCUUCACCUCUCGGAGAGUUUGCAAGUGCUUGAGCUUGCAGAUGCUACCAGUGACUGAUGUGCCGUACAAAUCGUUGCUCACAGACAAGUGCCGGAGGCUUGAGAGCAUCGCUAUUUCACGUGGCAGCUCCAUCACACGAGCAAACCGGAGGUGCAACGACUGCAGUUUCUUGAGCCUCGCUAUUGAUCUUGGUAUCGUCUUCACUUUCGUACGCGAGAAAUCAAGGUAGUGCAGAUUGAACAGACCAGUUGUAAUGGCAUCUGGGAUGUGCUCGAGGAGGGAGUAUCUGAGGCACAACACCCUUAGCAGCCUGAAAUUCGAUGAAGCAGCGCAGAUCCAUGGAACCGGCACAUGCCUGUCGAACAACAAAAACGAGCGCAGAUGUUGUGAAGCUGGGCCUGGCUGAAAGACCUGGCCUCCGCAAUGCACUGAUACACGGCUUGCUUCGUCGCCGCCGUCUGUCACGUCUGGGUUAUUACAGAUAAGAGCGAACCUCUCUUUUCUUGAUAUGGUCAGCGUCAUUUCUCUCACAAGAUCAUGCACCUGAAAUCUUUUUGGCCUUCCGUACUCAUUCCUUUCCGUCACUUGAAUCAGUGAGCGCUGAGCAAGUUCUUUGAGGUAAUCCUCGGCGACUUCCUCCAGAGUCGUCUCUGUUCCGCGAUCCUCGACGAAACCUUCAGCUACCCACAAUCUGAUUAUCCAUUUCCGUCGUAUUGGGUAAUUUUCGGGGAAUAACCCACAGUACAAGAAACAGUUCCUCAAGUGGCUUGGAAGAUCAUCCAAGCUUAGCUUCAGGAAACUUGAAACCCAGUUCAGCUCUGGAUUAUUUGUUAGUUGCCAAUUCAGUUGAUUGUAGAAUAGUUUCCACUCAUGUUCCUCCAUAUCUCUGUAAGAUAGGAGACUCCCUAUAGCUACUAUAGCGAGGGGCAAGCCUUGGCAUCUCUCCAGAAUUUUUUCUGCCCAGGGAACAAGACCUUGAGGGCAUCCCGAUGUUGCCCUGUUUUGCCUUGAGAAUGCUUUUCUGCUGAAAAGGUCCCAUGAUUCUCUCUGUGGAAGAAGACCAAUUCUGAUAGUCUGGUUAUCCUCUGCAAAUGAUGCAACAGCUUCUGUGCGAGUAGUAAUGAUGACUCUACUUCUGCACUUAUUCUUGACAAAUGCUCGUUCAAGGAAUAACCAAGAAUCUCUAUUCCACAUGUCAUCCAAGACAACAAGGUAUCUCUUGUUCCCGAGGUAACUGUGGAUUUUAUCCACCAAAUCUGUUGGAUCAGUUGUACCAGCUAGCUCAUCAGGGAUACAAAGUUGGUUGAUCAGUUUACUUAGAAGAUCUUCAACGGGAUAAUUUGGUGAUACCGUGAUCCAAGCAUAGCAAUUGAAGUUUUUUCUGAUUUUUUGUUUCCUAUAGAUGCUGCUUACAAGAGUUGUUUUGCCGGAACCACCCAUUCCACAGACGGAGAUAAUUGUACGAUCCAAACCAUCAUCAUCUAUGCAUUGUGUCAACUUUUUUGCUUCAUCUUCAUUUCCUAUGAUUUCUUCAUUGUCAUUAUCAUUUAAGUAGGAAGAAUCAGACAUGUACAUCUUACGAGUAACAUUGUGGCGUGAAGAUCCACCCCCAAGUCCAGCAGCUACUGUUAUGCCGUAUCUUUCUUUCACAGUUGAUAGAUUUUGAAGUCUUUCUUGUACUUGUUUGAGCUGAGCAGAAAUAUCUUUCCAUGCCUUCACCCUCCUUGAUCGAUGGAGUGCCUUAUUCAGAAGACCUUCUGCAUUGUCCAUUUUUCCAAGGAGAAAUGAAUAUUCGUCGAUGAUAUCCUCAACUUCAGAGGCAAUCUUCCUUAUGUGCUUCAGCCAUGCUUUGAGAAUUUGGUUAUUUUCACUAUAUGGAUCUACUUGACUUAUGAAGGCCUGCAUGAUCUCAAAUUCAAUCUCAAUUUGUUUCAUCCUGUUUUCUGUUUCAAGUAAAAUGUUGCCUUCCUUCCCCAAUUUCAACCUAAUUGCAUUCAGUGCAACUCCUCCAAAGGUAGCUCCGAUUUUCGAAAGCACGACAAGUAUCAGACCUUCUGCCAUGAUUCCUGACUUCACUACUUCAGCUGCUUGACCCCUCCCGUCGGUGAUUUUAUAACUGGCAGGAAAUGAGGAAAAUCACUUUGUAAGACACCACAAAUUCAUAAUAAGAUACUUAAUAAAAAAAGGAUACUGUUUUCAAAGCCAUUGACGUCCCUUUUACAUCAUCAGAUUAUUUCCUUGUUCAGUGGCUAUGAGGUAAUGCUAUUAUUGGAAAGCAUACACAAUGUGAUAAUUCUAUUAUUGGGAGGCAUCACGAACGCAGUCCCCUAGGUCCUGUGAUUGCCAAUCUCCUUGCUGCUUAGGACCCGUUUGGUUCACAUAAAUAUAAACACAUAGGAAUAUGAUAUGAAUGCAUGUGCAAAAUAGAUAACCGGAAAACACAUGAACUUUGUAAACUUGAGUGUUUGAUUCACAAGAAUAGAGAAAACAUAGAAAUCCUAAUAAACAUGGUGAAAUCAAAGUCAAACUACGUAAAAAGUAUAAUUAGAAUGCUAUUAUGUCACUAAGGGUCCCAAUCUCGUUCUUCGUGCAUAGAAAUUUUUAAAAAUCAGUUCAAGUGGAUGGUAGAAUUUCCGCGUUUUUCUUUUGAAAUGAGUUCAAAGGAUUCUCUCCUUUUUAUUUGCUCCAUUGAGCCAAACGUAUAAAUAGUGCUACCAUAGGAAGUAAUUAUUGUUUCUAUAUUUUUUCCCUCCACUUUUGAGCCAAAGAGGCCCUGAGCCACUAGGGUGGCGUUUGGUUCGAGGGCAAAGAUGGAUUGGGUGAGGGUAUCCCGUAUCCCCAACCACCUCGUCAGGGAUAGCCAUUUGUUGUUGUUUCGUUGGGUUGGAUAACCACGUCUUUGUUGUUUGGUUGGAAGGAUGAGAAUUGGAUAGGUUGUUGUGAUGACCUCUUUGCUAGAAGAAGGUGGUAUCACCCCUACAAUAUGCAAUUUGAGAGCAACCUUUUGAAAUCAACUCGCUAUACCAUAUUCUCAUUCUCAUACUCUGUUUUUUUGGCACAUAUAACUAAUCUUUGGCUGAAUUGAGUUGUCAAAGAUUAUGUGUGAUUAGGAUAAACAUUACUAAUAGUUAUUGGUCAGAAUCAAUUUGGAAAGUCAAAUCAUCUGAGUUGCAAUUUGACAAUGAUCCCCACAUAAAAAGAAGCAAGCUCUUGCCUCUCUUAAAAAAACUGGUACAAUCCACACUACUUCUACAUUAUUUUUUAUUGAGUACAGAAGCAGGCAUGGCAACCACUAGCAAGUAGAUUAAGGGCCAGUUCUCUCCCCAGCUUAAAAAAAAUCUAGACAUUUUCAUACACCAACUAGCCAGCAGCAGAAAAACGAGGAAGAUAUAAGAGGGUGCUUGGAUCCAAGGGACUUAUUUUAGUCUGACUAAAAAUAGUCACUUUAAGAGGCUAUUGUUUCAAGCACCCCUGACUAAAGAGGGGCUAAAACUAGUCUUGAGACUAAAUUUUUUUAGUCAGGGGUACCCCUACUAAAAUAUGGAAUAAUCCUCUCUCUCCUCAUUUAACUCCUCUCCUUUAACACAUGCGAGUUCUAGAUUGAAGUGUUUGGAGGAUAAUAAAUGCUCAUUAACUUGAUUUUAGUCUUUUUAGUAUUUGAAUCCAAGCAUGGAUGAGUUGUCAAAGAUUAGGUGUGAUUGGGAUAAACAUUACUAAUAGUUAUUGGUCAGAAUCAAUUUGGAAAGUCAAAUCAUCUGAGUUGCAAUUUGACAAUGAUCCCCACAUAAAAAGAAGCAAGCUCUUGCCUCUCUUAAAAAAACUGUUACAAUCCACACUAUUUCUACAUUAUUUUUUAUUGAGUACAGAAGCAGGCAUGGCAACCACGGCAGAAAAACGAGGAAGAUAUAAGAGGGUGCUUGGAUUCAAGGGACUUAUUUUAGUCUGACUAAAAAUAGUCUCUUUAAGAGGCUAAAGUUUCAAGCACCCCUGACUAAAGAUGGGCUAAAACUAGUCUUGAGACUAAAUUUUUUUAGUCAGGGAUACCCCUACUAAAAUGUGGAAUAAUCCUCUCUCUCCUCAUUUAACUCCUCUCCUUUAACACAUGCAAGUUCUAAGUUUGAAGUGUUUGGAGGAUAAUAAAUGCCCAUUAACUUGAUUUUAGUCUCUUUAGUAUUUGGAUCCAAGCAUGUGCGAGGCUAGCCAGUUUUAGUCCCACUACUUUUAGUCAUGGUCAAUCGUAGCACAAAAUAGCAGUAGCAUUGUGCUUUUCCGUGCUUGUCGCAGAGAAAGGGAGAGGUCAGAUCGGAGCACAGAAGAGGGCAGGGGAGACAUGCUUGGCUAUUCCCGCCGCCUGCUCUCGCCAAACCGCGCCGCUCGCGCUGAUCGUUCCCCAUCGGCUGCGCUGGCCAAGUCCAUCCGCCACCGCUGCCCGUUCCCCACCGCCGCCUAGUUGCCGGUUCCCCGUCGCCCAGAUCCCCCGUUUCCCGCCGGCACCGCUCACUAUGCCAUAAGAGAGAGAUAGAGAGAUGCGGCACCUCGACGCACCGCCAGCGCCCGAUCCAAAACUGCCGAUGCGCCGCCACUCUUGUUGUUUCUAGAAGAGUCGCCGCUCUUUUCCUGUCGUGACUCGUGAGUGAGAGGUGUGAGAGGGGCGGCGGUCUCUGUUCGUGCGGUGAACUGAAGCGGAGCGAGCAUGGCUGCCCUACUCGGCCAAUUUUUCACGGCAGCAAAAAGGAUCAAACAUUCGUUAAAUCGGGUUAUCCCCAGCCAUCUCAUCAUAUGAAAACACUAAAAUUCUAACGUCAGAUUUUUAGGUAUGGUAAAUCUGAUGUUUUCUAUGACAAUUUAAGCAUUAGUUUGUAAGCACGGUAAUUUUCUGAUAAAAGAAAAUAAAUUGAGUGGGAUUUGCCAUGCUCGCCAACUAAAUUUUACCAUCCUCGGCCAACAUAAUUUAUCAUGAAAGAUGUUCAAUUUGCCAUGAUAAAAAAUCCGACAUCAAAUUUAUAGUCGAGUCCUUCCAAAUGUAAGGCAUCCCCAAAAAUCUGGCUAUCCCUGUCGCAUGGAAGGAUAGCUGAGAAUCGAACGCCCUCUAAAUUCAUCCAUGAGCAUGAAAGAACACAAGCGCUAAAUACUUCCAUCCUUCAUACUCCCUCCGUUCGGAAUUACUUGUCACGAAAGUGGAUGUAUCUAGAUGUAUUUUAAUUCUAGAUACAUCAAUUUCCGAGACAAGUAAUUCCGAACGGAGGGAGUACUAUUGAUUGACAAGAUAUGACGAUUUGACCCGGUAAGGUCUUCAUCAAAUCCAAUCACCCAUAUGAGAAGGCCAGUGAUAGGCGCCGGUCGACCGGCCAAAAUUUCGGUUGGCCGCACCGCGCUCGUUCAAUCCAACCUUUAAUUACACGUACGAUGGAUUGAUUUUAUCCUAAAAAGUCAACUCGUCUUUUUUUUUGNNNNNNNNNNNNNNNNNNNNNNNNNNNNNNNNNNNNNNNNNNNNNNNNNNNNNNNNNNNNNNNNNNNNNNNNNNNNNNNNNNNNNNNNNNNNNNNNNNNNNNNNNNNNNNNNNNNNNNNNNNNNNNNNNNNNNNNNNNNNNNNNNNNNNNNNNNNNNNNNNNNNNNNNNNNNNNNNNNNNNNNNNNNNNNNNNNNNNNNNNNNNNNNNNNNNNNNNNNNNNNNNNNNNNNNNNNNNNNNNNNNNNNNNNNNNNNNNNNNNNNNNNNNNNNNNNNNNNNNNNNNNNNNNNNNNNNNNNNNNNNNNNNNNNNNNNNNNNNNNNNNNNNNNNNNNNNNNNNNNNNNNNNNNNNNNNNNNNNNNNNNNNNNNNNNNNNNCCCAGCAGCAGGGGCUUAAACAGGAUUGGAAAAACAGGGCAGCCAGGCAUCCACCGCAUGUUUUAGGGGGCGAGGCAGUCGAACACGCCAGAGCACCGCGUCGUCCCUGCACCCGCUGAGGAGCCCAGGGAGCGACGGAGGGGCCCUCUGGAAGACCACCGCAUUCUGGUGCUUCCAAAGUUGCCAGCAGCAGAGUAGCAGGAAGAUGGGCCCCGUCCCCGCCGGCACCCGGGGCGGCAGGGUGAGGAGGUGAAGCGAACGGACGGAGGUAGUCUCAAGGGAGCUCUUCCCGACCACAGUCCAGAAGCGUCGGGCGAACGCGCACCCGAAGAUGAGGUGAUCAGCUGUCUCGAGGGGAGCGGAGCAAAGGGGGCACCCUGCCCCGGCAGCGUUGACGAUGUGCUUGCGAAGGAGGACGUCCCUAGUGUGGACCCUGGCCUGCACCAGAAGCCAAGCGAAGAAACGGACCCGGCUGGGGGCGAAGUUGCCCCAGACAAAAGUCUCGAAAGGCACCCCAAGCCCACCGAAGUGACACAACUGGUAGACGCCGGCCGACGAGAGGAGUGAGCCCUUGGCGCAGCAAGGGCGCAGAGACCGCUCGUCGGGCGACUCAGAGAGGGUCACGCCACCAACGAUCCGAAUCAACUCGGCACGCUCGCGCCCCCCAGCAUGUUCAGGCGCGGGACCAGCAUCGCGUCAAUGCCGAGACGCAAGACCUGGGCCACGGAGGCUUCCGGCGCAGUGGUGUGGGAAAACAACGAAGGCAGCCGCCACAUCGCGUCAACUCGUCUUUAACCUUAAAACAAGCAAGGGCAGGAAAAGGAAACACAUGAACUCAUCGGACGCCUUUGCUCAUCUUCGACCGGCCAGCUUGCCAGCCACCCGUGUCAUCCAUGCUUGCUGACCGCCCCGUGCCAUCGCACUGGCCUCGGCUUGGCUGUCUGCGCUCACCGGACACCCGUGCUCGUCUUUAGACUCAUCAUGCUUGUCUUCGGUCGCUCGUGCUUAUUAUUCGGCCUAUGAUUAGGGAUGCAAAAUCUCGUCCGGUGAGUGGCUGCUUCCCCGACGGCUCAUCACAACAACACCAUGCAUUUUCUACCUCGCUUGCACCACCGCCGGCUCGCUGGCCCUAUUGAAGCUACAGUCGCCCCCCGCGUCGCCCCCGCUCGGGCGACUCAGGCGGGAUCUGAAACCGUAGCCGCCGGGGGUCCCCAUCCUUCCUCCCCUCCCUCUGCCGCCGCCGAAGAACGCAGCCGGCGAUAGACCGGGGCUGACAGCGGUGGCGGGGAUCUUCCCUCUUGCCUGCGUCGUGGGGCAGGGCGGAGCCACGCGGCAUGGGUGGCACGACCGAUCUAGCCUGGCGGCGCGGCGGGCCUGCCUUUCGACGGCGGCGCGGCGGCUGCCUCGGCCAAGGGCCGAUCUGGCCUGGCGGCGCGACGGGCCUGCCUUCCGGCGGCAGCGCGGUGGCUGCCUUAGUCAAGGGCGGCGAUGGUGGGGGUGCGGCAGCCGGCUCUGCCUCGGGCAGCGUGGCGGCGUUCGGCGGCGGCGGCCGGGUUUGCGGCGACACACCAUCUGACCUCGAAUCGGCAGUGGCGGGAUGGAGGGCCUGGUGGUUGGGUCGGCACCAUGUGGGUUGUGCCCUCCGGACAGAUCUGAUCUGGCCGGUGCGGCCUGCUCGAUGUGCGACGGCUCAGAUCGGCGGCGACCCAUGCACACAAUAUGUGAUGGAGGUUCUUCGAGCGGAUCCGGGUGAAAACCUUGUGCUUGGCUUGAUGCCAAGACCGGCGUUAGUGGCACCCUUUUGUGUCAUUACCUUCUUGAAGGCAUCGCCGUGGAGAAGCUCUAGACCUCUAUCUGCUACCUCCGGGGGAAACCCUAGAUCAGUUGAUCGGAUGACGGCGGCGCGUUGGUGUCGUUUCCUCCUUGGGGGCGUCAUUCUUGAAGGCGUACACGGGAUCGAGGGACCAGUGGGCGCCUUUUUUGGUGGAGCGGUGCUUCAUCCUUCACAUUGAUGACGGCAGAUCUCGGCGGCGUGGUGCAGUGGAGACUCGGCGCCCGAUGCGCGGUGAUGGACUCGCGCAGGUGGAGGUAGUUGUCUGGCGUCAAGGUGGCGUCGAUUACGGAGUGACCUGACAAGGUAUAAGCCUCAAUAUCUGCUCUGGAGACGGACCUGUGGAAGAUGACGGCUACGACACAUGUGAGUGCGUGAGAUCAGUUUAUGCCCCAGACCCGGUAUGUGGCUCGGCUGGGGCUUCUGGCUUUUGAUGAUAGGCUUAGGUGAGUAGUCUGGGUAUGUGGCCCAGGUAGCACCCCUGCAUCAUUUGGAUAGGAGUAGUGGCAUAUCACUACUAGGGAAAGCCUAGCAGCAGCGCGGGUUUUGGGCCUAUUAGUAGCGCGGGGACCGGCGCUACUAAUAAGGCGCUACAGCUAACUUAUAGCAGUAGCGCGUGUGCCACCCGCGCUACUACUACGUCCUUUAGUAGUAGCGUGGGUAAAAACCCCCGCUACUACUACCAGCGCGGGGUUUUUUUGAAAUUUUUCGAAAAAAUAUUUCGAUUUUCCCCCUAAUUUUCAAAUUUCUAAAUUAUUUUAACCUCAAAUCUCUAAUCUCCCAUCAUCGCUGCUCAAUUUAAUCUCUAAUCACCCCUCAUCAUUCCAAAUCAUCUAACUUCCCGGACGGUCACUCAUCCUCUCACUACUCCAGCCUGAGCACGCUUAACUUCCGGGUUCUAUUCUCCCUCGUUUCCAAGUCAGCACUUGUUGUUUUCCUGACAAUAGUAAGAUGUCAAUCCUAUUAACCUCAGGAAUUUAGCUUGAACAUGAAGUCACACAUUUCACUAUUUGAGUUUGAAACUAUUGUUCUAAAAAAUUAGUAACACUAAUAUUUCUUGAAUAAUUAGUUUGACCACAGUUUGGCCAUAGUUUGACCAGAUUUGACCAAAAUUCAAAAAAACCAAAAUAAUUAUUUAGUAACACUAAUACUCUAGAAUAAUUAGUUUGACCAUUGUUUGACCACAGUUUGACCACACAGUUUGAAUUUUUUUCGAUUUUUUCCACUCUAGAUCUUAAAAGCCCCGUAACUUUUUUUCUGUUUGGUUUUUGAGGAUUUUGAAAAUGUUUAACGGGGUUCCCCCGAUUAAAUUCGGAUGUAACUUUUCGAGUAGAUGAUUUUUCAUAUAAAAAACUUUUUCAUCCGAUUUAGUAUGCAAAAGUUAUGCCCAUUUUUACAAAUUCUUGGGAGAUUUUGCAAAUAAAGUCAAAAUUCAUAUUUGCAAAUUUUCCCAAGAACUAGACCACAUAUCACAUGGGAAACUUAUUUUCUUUUAAUUUUUUGACAUUUUCAUCAUUUUCUUUUUUUUAAAAACUGAAAAGGCGAUCCAGGGGGGGUAGAGUUUGAAAAUGGGACCUUUAGUAGCAGCACGGUUUUUUACCCCCUCACUACUACUAUGGCACCACUUAGUAGUAGCGAGGGCUAAAAACCAACGCUACUGCUAGCAAACUUAGUAGUAGCGAGGUUUUAAAAACCCGCGCUACUAGUGUAUAAGCUUUUCCCUAGUGUAUAGGCUUUUCUGUGUAUAGGCUUUUCUGUGUAUAGGCUUUUCCCUAGUAGUAGCGAGGGUUAAAAACCCGCGCUACUGCUAUAAACUUUAGUAACUUUCUGUGUAUAGGCUUUUCCCUAGUAGUGUAUGUUGCCAAGAUGGCGGAUUCAGGCAUAUUGUUGUAAUACUUUGUAAGGUCCUCGAGAAUAAUCAAUAAAGUGGCCAUAUGCAUCUCCCAGAUGCAGAGGCCGGGGGUCAUCCUCCUUUUCUAAAAAAAUUGAAGCUUUUUACCACCGAUUGCAGCCUUUGCCAUUGCCGGUUGCAGCUUUCCACUGUCGAUAUUAGCUUUCGUCGUCUUUAGUUGAAGCUUUUUUUGUUAUUGGUUGAAGCUUCUUUUAUUGCCGGUUGAACUUUUGCAGGUUGCACGGGGCUUGGUCCCAACCGGUUGUAGCUUUCUCGGUGCUAGUUGCAACUUUCUCAGGCACCGCCUGCAACACAUCGCCUUGCCGGUUCCAACACCACGCCUCCACUGUGCAUGUUGGUUGUAGCACGCCGCUGUCGUCGGUUUUAACAUAUUCACCCAGUUGAAGCUUUUCCCCCGCCAAUUGAAGCUUUUUCGUACGCUGGUUGAAGCUUUUGCAAGCAUCCAGACGUGGCAGUUGCAACAUCCCCCCGACCAUGUGGUAUCCACCAUUGCAUCAACCAUGGUGGCUCCGGUGAUCGUCGGUUGCAGCACUGGGUGGGCACGGUUGUAGCACGGGGGAAGGUGGGGGUAGGGAUUGGCCGCGCAGCCACACUGCAGAAGGAAAGGGAGAAAAAAAGGAGCAGUGGGGCAAAGCUAAACAAAAAGAUGAGCAGACAGGAGGGGGGAAGGGAGAAAAGGAGAGGUGUACAGUCGCCGGGUGGGGAAAAAUGUAUGGCCAGAAGCAACUCUAAAGGGAUAACAUAACGGGCCCGCAAACUGCACGACGUGAGCAUGAGAGACCGAUCGAGUCGUUAGCCGGUCGCCUGCCCGCAAACAUUUCCCAUAUGAGAAACACACAUGUUUAUGGCAAACAAAAGAUAACCUUCUAGCACCUAUGGUCACAUCGCUCUCUGAUGAUGGUCUAAUCGCCCAUGUGUAAAGGUCAGACCCACCAAACUACACCUUGGCCUUGAAACUGCCAUGGCGAUCUGACUACUUGGUUCCUUGCCAAAUGUUUGGGGUUUCAUGACUACCAUAGUUCUCUUAGAUGGGAGGACUUUCCCCUUUCAUUUGUCUCUACUCCUAUUCCCGCUGAGAGUAGUAUGUGAACGCCGGGCUAAUUCCCCUUCCUUCCUAACGGCGACCGCAGUAGGUAUGGCCAUAUGGGAGAAGAGUGUGUGGAGCCCAUGUGCAUAGUAGUUUAGGUUUUGGAUGUUUCGUUAUGUCAGAUCCAAAGGAUGUAAGAAGGCUCAUCACUGACCAAUCCAUGAGUAAGACGGAAAAUGAGUGUGGACGACAAAGCCCUAUCCCCCCUUGGUGGACGAGGAGGUGUGCAGAUGUUGCUCCCCUUCCUGGAAGCGACGUCUAUGGUACACGGGGUUGAGAACGACAUUCUAUUGCUUCGAUGGGGGAUGUUGUGGCGACUUCUUGUUCAACGGUAACAUCGACCCAUGGUAUAGUGCGCAAGUUUGAGUUUUUGGUUCUCGCAUGCUUGUUGUGUGUUCAUGCUCUGCUGGCAAAUCGAUGCCCUCGAUCCUGGGCUACAUGGAAUAGAGAUCCCCUCUACGGUCGCAAUGGUACGACAUUGUUGACUACUAUUUGGUGUCUGAUCGAGUCCUGCUCUAAGUCAUUUAUUAUGUAAUCAUAUUUCUGAAGGUCUUGUCUUGCAGUGGCAUUCAUCUGAUUGGUUGGGUCAUGGGCGGUGAUGAGCCCGUGGAGGGUGUGCAGUGGUGGUUAACCCUCUCAUUUCUUCUUUCGAGGUAGCUAAUCCGGCAUACUUCAUCCAUACUCUAGGCCGAGCACUCUGCUUUCCAACAAUACAUCACCCUUUGAGGCAGGGCAAGAGGACAAGGGGCCUAUUCGAAGGAAGAAUUGAACGAAUUGUUGACCUAGGCCUGACCUUUUGAGGAGUAGGCGAGGAUGUGUUGUCUACCGAUGUUGGUGGCUUCUUCUUUGGUUUUCACCUCCCUAGUACUGUGGUUGUUGUUUCCACAUUUGGCCUUGGUGUUUUAGGUCGGGUUUCUCCUCUUUCUUUUGUUUGCCUAUAACACCGCUAGGUUCUAAGCUAUCUUUUGUCAUUUCUUGUUUUCCUUGUAAGUUGAUUCGGUGUAUUCCUAGUUGGUUGAUGGCUUUGUUAAUUCAAACCAGGCUCAUGUUGAGCCUACAUUCUAAUAUAUAUAUUUUCUAGUUUUACCUCAUAUUUUGACAUUUUUUUACUUUCAUUACACUCUUUAGUAGUUUAUCAUUAGAAUUGCCAUAUUUAUUGAAAGUUUUCCUAGUUUCGAUCCCUUCAAAUUAUCUUGAGAGCGAUCUGCAAGGCGGGUCCCAACCAUGGGGCUCACGUUGUGUGUCACAUCCUGGUGUUUCUUUUGCCUGAAUUGUUCAAAUGGCUUGUCAUACCCACCUUGUCAAGGUCUUUAGAUGUAUGCACACACCAUUUUUCUUAGUUAAAUAAGAGGCUUCGAGCUCGAAUUAAAUGGUUUUUUUUAACUGUACCGCAUCAUUUCUCCAAGGUAUGUAUGUAACCCUUCAUUUGAACUAUGACCAAUGCACACAUGUAGGAGAAGCUAGCAAUCACACAUAACAGGUAAGAUUUUGUCAGUUUCGAGGAAGCAUGACUUGUGAUAGAUGUAAUAAAAUUCCUGAAAAAUUAUUAAUAUUGGCAAAAUAAACCUAGUCAAAACAAACAAAAAAAACCUAGCCAGCAUAAAAAAACAGAACACCAGAGUGGAAAAGGUUUUCGUGCCAGUUGCCGCCUUCAUAUCUAAUGAUCACCUCAAUGAGUCCCAUGUCGCUGAUCUUUUAUUACAUUGUUAUACACACUUCCAAUGAAUGAAGGAUGUAGUGGUUUAGACAAGAGAUGGAAAUGGAGCCAAUUGAGUGAAGGUGUGUGUGGCUUAACCAACUAGGUGAUUCGUUGCAUAUGUAUACAUGGCAACCGUGACCAAACUGGGUCUAGCUAAAUCAUCCACCGGUUCGGACGACGAUAUGUCCUAGACGUAUCCAUAAUCUGCAUAGCUUUCAUGCUAUAAUUUUGCAAAAUUAUGUAUUUUGUAUAUUUAUUUGGACAAGUCUACUAAUGGCUGUAAGAAAUGUACAUGUUCUUGCUUUCCUUUUUGUGUAUAGGAGUGUCAUGGAAAAUGGGUGAACUAUUAAAAAACUUCAAGGUCUGACAAAAUUCAAAGAUAUUGCAAAUAUGUCCAUGCAUGGCCAGUUCUUAGAGUUCAUCAAUUUAAACUCUGAAUAUGGCGUCAAACGAAGAAGGUCAUGAAAUAAAAGUUGUUCCUUGUUUCUGUAUGAGUUCAACAUAUAUUUAAACAUCCAAAUCAAAGUUUGCAUGAGCCAUGCAGGUCCAAAACAAUAUUCACUUCGAGGAAUGCUGACAAGAUUGACUCUAACUCCUUCCAUAAUUGAGAAAUUUGAACGUGGUUUGAUUCUAUAGACCCAUGAGAAUAUAAGGAAGGAUUUGGAGAUGCCCAAGGGCCCUUAUGUUAAAGGGAUAUGGGUUGGAUGGUUAAGAUUGGACGAAUUGAUAGCCUACUUUUUGGAGGGAACCACCCUUUGGUGUAAAAUUUCCAUCAUCAUAACCACCAUCUACAUAGGAGAAGGUAAAUGAAUACGGAGGAGGAGGGGCCCUUCGCCUUCCCUUCCAGCAGUGUCGGAAGGCCACUGGGUGAACCACCAUCAUCACCAUUGGCCUCAUUGACUUCACCACCAUAUAAUAUCUUUGACAAUGGAUUUAUCCUUAUAAAACCUCUGCAGCCCUCUACUAAUACAUGUAUUUGAUACAAUACAUUAUUUCCCUAUGACUUGUUGAAUCGUAUUUAUGUCUGAGAAGUUUAGAUUUAUUCUCCUACAUUAUUUCCCUAUGAAUUGUAAGUUUUGAUAUGAUGACACCCUCUUGUGCUAGUACAGGAGUGCACACUUAUAUUAGGUCACCUUUGAGGGUUAGCAUUGUGGUAUGAGUGUGCUAAUAUAAGUAAACACUAAGCGCGUAGAAAGUUGUAGCAAUGGCAGAUAGAGCUUGAGAGAAUAUGAAAUCAACACUCGAGACUUCACAUUCAUAUUAAAAAGUUCUACAACUAUUCUGUGCACUUGGGGGUUAUCAUGUGCCCACAUUGGACCCAGUGCACAGGUAAUUUGGACUAUAGUAGGGCAAGAAUAUUAAAUGGUUAUGUAGACGGGGAGGGAAAAUACAUUUGUAACAAAAGCCAUGAUUUGACAUGCCACUGUGUACCUAAAGACAUAGGCCCACCUAGCAGAUCUCUCUCGUUUUUUUUAAAAGGAAUAGAAACAAAAACAAACUCUGAAUGGUGUAAUCUUUAUAAAAUGCGCUCAAAUGGUUAAUUAACAUAAAAAUUUAUCAAAGCAAAGGGUAACCUGAAAAAUUAUCAAAGCAAAGGGUGAAAUCUAGAGUUCGCUCUAUAAAUGAAGUAGCAAGGUUGUAGCCAGUUCUCUGAUUUCUUUCUCGAGUUAACAAAUGACAAUGCCAUGCCUUACGUCCAAAAAGAGAUAAGGAAGGAGAUAACGAUUCUAAUGUCAAUAAUAGAAACUGUCAUAGUGCCUCUCGGAUUGGAGUAUGAAUGCUUUGUUCUCUAGAGAUGAUACACCGGGUGUUGCCACGCGAACUGGUUUAUUUUAAUGAGAUUUAGUUAUAUGAAAUAUUAACAGUUAGGGUUUUUGCGGGCAUAUUAGUUAGUUAACAAUAUGAAAUCAAAACUAGAACGCAUAUAUGUUAUUGUACAACCUUGAUUAUUGUAUUGUCGCAGAAUAUUUAUUAAAUAUGAGUAGCAUGCAUGUUGUAUGUUAAAUAUGUUUUUUUUUCAUGCAUGUGACAUUUUGAGUUUAUAUAUGUAAAGUCAAUAGAGAUAGACUAUUUAGGUAUACUGGACGAGACACACAAAAAUGAAUAAGAGAGUUGAAAAUCAUACGGCCUAUCCGGUUGACCGGCCGGUGGAGAUGGCGCCGGUCCUCGUUACUCCUGAGUUUUCACGCAAAAUACUUCUGGCUCGUCGUCACCAGCGAAGCUCCGGGUGAACUCCGGCCGGGACGUUUUCCUCUCUAUGGCACUCUCAUCUAUUUAUAUUUUAGAUAAAAGCCUUUCAACCCUCCUUUAUAGAAGCAAAAGCACCGGGGAUACCAGUUUUGCAUAACGAGGCUGGCACUCCAUAUAUAACCUCGGGAGGAAAUGAUACGUAAGUGCGUACGUGACCUCAUUUGAGAUGGAGACAAGACAGGCUGAGAACGCGAGGCUGGCACUCCAUAUAUAACCUCGGCAGGAAAUGAUACGUAAGUACGUGACCUCAUUUUGGAUGAAUUGACGAUGACGACGACGGCGACGACAUUAACAACAGAAACAACAACGUACGAUUGUCUUAUCACAGGCGCCACGCUCAUCAAAACUAGGUUCAAUUGGUCGAGGCCUCGAGGGUGAUAAUUUGCUUGGUCUUAGUAUGUUCUGUCCUAUGUUGAGACGAGGCUUGUUUUUUACAAGAUGCAUAUACAAGAAAAUGUUGGGACGAGGAUGCUUCCUGCUCACGUUAAAAUUAGGAUAGAGUUAGAUCUCGACAACAAUUAAGAGAAGUAGCUUACAUUUUAUUUUUAUUUCCUACCGAUAUGUUGCAGUUGCAUUGUUGUUGUAAACAAUUCCCGUUGUUCUCUGUGCCAAAAUAAGCAAAUAAAUUCAAUGGGCGCAUCCACUGAUCCAGGAAGAGACAAAAUUGCAUUUGUGUACCCACCGCUAUUUUUUAAUGAUCUUCUACUGGUUUAGUUUCCGCCGCCAUACAACAAAGCCAUGCCCUAGUUUUUCUUCCCGCUGCCGUAUUAUUUUCUAUCUGUCACCACCUAAAAUCUGUUGGUAGAAGGCAAAAUGUUUUGGUCGGCACUACUUCAUUUUUGAGUUUCCCAAUAUAUAUAUUGCGAAAGGAGUCUCCCAAUUCUUUUGAUAUACGAAUUAUGGUCUAUCAUAUAUACAUUUGAUAUACAAGUUUAGGACAAUUCUUAACGUCACUUUAUUAUUUGAUGUUAUAUUUCUAAGUUACAUUCAUAUAUUCCUUAGUUCCUUUUGAAGUAAUGUUCCUUGCUUUAUCCCGGCGACAAGCUACCAACGACCUUCUGCCUGUGCUAGUGCUAACCGUACAGAGAGCUACAGUUGUUGUCAUAUGAGAGGUGAGGUUUAUUGAUCUUUGUACAUACAUAUUCCUAUUUCCUGCUUCUUUUUUUGUAAAUGCAUAAUCAUAUUUCGUGCUGCACUACAUAUAGUGAUAAUGGUGCCUUUUCUAGGAUAAGGUAGCCUGUAUUAUGAUGCACCAUUAUAUUGGUAAGAAAUGUUGCUGGGGGUUCCUUUCUCCUUAGAGAUAAUCAUCCUGGCCUCAUUGGCUAUUUGGAACACUCGAAACGAUUUUAUUUUCAAAGGCAUUGUUCCCAAUCUCUAUAAUUGAGAAAAUUCAAAGAGGAGCUCAAAUGGAUCAUUUACAGGGCUCACAGAAAAGAAUACUCCAACUUAGAAGAUUGAGUCGCCUCUUUUAGAUAGUUGGCCUCUCUUUGAGUUGUUGUAGUAUUAUGUAUAGUGCUUUUUCCUGGUUUUUAUGAACAAUUUCUUGCAUAUUUUUAAAAAAAUCAAUAAAAAAUACACGCAGCAAAGUCUUGUUUCCCCUCAAAAAAGUGCAUCAAGCACUAAAGUUUACUUGCAGCUUCUGUACCAAGCACAAAUAGCUCAAAUAGGGUUUGGAUGCUUGAAAUUUCGUUUUUGCUCACAUUUCCUUCGUUAAGCACUACUCCCUCCGUCCGGGUUUAUUGGGCCCGUAAGUGACAACACCAAGACCAAGGAAGCGCACGCAUGUAGAGAUUUAGGAAAUAAAUGUGCUUAAUUUGCUCUCUAACUGCCCUAUUAAACAACCAUAUUAACUAGAGCAACGCAUGCAGCGGAAAAAAAUUAUAUGAGACCAGGUCUCAUAUAAAUCAGGUGAGACCCGCCCUGAUGGAUGACAUGUGGCAUUCACAAAUCACAAAGCAUCUAAUCUCUCCCCCCCUGAUUUCAGGUGGGGGUGGGGUGGAUGCUUUGUGAUUUGUGAAUGCCACGUGGCAUCCAUUANNNNNNNNNNNNNNNNNNNNNNNNNNNNNNNNNNNNNNNNNNNNNNNNNNNNNNNNNNNNNNNNNNNNNNNNNNNNNNNNNNNNNNNNNNNNNNNNNNNNNNNNNNNNNNNNNNNNNNNNNNNNNNNNNNNNNNNNNNNNNNNNNNNNNNNNNNNNNNNNNNNNNNNNNNNNNNNNNNNNNCAUUAGGAUGGGUCUCACCUGCUAAUCCGUGAGACCUGGUCUCAUAGAAUUUUUUUCCGCAUGCAGCCUGCAUCCAUGCCCAAUCGGCGAGGUUCGUGCGCCAGCUUCGAUGCAACGGUGCAUGCACAGGAGCAAUUUCAGGUAAUAAAGUAAGGUAAUUAAUGUACGGGCCUAAUAAACAGGUACAACCAUAUGUGGCUUACGGGGCCCAAUAAACCCGGACGGAGGGAGUAUAUGUCAAUCGGCAACACAUGUUGAAUUGUUUUUCUAGCAUUAAGUCAUUCUUUGUAACAAUGAGGGCCAUGUGCACAAUUCGGUAUACGGACCAAAUUUGGGCGCACUUCCACAGUACAAAAAAGUGAUUCCCAAAACCCAAUAUCAAAAUCGCAAUGUGUAUUGCCGGGUGCCUAUAUAUAACUUACAAAUACGAUGAAAAAAGUGAUAAAAAGAGGAAUUUUAUGAAAGCUUUUUGGACCCCCCCACUUCCCUCUCUGAGAUGAGUCCCCUAGCUUUUUACAGCAUGCAAUUAAACCUUCAUAGUGGGAGCCACAUUUACGCGACCGGUCGUCCGAGCCACGGGAUAAGACCAAAUUAGAAUCCUUUCCUAGACCUCACCUGAUGAGGGAGCUUCUAACAAUGUGUGUGUGUGUGUGUGUGUGUGUGUGUGUUUUACGGCUGGCAUUAGCCAGCCUGAAUCUUAUGGAAGUGAUAUGGAAAGGUGAGGCCGCUGUGUCCAAGAAAUUUAUUUUGUCUCUCCGGUCUUCUUGUUCAAACUCUUGUUGAGAGAAUCAUUAUCGGUCACGCGUGAUAUACGCGUUGUGCAUGGAUUUGUCCGACAGCUAGGCCGAGCUUACUUGCCUUACUGGCAUGUAAGUAGAAUUCUGCUUGGCCGACGUCAAACACUUAUAAAACCACCUCUACGUCAGUACAAUUUUUAUGAGCAAAACGAAUGAAUUAAAGCAGAUGCGUGGGGGCAGUUCACCAUCUCCCGCAUCUCCCUUCCUUCAGCAACCCCUGUUGCCCCAUGACAACGAGCACUUUGCAGUUGCAUGUGCCGGCCAUACUCGCCUUCUCACUGCUGGUACUUUCAUGCGGGCGUUGUGCUGCCCGGGAAGUACCAGGAGAAGGCCACCUUCGGACAUGGGACUGGCACUUCAUCGAGGGCUUCGUCGUCUGCCUCAUCGUUUCCCUACUGGCAGUCCUGCUCUUCUGCGUAUGCCGUAGAGGAAAAGGCGGCGCCGUGGCGGCCGUCGAAGGCAGCCGAGAAUGGUCACGGGCAACCGCCGGGCCACCCAAGUCCGACCACUACAUGUCAAUCAACGCAAGCAUGGUGCGCAGUGCGCAGACGACCCCCGACGCGCGGCCCCGAUCCUCCGACGUCUCUCCCGAUUCCAGGCGCCUCCCGCCGUCGCCAGAGAAGCUGCUUUGGAUGCUCCUCGCCUUGCCCGUGCCCGCCGACGAGCGUGCUCCUGCAGCCACCCAAAACGGCUGGCCGCCCGUGCAGCGGCCGGAGAAGGAUGCCGUGAUUAUGGAUCCCUUCUCGCCCUGCUCACGGGCAUCCUGGGUGAGACCUAAGGAGAUUGACUACGAACGGCUUCAAGUAGCAACCAACGACUUCCACAUGAAAUCUCGGAUGCGCAAGCCGGGUUGCCAGUCCGGGUUGCCAGUGGGUGGUGUACAAAGGUACCAAAUUUGUGGCCGACGACGGCUUGCCCGCUGUUGUGGUCAUCAAGAGGUUCCACGAGAUCAUUAGCACGGAGCAGAGGGAGCGUAUGGUGGACGAUCUCAGCCGCAUGACCACCCUACAACACAAGAACGUCGUAAGCCUACUCGGUAUGUGACCAAGAUGCAGUUCAUUUACCUAUAUUUUUUUGUCAGAUAUAGAAUCACACUUAUGGCAAAUGUUAACAUGCUCCCUCUUACCCCCUCUUUUUACAUGUGAGGUAAGAAGAUAAGAGUUAAUUAAACCACUAAUUAAUAAGAUCAAUGACUAAGAUCUAUUAUACACUCUUAUCUCUUGUGUGAAAAGAGUAUGUUUUUUAUCAACAAAUUAUGCACCGAUAGAGUAACGGUUAAAUCGUACAGAAAUUUUAUCUGGAUGACGUUGGCUCCAAGAGGGUGGCAUUUCAAAUGUUAUUGUUGUAGUUUUAGUUGUGUUGACUAUGGCAGUUCCUUCAGAGAGCGACAUAACAUUUUCGGGGAGGAUGACAAUUUUGAGCCUUGAACCCAGAAAAUGCAAAGCUGUUCUAAAGAAACGGCCACCCUCCACAAUAAAAUGCCAUCGAAACGUUUGCAAAUGCCAUCCCUCCCAGCGAAUGUUUGCCAGCGAAGGGGAUUCUAAACGUACUAUAGGAACAUUGACGGUUGAUUCUCUGCAGGAUACAGCUUCGGAAAUGGUUAUUUUCAUCUGGUGUACAGCUACAUGCCCAACCGCAGCUUGGACAAACGCCUCUUCCGCGAGCCCCGCGGGACAGGCUUGACCUGGCCGCUCCGCUACAGCAUGGUCAACGACGUCGCCCGGGCGCUCUACCACCUGCACGUCACCAACGUUCCCCACGGGUCGAUCAAGGCGUCGAACAUCUUGCUCGAGCAAGACUUCGCCGCCAGGCUCCACGGGCACUUUGGCUACCAACCCGACCAGAGCAACACGCCCCGCGGUUCACUGGAGGCGGACAUGCUGCAAUUCGGUGUGCUGAUAUUGCAGGUCGUAUGUGGGCCCCAGGGGCGGAGCCAGGCUAACACGGCGCCCUGGGCCUGCUUCAUCGCUACAGUGUUCAACUGGGUUCAACAGUCCAAAAUCGCUAUAGUCAACGAAGAAAUAAAUCUUCACGGCGGCCUGGGUCCUGCCUCCCACGGCCGGGGAUCACCGACUGAACUGGUGGACUGGGUUUGGACACUUCACGGGGAAAGUCGCUUCCUCGAGGCGGUCGACCCAGCUGCGCGGGGGGACGACUUCAACUCUGCUCAGGCGACCAAGCUUCUUCUCAUCGCCCUCUCGUGCACAUACCCGGACCCAGCGGCACGGCCGACUAUCUAUGAGGUGCGCAGGAUCUUAUCAGACGAAGAUCCACUGCCAGAUGUUCCUCCAUCAAAACCCACCUGAGACACCAUUCAUACUCCCUCCAUUCCAAACACAGCCGUAGGUCUGUACUUAUAGUUUUACGUUGGUUCUAAGGCUGUUGUUUGGUUGAGUUGUAGAUUCUGAAAAAGUUGUUGUGAGCUGUGAGAAAGGUGUUGUGAACUUUCAGGUGUCGAAAAGUUGCAAGCUGUUUGACUUAAACAAACUAUGAUACUAAAUUUAGCUGUCAAUUAUGUAAUGCCCAUGGUGCCUGAGUCUGAGUGAAUAUGUUUAUAUGCUAAUUGUAAGUGCAUCUAGUGCCAUCCAUAGUUGGUUUUGGAGUAUUGACGACAAACGUGGUUGUGAGACUAAUGUGUUUGUGAGAAUUGCAGGAUAACAUAGGUAGUAGUCCCUUAUUGAUUCGGUUUACCUAUCAGAGAUGACCCCUAAAAAUGUGUGAAGACAUUGAAGACAAUGGUGGUUCGUGAAGACAUUCAUGAUGAAGAUUAUGACAUGUGAAGAUAUUCACUUGAACACUAUGGAGUGCAAAAUAUAGUUGUUUCGUAGUUUCCUUUCUUCUUUAUUGAGUCAUGGGAACCACCGUACUGUUAAGUGGGGUCCAAGUGAACAAAGUCAGAGUGACUGAUAUGAUGCUCAACCAAAUCCUAUGUCUUCGAGCGAAGACAAUGAGAGCAAACCUUAUCCAGGGUUGGAUUAGUCAGCUUUGCUUGUAGCCCAAGUCAAGCUGCCGCGUGUGUUUGAAAUCCGACCGUUGGACACAUGUCGGUUCCUUAGUGACCGAGGGUCAUUUCGGACAUAUCAGGUCGGGUUGCCACUUGGCUAUAAAUAGCCUACCCCAUACACCAUAAAUUGGUGGCUGCUCAGAGUUAGUGCACGACUUUUGUCGUUUGAGAGCAACCCACCUCCGAAGCAUUUGAGAGAGAGAUCCUUGCGAGGACUAAGCCCAAAACACCCAGAGCCAAAGAGUGUUAGACAUCACUAAAGUCUUUCUGUCCGCGUGAUCUGAAGACUUGUUACACUUGAGGACUGUGAAUCCUCCAGCCGGUUAGGCGUCGCGUUUUGAGCAUCCAAGAGUCAUUGUGGAUUGCCGGUGAACGAAGUCUGUGAAGGUUUGGAAGUCUACCUUGAAGACUUACUAGAGUGAUUGGGCGAGGACUGGGUGUCCUUAGCUCAAGGGGAAUAAGGUGAAGACACGGUCUUCUGAGUUCAAUCUCAGCCUCCCUAACUAGACAUACAGUUGUCAUAGCAAUUGGAAUAGUCUACCAAAUCCUUGUCUUCGCCAAGCAACUGGUUCUAUCCCCUACUCUCAUUACUCUUCAGUUUGUCUUCGUGAAGUCAUUGCUUGCCUGCCUGAUUCAUUUGACUUCACUAUGUGAAGACUUAUAUCUGUUUGGCUUCGUACUGUCUUCCAUCCUGAUCCUGUCUACCUAGCUGCAGUUAGUCUUUGUGCUUUCACUGUAUUGUAUGCUUGACUAAUGCUUGCCUAGUGUAGUUUUCAUUCUGUUGCUAACUAUAUAGGUUCAGUUUGCUUGUUUGUCUUCAAAGCAACCGUGUUUUGAAGACUCUCAUAAAAAUCGCCUAUUCACCCCCCUCUAGUCGACAACUAGCACUUUUAAUUGGUAUCAGAGCAAGGUACUUCCUUGUUCUGUGUGAUUCGAUUUAACCACCUGGAGUUUUAGCUAUGUCGACUGCAUGGAUAAUCAAGGUAUCUGCUACGUGUCCUAUUUUUGAUGGUCAUGAUUAUCCCAAAUGGAAGGCCAUGAUGAGGAAGCGCCUCCUUGCAAUGAAUAGUGGGUUGUGGACUGUCACGGAGAUUGGUCUCACCGAUCUGUGCAAGAUGGCGCAAGCUGACAACAUUCACAAGUACACUUAGCUGGAUAUCAUGGCUAAGGAUAUCAUAUGCUCCUGCCUGUCCAAUGACGAGUUCAGGCGCAUCAUGCAUCUCUGCAAUGCAAAGCUUAUAUGGGACCGUAUUUCUGAUGUCUAUGAAGGUCAUCGAACUCGUCAAGGUCCCUGGUUCCGCGAAUUCAAGGAGGCUCUUAAAACGAUGACAUUCGAACCUGAGUCUUCUGCUCGAACCUACUGCUUCAUGGCACGUGGUGCCAAGGUAACCUCGCGCGAUAACUCUGAAUGUGUAUCCAAAACUAGCUAUAAGACACUUGCUAAAAUUGCAAUUGAGCAACAAACUGCUAUGGAACAUAUUCAAAAGCUACUAUAAAAAGCGAUGACCUGUUGGACACAGAAAUGAAUCGAACUCAAUCCUUAGUCGAAGAUAUUAAAAGUCUUCGCAUUAAGUAUGAAGAACUUGAAAGUCGUCAUGAAACUCUCUUAGCCUCUCAUAAGAAGCUUUCCUAUGAUUAUCUUCAAAGGAAGCAAGACCUUGAGAAACUGAGAGUGUCUCAUGAAGAUCUUCAAAAAGAGAAUCAUUCACUACUCGCCCAACAGAUCAGUUCCGCUUAGGUAGAAUUUGUUCCACCAUGCUUAAAGUGUCUUGAGCGUGAUAAUGUUGUCUCUGUUGCUGGAUGUUCUGAUGUUGCAAUAUCUUCAACUACUGAUGUGGUAACUAACCCCUCUACUGAGGAUGCCACUACUAUUGCUGAUGAGAAUGCUAGGUUGAAGACAUUGCUUGAGACAGACAUGUACAAAAGCCUCAAAGGGCAUCAGACUUUGUGCAAUGUCCUCAGGAAACAGAUUCUAAACCGAAACCCUAGAAAAGAGGGUGUUGGGUUCGAGAGGAAAAUGAACGUUGAUUGUUCAUACUGGACGCCUGAGCAGUACCCCAAAACCACCUGGGUUGCUGCUAAGGAUCAUUCAGUGGACCCAUCCACUUUAUCUGGCUUCACUUGUGCUAACCCAAUUGUCAUUGAUGAAUCCUUUGAUGCCAAUUAUAAACUCUUUAAGAAUCAGAAUGGUGAAGUGUUUGCCAGGUACAUUGGUACUAACUGCAGGAACGGGUCACCCUAGAAGAAGAUCUGGGUGCCCAAUAGUUGUCUUGAGAAGCUUCCCGUGAAUGUCGUCAUGACACCACCUGGGAAGAAGACAAACCCUAGACUAAAGGCGUCAUAUGGCCCAAAGGCUUCAUACAGACAAAGGACCACUCAUGGUCACCCUAACACCAAUGUUUUGCAGGAGAACCAUUAUGAGGCUCAUGAAUAUGAGCGUGUUUCGUCUAACCGCUAUGUUCACAAAAGUAAGAACUUUUCUGCUUAUUCGUAUGAGUACUAUGAAGGAAAUAUGCCCUAGAGGCAAUAAUAAAGUUAUUAUUUAUUUCCUCAUAUCAUGAUAAAUGUUUAUUAUUCAUGCUAGAAUUGUAUUAACCGGAAACAUAAUACAUGUGUGAAUACAUAGACAAACAUAGUGUCACUAGUAUGCCUCUACUUGACUAGCUCGUUAAUCAAAGAUGGUUAAGUUUCCUAACCAUAGACAUGAGUUGUCAUUUGAUUAAUGGGAUCACAUCAUUAGGAGAAUGAUGUGAUUGACAUGACCCAUUCCGUUAGCUUAGCACUUGAUCGUUUAGUAUGUUGCUAUUGCUUUCUUCAUGACUUAUACAUGUUCCUAUGACUAUGAGAUUAUGCAACUCCCGUUUACCGGAGGAACACUUUGUGUGCUACCAAACAUCACAAUGUAACUAGGUGAUUAUAAAGGUGCUCUACAGGUGUCUCCGAAGGUACUUGUUGAGUUGGCGUAUUUCGAAAUUAGGAUUUGUCACUCCGAUUCUCAGAGAGGUAUCUCUGGGCCCUCUCGGUAAUGCACACCACUAUAAGCCUUGCAAGCAAUGUGACUAAUGAGUUAGUUGUGGGAUGAUGCAUUACAUAACGAGUAAAGAGACUUGCCGGUAACGAGAUUGAACUAGGUAUUGAGAUACCGACGAUCAAAUCUCGGGCAAGUAACAUACCGAUGACAAAGGGAACAACAUAUGUAGUUAUGCGGUUUGACCGAUAAAGAUCUUUGUAGAAUAUGUGGGAACCAAUAUGAGCAUCCAGGUUCCGCUAUUGGUUAUUGACCGGAGACUUGUCCCGGUCAUGUCUACAUAGUUCUCGAACCCGUAGGGUCCGCACGCUUAAAGUUCAGUGACGAUCGGUAUUAUGAAUUUUUGUGUUUUGAUGUACCAAAGGUAGUUCGGAGUCUCGGAUAUGAUCACAGACAUGACGAGGAGUCUUGAAAUGGUUGAGACGGAAAGAUCGAUAUAUUGGACGACUUUGUCCGGACACAGGAACUAUUUCGGAAGGUUUCAGACAUUUACCGGAGUACCGGGGGGGUUACCGGAACCCCCCGGGGAGUAUAUUGGGCCUAAUGGGCCUUAGCGGGAGAAGAGGAGGGGCGGCCAGGGCAGCCACUCGCCCCCUCCCCCUCUAGUCCUAAUUGGGCAAGGAGGGAGGGGGGCGCCCCCCUUUUCCCUUCCCCUUCUCUCUCCCUUCCUUCCCUUCUCCUACUCCUACAAGGAAAAGAGGAGUCCUACUCCCGGUGGGAGUAGGACUCCCCCUUGGCGCGCCCUCCUCCUGGUCGGGCUGCCCCCUUGCUCCUUUAUAUACCGGGGCAGGGGGCACCUCUAGACACACAAGUUGAUCUGUUGAUCUCUCCCAGCCGUGUGCGGUGCCCCCCUCCACCAUAUUCUACCUCGGUCAUAUCAUAGCGGUGCUUAGGCGAAGCCCUGCGUCGGUAGCAACAUCAUCACCAUCAUCACGCCGUCAUGCUGACGAAACCCUCCUGUGAAACUCUGCUGGAUCGGAGUUCGCGGGACAUCAUCGAGCUGAAUGUGUGCUGAACUCGGAGGUGCCGUACAUUCGGUACUUGGAUCGUUCGGAUCGUGAAGACGCACGACUACAUCAACCGCAUUGUGCUAAUGCUUCCGCUUUUGGUCUACGAGGGUACGUGGACUCACUCUCCCCGCUCGUUGCGUGUGCGUAGUAUUUUUUUUUGAAAUUACUACGUUCCCCAACAGUGGCAUCCCGGCCAGGUUUAUGCGUAGAUGUUAUAUGCACGAGUAGAACACAAGUGAGUUGUGGGCGAUACAAGUCAUACUGCUUACCAGCAUGUCAUACUUUGGUUCGGAGGUAUUGUUGGAUGAAGCGUCCCGGACCGACAUUACGCGUACGCUUACGCGAGACUGGUUCUACCGUUGUGCUUUGCACAUAGGUGGCUGGCGGGUGUCAGUUUCUCCAACUUUAGUUGAAUCGAGUGUGUCUAUGCCCAGUCCUUGAGAAGGUUAAAACAACACUAACUUGGCGAAAUAUCGUUGUGGUUUUGAUGCGUAGGUAAGAACGGUUCUUGCUCAGCCCAUAGCAGUCACGUAAAACUUGCAACAACAAAGUAGAGGACGUCUAACUUGUUUUUGCAGGGCAUGUUGUGAUGUGAUAUGGUCAAGACAUGAUGCUAAAUUUUAUUGUAUGAGAUGAUAAUGUUUUGUAACAGAGUUAUCGACAAUUGGCAGGAGCCAUGUGGUUAUCGCUUUAUUGUAUGCAAUGCAAUCGCCCUGUAAUUGCUUUACUUAAUCACUAAGUGGUAGCGAUAGUCGUAGAAGCAAUAGUUGGUGAGACGAUAACGAUGCUACGAUGGAGAUCAAGGUGUAGCGCCGGUGACGAUGGUGAUCAUGACGGUGCUUUCGAGAUGGAGAUCAAAGGCACAAGAUGAUGAUGGCCAUAUCAUAUCACUUAUAUUGAUUGCAUGUGAUGUUUAUCUUUUAUGUAUCUUAUUUUGCUUUGAUUGACGGUAGCAUUAUAAGAUGAUCUCUCACUAAAUUUCAAGGUAUAAGUGUUCUCCCUGAGUAUGCACUGUUGCGAAAGUUCUUCGUGCCGAGACACCACGUGAUGAUCGGGUGUGAUAAGCUCUAUGUUCAAAUACAAUGGCUAUAAGACAGUUUUGCACACGCAGAAUACUCAGGUUAAACUUGACGAGCCUAGCAUUUGCAGAUAUGGCCUCGGAACAUUGAGACUGAAAUGUCGAGAGUGAAUCAUAUAGUAGAUAUGAUCAACAUAGUGAUGUUCACCAUUGAAAACUACUCCAUCUCACGUGAUGAUCGGACAUGGUUUAGUUGAUUUGGAUCACGUGAUCACUUAGAUGAUUAGAGGGAUGUCUAUCUAAGUGGGAGUUCUUAAGUAAUAUGAUUAAUUGAACUUUAAUUUAUCAUGAACUUAGUACCUGUUAGUAUUUUUGCUUGUCUAUGUUAUUGUAGAUAGAUGGCCCGUGCUGUUGUUCCGUUGAAUUUUAAUGCGUUCCUUGAGAAAGCUAAGUUGAAAGAUGAUGGUAGCAAUUACACAGACUGGGUCCGUAAGUUGAGGAUUAUCCUCAUUGCUGCACAAAAGAAUUACGUCCUGGAAGCACCGCUGGGUGCCAGGCCUGCUGCAGAUGCAACUGACAAUGUUAAAAACGUCUGGCAGAGCAAAGCUGAUGGCUACUCGAUAGUUUAGUGUGCCAUGCUUUACGGCUUAGAACUAGGACUUCAACGGUGUUUUGAACAUCAUGGAGCAUAUGAGAUGUUCCAGGAGUUGAAGUUAAUAUUUCAAGCAAAUGCUCGGAUUGAGAUAUAUGAAGUCUCCAAUAAGUUCUAUAGCUGCAAGAUAGAGGAGAAUAGUUCUGUCAGUGAACAUAUACUCAAAAUGUAUGGGUAUAAUAAUCACUUGAUUCAACUGGGAGUUAAUCUUCCUGAUGAUAGUGUCAUUGACAGAAUUCUUCAAUCACUGCCACCAAGCUACAAGAGCUUUGUGAUGAACUAUAAUGUGCAACGGAUGAACAAGACUAUUCCCGAGCUCUUUGCAAUGCUAAAGGCUGCGGAGGUAGAAAUCAAGAAGGAGCAUCAAGUGUUGAUGGUCAACAAGACCACCAGUUUCAAGAAAAAGGGAAAAGGGAAGAAGAAGGGGAACUUCAAGAAGAACGACAAUCAAGUUGCUUCUCAGGAGAAGAAACCCAAGUCUGGACCUACGCCUGAGACUGAGUGCUUCUACUGCAAAGGGACUGGUCACUGGAAGCGAAACUGCCCCAAGUAUUUGGCGGAUAAGAAGGAUGGCAAGCUGAACAAAGGUAUAUGUGAUAUACAUGUUAUUGAUGCGUACCUUACUAAUGCUCGCAGUAGCACCUGGGUAUUUGAUACUGGUUCUGUUGCUAAUAUUUGCAACUCGAAACAGGGACUACGGAUUAAGCGAGGAUUGGCUAAGGACGAGGUGACUAUGCACGUGGGAAAUGGUUCCAAAGUCGAUGUGAUCGCGGUCGGCACGCUACCUCUACAUCUACCUUCGGGAUUAGUUUUAGACCUGAAUAAUUGUUAUUUGGUGCCAGCGUUGAGCAUGAACAUUAUAUCUGGAUCUUGUUUGAUGUGAGACGGUUAUUCAUUUAAAUCAGAGAAUAAUGGUUGUUCUAUUUAUAUGAGUAAUAUCUUUUAUGGUCAUGCACCCUUGAAGAGUGGUCUAUUUAUCUUGAAUCUCGAUAGUAGUGCUACACAUAUUCAUAAUGUUGAAGCCAAAAGAUGCAGAGUUGAUAAUGAUAGUGCAACUUAUUUGUGGCAUUGCCGUUUAGGUCAUAUUGGUGUAAAGCGCAUGAAGAAACUCCAUACUGAUGGACUUCUGGAAUCACUUGAUUAUGAACCACUUGGUACUUGCGAACCAUGCCUUAUGGGCAAGAUGACUAAAAUGCCAUUCUCCGGAACAAUGGAGCGAGCAACAGAUUUGUUGGAGAUCAUACAUACUGAUGUAUGUGGUCCGAUGAAUGUUGAGGCUCGCGACGGGUAUCGUUAUUUUCUCACCUUCACAGAUGAUUUGAGCAGAUAUGGGUAUAUCUACUUAAUGAAACAUAAAUCUGAAACAUUUGAAAAGUUCAACGAAUAUCAGAGUGAAGUAGAAAAUAAUCAUAACAAGAAAAUAAAGUUUCUACGAUCUGAUCAUGGAGGAGAAUAUUUGAGUUACGAGUUUGGUCUUCAUGUGAAACAAUGCAGAAUAGUUUUGCAACUCACGCCACCCGGAACACCAUAGCGUAAUGGUGUGUCCGAAUAUCGUAAUCGUACUUUACUAGAUAUGGUGCGAUCUAUGAUGUCUCUUACUGAUUUACCGCUAUCAUUUUGGGGUUAUGCUUUAGAGACGGCUGCAUUCACGUUAAAUAGGGCACCAUCGAAAUCCAUUGAGACGACGCCUUAUGAACUGUGGUUUGGCAAGAAACCAAAGUUUUCGUUAAAGUUUGGGGCUGCGAUGCUUAUGUGAAAAAACUUCAACCUGAUAAGCUCGAACCCAAAUCGGAGAAAUGUGUCUUCAUAGGAUACCCAAACGAGACUGUUGGGUACACCUUCUAUCACAGAUCUAAAGGCAAGACAUUUGUUGCUAAAUUUGGAUCCUUUCUAGAGAAGGAGUUUAUCUCGAAAGAAGUGAGUGCGAGGAAAGUAGAACUUGAUGAGGUAACUGUACCUACUCCCUUAUUGUAAAGUAGUUCAUCACAGAAAUCGGUUCCUGUGACGCCUACACCAAUUAGUGAGGAAGCUAAUGAUAUUGAUCAUGAAACUUCAGAUCAAGUUACUACCGAACCUCGUAGGUCAACCAGAGUAAGAUCCGCACCAUAGUGGUACCGUAAUCCUAUUCUGGAGGUCAUGUUACUUGACCAUGGCGAACCUACAAACUAUGAGGAAGUGAUGAUGAGCCCAGAUUCCGCAAAAUGGCUUGAGGCCAUGAAAUCUGAGAUGGGAUCCAUUUAUGAGAACAAAGUGUGGACUUUGGUUGACUUGCCCGAUGAUCGGCAAGCCGUUGAGAAUAAAUGGAUCUUCAAGAAGAAGACUGACACUGACGGUAAUGUUACUAUCUACAAAGCUCGACUUGUUGCGAAAAGUUUUCAACAAGUUCAAGGGGUUGACUACGAUGAGACUUUCUCACCUGUAGCGAUGCUUAAGUCUGUCCGAAUCAUGUUAGCAAUUGCUGCAUUUUAUGAUUAUGAAAUUUGGCAAAUGGAUGUCAAAACUGCAUUCCUGAAAGGAUUUCUAGAAGAAGAGUUGUAUAUGAUGCAACCAAAAGGUUUUGUCAAUCAGAAAGGUGCUAACAAAGUGUGCAAACUCCAGCGAUCCAUUUAUGGACUGCUGCAAGCCUCUCAGAGUUGGAAUAAACGCUUUGAUAGUGUGAUCAAAGCAUAUGGUUUUAUACAGACUUUUGGAGAAGCCUGUAUUUACAAGAAAGUGAGUGGGAGCUCUGUAGCAUUUCUGAUAUUCUAUGUGGACGACAUAUUGUUGAUUGGAAAUGAUAUAGAAUUUCUGGAUAGCAUAAAAGGAUACUUGAGUAAAAGUUUUUCAAUGAAAGACCUCGGUGAAGCUGCUUAUAUAUUGGGCAUCAAGAUCUAUAGAGAUAGAUCAAGACGCUUAAUUGGACUUCCACAAAGCACAUACCUUGAGUAACUGAGAGUGUCUCAUGAAGAUCUUCAAAAAGAGAACGAUUCACUACUCGCCCAACAGAUCAGUUCCGCUCAGGUAGAAUUUGUUCCACCAUGCUUAAAGUGUCUUGAGCGUGAUAAUGUUGUCUCUGUUGCUAGAUGUUCUACUACUUCUGAUGUUGCAAUAUCUUCAACUACUGAUGUGGUAACUAACCCUUGAUAACCCGCAAGUAUACGGGAUCACAACAGUUUUCGAUAAGUAAGAGUGUCGAACCCAACGAGGAGCUAAAGGUAGAAUAAAUAUUCCCUCAAGUUCUAUCGACCACCGAUACAACUCUACGUAUGCUUGACGUUCGCUUUACCUAGAACAAGUAUGAAGUACAUUGUAGGUGUGAUAGGAUAGGUUUGCAAGAUAAUAAAGAGCACGUAAAUAAAAGCUGGGGGCUGUUUAGAAAAAGAUGCAAUAAAGUAAAUAUUAAUAGAGAGUUUUUUGUUACGAGAAAGUUAUUUGUCCAAGCAAUCAAUAACUAGACCGAUAAUCACUGUUGUAAUUCUAUUUGAGGGAGAUGCAUAAGCUAACAUACUUUCUCUACUUGGAUCAUAUGCAUUUAUGAUUGGAACUCUAGCAAGCGUCCGCAACUACUAAAGAUUCAUUAAGGUAAAACCCAACCAUAGCAUUAAAGUAUCAAGUCCCCUUUUAUCCCAUACGCAAACAACCUACUUACUCGGGUCUGUGCUUCUAUUCACUCACGCCACCCACCAUAAGAAAAUCAUAAACAUAUUGCAAACCCUAUAGCGGGGAUCCCUCACGCUUGCGCGACACGGAGAGCACCAUAGGACAGCACCAAUAAUAAAACAUGCAACUCAAACCAAUCACGAUCAUCAAUUAACCCAUAGGACAAAACGGAUCUACUCAACAUCAUAAGAUAGCCAUACAUCAUUGGGAAAUAAUAUAUAGCGUUGAGCACCAUGUUUAAGUAGAGAUUAUAGCGGGUAAGAGAGAGGUUACACCGCUGCAUAGAGGGAGGAAGAGUUUGUGAUGAAGGCGGUGAAGUUGUUGGCGAAGAUCGCAGUGAUGAUGAUGGCCCCCGGCAGCGCUCCAGCGCCACCGGAAGCAAGGGGGAGAGAGCCCCCCUUCUUCUUCUUCUUCAUCCUUGACCUCCUCCCUAGAUGGAAGAAGGGUUUCCCCUCUGGUCCUUGGCUCCCAUGGAUUGGGAGGGGCGAGAGCCCCUCCGAGAUUGGAUCUAUCUCUCUGUUUCUGCGUUCUCAGAUUCUACCCCUUCACCGUUUCCUUUAUAUCUGGAGAUCCGUAACUCCGAUUGGGGUUUCGCCCAGAUCUUUCUCAUAAAAUUAUCUUUCUUGGGCCAAAAGAAGAGCGUCAACCGCCUUACGGGUGGCCCGAGAGCCCAAGCCGCGCCCAAGGGGGGAGGGCGCGCCCCCCUGUCUCGUGGCCACCCCGGACACCGUUUUGCGUUGAUUUUACUUCCCAAAAUUCAUAAAUAUUCCAAAAAAAUCUCCGUCCGUUUUUAUCCCGUUUGGACUCCGUUUGAUAUUGGGUUUCUGCGAAACAAAAAACAUGCAACAGACAGGAACUAGCACUGGGCACUAGAUCGAUUGUUAGUCCCAAAAAAUAGUAUAAAAAGUUGCUAAAAGUAUACAAAAGUUGAAUAAUAUUGGUAUGGAACAAUCAAAAAUUAUAGAUACGACGGAGACGUAUCAGCAUCCCCAAGCUUAAUUCCUGCUCGUCCUCGAGUAGAUAAAUGAUAAAAAAGAUAAUUUUUGAUGUGGAAUGCUACCUAGCAUAAUCUUGAUCAUAUGUCUAAUCAUGGCAUGAAUAUUAAGACACGAGUGAUUCAAAGCAAUAGUCUAUCAUUUGAUAUAAAAACAAUAAUACUUCGAGCGUACCAAUAAAGCAAUCAUGUCUUUUCAAAACAACAAGGCAAAAGCAAGCUUAUCCCUACAAAAUCAUACAAUUUGGCCAUGCUUCAUUUUUGUCACACAAAAUGCUCCCAUCAUGCACAACCCCGAUGACAAGCCGAGCAAUUGGUUCAUACUUUUUAACACGCUUCAGCUUUUUCAACCCUCACGCAAUAUACGAGCGCAAGCCAUGGAUAUAGCACUAUAGGUGGAAUAGAAUAUAACGAUGGAGGUUAUGUGGAGAAGACAAAAAGGGAGAAAGUCUCACAUCGACGCGGCUAAUCAACAGGCUAUGGAGAUGCCCAUCAAUUGAUGUCAAUGCGAGGAGUAGGGAUUGCCAUGCAACAGAUGCACUAAGAGCUAUAAGUGUAUGAAAGCUCAACAAAAGAAACUAAGUGGGUGUGCAUCCAACUUGCUUGCUCAUGAAGACCUAGGGCAUUUGAGGAAGCCCAUCGUUGGAAUAUACAAGCCAAGUUUUAUAAUGAAAAUUCCCACUAGUAUAUGAAAGUGACAACAUAGGAGACAAUCUAUAUGAAAGUUUAUUAGCCCUCGAAGCAAAGUACUACUACGCAUGUGAAGGAAAUAUGCCCUAGAGGCAAUAAUAAAGUUAUUAUUUAUUUACUCAUAUCAUGAUAAAUGUUUAUUAUUCAUGUUAGAAUUGUAUUAACUGGAAACAUGAUACAUGUGUGAAUACACAGACAAACAUAUAGUCACUAGUAUGCCUCUACUUGACUAGCUCAUUAAUCAAAGAUGGUUAUGUUUCCUAACCAUAGACAUGUGUUGUCAUUUGAUUAAUGGGAUCACAUCAUUAGGAGAAUGAUGUGAUUGACAUGACCCAUUCCGUUAGCCUAGCACUUGAUCGUUUAGUAUAUUGCUAUUGCUUUCUUCAUGACUUAUACAUGUUCCUGUAACUAUGAGAAUUAUGCAACUCCCGUUUACCGGAGGAACACUUUGGGUACUACCAAACGUCACAACGUAACUGGGUGAUUAUAAAUGAGUACUACAGGUGUCUCCGAAGGUACAUGUUGAGUUGGCGUAUUUCGAGAUAAGGUUUUGUCACUCCGAUUAUCGGAGAGGUAUCUCUGGGCCCUCUCGGUAAUGCACAUCAUUAUAAGCCUUGCAAGCAAUGUGACCAAAUGAGUUGGUUACGAGAUGAUGCAUUACGGAACGAGUAAAGAGACUUACUGGUAACGAGAUUGAACUAGGUAUUGGAUACCGACGAUCAAAUCUCGGGCAAGUAACAUACCGAUGACAAAGGGAACAACGUAUGUUGUUAUGCAGUUUGACCGAUAAAGAUCUUCAUAGAAUAUGUAGGAACCAAUAUGGGCAUCCAGGUUCCGCUAUUGGUUAUUGACCGAGAAUAGUUCUAGGUCAUGUCUACAUAGUUCUCGAACCCGUAGGGUCCGCACGCUUAACGUUACGAUGACAGUUUUAUUAUGAGUUUAUAAGUUUUUAUGUACCGAAGUUUGUUCGGACUCCCGGAUGUGAUCACGAACGUAACGAGGAGUCUCGAAAUGGUCGAGACAUAAAGAUCGAUAUAUUGGAAGCCUAUAUUUGGACAUCGGAAUCGUUCCGGGUGAAAUCGGCAUUUUACCGGAGUACCGGGAGGUUACCGGAACCCCCCGGGGGGUUAUUGGGCCUACAUGGGCCUCGAGGGAGAAGAGGGAAGGAGGCAGGAGGGGGCCGCACGCCCCUCCCCUUCCUAGUCCGAAUAGGACAAGGGAAAGGGGGCGGCGCCCCUCCCUUUCCUUCCCCUCUUCCUCCUCUUUCCCCUUCUCCUAUUCCAACUAGGAAAGAAGGGAGUCCUACUCUCGGUGGGAGUAGGACUCCCCCCUUGGCGCGCCCUCCUUGGCCGGCCGCCUCCUCCCCCCUGGCUCCUUUAUAUACGGGGGCGGGGGGCACCCCAUAGACACACAAGUUGAUCUACGGAUCGUUCCUUAGCCGUGUGCGGUGCCCCCUUCCACCAUAUUCCACCUCGGUCAUAUCGUUGCGGAGUUUAGGAGAAGCCCUGCACCGAUAGAACAUCAUCAUCGUCACCAUGCCAUCGUGCUGAUGGAACUCAUCUUCGGAGCUUUGCUGGAUCGGAGCCCGGAGAUCGUCAUUGAGCUGAACGUGUGCUGAACUCGGAGGUGCCGUACGUUCGGUGCUUGGAUCGGUCGGAUCGUGAAGACGUAUGACUACAUCAACCGCGUUGUGCUAAUGCUUCCGCUUAUGGUAUACGAGGAUACGUGGACGAAUACUCUCCCCUCUCAUUGCUAUUCCAUCACCAUGAUCUUGCGUGUGCGUAGGAAUUUUUUUGAAAUUACUACGUUCCCCAACAGUGGCAUCCGAGCCUAGGUUUUAUGCGUUGAUGUUAUUUGCACGAGUAGAACACAAGUGAGUUGUGGGCGAUACAAGUCAUACUGCUUACCAGCAUGUCAUACUUUGGUUCGGCGGUAUUGUUGGAUGAAGCGGCCCGGACCGACAUUACGCGUACGCUUACGCGAGACUGGUUUUACCGCCGUGCUUUGCACACAAGUGACUAGCGGGUGUCUGUUUCUCCAACUUUAGUUGAACCGAGUGUGGCUACGCCCGGUCCUUGCGAAUGUUAAAAUAGCACCAACUUGACGAACUAUCGUUGUGGUUUUGAUGCGUAGGUAAGAACGGUUCUUGCUCAGCCCGUAGCAGCCACGUAAAACUUGCAACAACAAAGUAGAGGACGUCUAACUUGUUUUUGCAGGGCAUGUUGUGAUGUGAUAUGGUCAAGAGGUGAUGCUAUAUAUUAUUGUAUGAGAUGAUCAUGUUUUGUAACCAAAGUUAUCGGCAACUGGCAGGAGCCAUAUGGUUGUCGCUUUAUUGUAUGAAAUGCAAACGCCCUGUAAUUGCUUUACUUUAUCUCUAAGCGGUAGCGAUAGUCGUAGAAGCAAUAGAUGGCGUAACGACAACGAUGCUACGAUGGAGAUCAAGGUGUCGCGCCGGUGACGAUGGUGAUCACGACGGUGCUUCGAAGAUGGAGAUCACAAGCACAAGAUGAUGAUGGCCAUAUCAUAUCACUUAUAUUGAUUGCAUGUGAUGUUUAUCCUUUAUGCAUCUUAUCUUGCUUUGAUUGACGGUAGCAUUUUAAGAUGAUCUCUCACUAAUAAUCAAGAAGUGUUCUCCCUGAGUAUGCACCGUUGCGAAAGUUCUUCGUGCUGAGACACCACGUGAUGAUCGGGUGUGAUAGGCUCUACGUUCAAAUACAACGGGUGCAAAACAGUUGCACACGCGGAAUACUCAGGUUAAACUUGACGAGCCUAGCAUAUACAGAUAUGGCCUCGGAACACGGAGACCGAAAGGUCGAGCGUGAAUCAUAUAGUAGAUAUGAUCAACAUAUUGAUGUUCACCGUUGAAACUACUCCAUCUCACGUGAUGAUCGGAUAUGGUGUAGUUGAUAUGGAUCACAUAAUCACUUAGAGGAUUAGAGGGAUGUCUUUCUAAGUGGGAGUUCUUAAGUAAUAUGAUUAAUUGAACUUUAAUUUAUCAUGAACUUAGUCCUGGUAGUAUUUUGCAAAUUAUGUUGUAGAUCAAUAGCUUGCGUUGUUGCUUUCAUUUGUUUAUUUUGAUAUGUUCCUAGAGAAAAUUGUGUUGAAAGAUGUUAGUAGCAAUGAUGCGGAUUGGAUCCGAGAUCUGACGUUUAUCCUCAUUGCUGCAUAGAAGAAUUAUGUCCUUGAUGCACCGCUAGGUGACAGACCUAUUGCAAGAGCAGAUGCAGACAUUAUGAACGUUUGGAUAGCCCAAUAUGAUGACUACUUGAUAGUUUUGUGCACCAUGCUUUAUGGCUUAGAAUCGGGACUUCAAAGACGUUUUGAACGUCAUGGACCAUAUGAGAUGUUCCAGAGGUUAAAGUUAAUAUUUCAAGCAAAUACCCGAGUUGAGAGAUAUGAAGUCUCCAACAAGUUCUAUAGCUAAAAGAUGGAGGAGAAUCGCUCAACUUGUGAGCAUGUGCUCAGAUUGUCUGGGUACUACAAUCGCUUGAAUCAAGUGGGAGUUAAUCUUCCAGAUAAGAUAGUGAUUGACAGAAUUCUCUAGUCACCACCACCAAGUUAGUAGAACUUCAUGAUGAACUAUAAUGCAAGGGAUGACGAAAAUGAUUCCCGAGCUCUUCGUGAUGCUGAAAUCAACGAAGGUAGAAAUCAAGAAAGAGCAUCAAGUGUUGAUGAUUGACAAGACCACUAGUUUCAAGAAAAAGGGCAAAGUGAAAGAAAGGGAACUUCAACAAGAAUGGCAAGCAAGUUUUCACUCCCGCGAAGAAGCCCAGAGCUGGACCAAAGCCUGAAACUGAGUGAUUAUACUGCAAAGGAAAUGGUCACUAGAAGCGGAAAUGCCUUGAAUAUUUGGUGGAUAAGAAGGAUGGCAAAGUGAACAAGGGUAUAUUUGAUGUACAUGUUAUUGAUGUGUACCUUACUAGUGUUUAUAACCCCUGAGUAUUUGAUACUUGUUCGGUUGCUAAGAUUAGUAACUCGAAACAGGAGUUACACAAUAAACAGAAACUAGUUGAGGGUGAAGUGACGAUGUGUGUUGGAAGUGGUUCCAAGAUUGAUAUGAUCAUCAUCGCACACUCCCUAUACUUUCAAGAUUAGUGUUGAACCUAAAUAAAUGUUAUUUGGUGUUUGCGUUGAGCAUGAAUAUGACUUGAUCAUGUUUAUUGCAAUACGGUUAUUCAUUUAAAAUCAGAGAAUAAUUGUUUUUCUGUUUAAAUGAAUAAAACAUUUGAUGGUCAUACACCCAAUGAAAAUAGUUUGUUACAUCUCGAUCGUAGUGAUACACAUAUUCAUAAUAUUGAUGCCAAAAGAUGCAAAGUUGAUAAUGAUAGUGCAACUUAUUUGUGGCACUGCCGUUUGGGUCAUAUCGGUAUAAAGCGCAUGAAGAAACUCCAUAAAGAUGGAUUUUCGGAAUCACUUGGUUAUGAAUCAUUUGAUGCUUGCGAACCGUGCCUUUUGGGCAAGAUGACUAAAAACUCCGUUCUCCGGAACAAUGGAACAAGCUACUGACUUAUUGGAAAUAAUACAUACCGAUGUAUGCGAUCCAAUGAGUGUUGAUGCUCGUGGCAAGUAUCGUUAUUUUCUGACCUUCACAAAAUGAUUUGAGCAGAUAUGGGUAUAUCUACUUGAUGAAACAUAAGUCUGAAAUAAUUGAAAGGUUCAAAGAAUUUCAGAGUGAAGUGGAAAAAUCAUCGUAACAAGAAAAUAAAGUUUUUGCGAUCUGAUCGCGGAGACGAAUAUUUGAGUUACGAGUUUGGUCUUCAAUUAAAACAAUGUGCAAUAGUUUCACAGCUCACGCCACCUAGAACACCACAACGUUAUGGUGUGUCCGAACAUCGUAACCGCACUUUAUUGGAUAUGGUGCGAUCUAUGAUGUCUCUUAUCGGUUUUACCACUAUCGUUUUGGGGUUGUGCAUUAGAGACAACUGCAUUCACAUUUAAAAGGGCACCAUCUAAAUCCGUUGAGACGACACCGUAUGAACUAUGGUUUAGCAGUAAACCUAAGCUGUCGUUUCUUAAAGUUUGGAGUUGCGAUGCUUAUAUGAAAAAGUUUCAACCUGAUAAGCUCAAACCCAAAUCGGAAAAGUGCAUCUUCAUAGAAUACCCAAAGUUAAUUGUUGGGUACACCUUCUAUCACAAAUCCGAAGGCAAGAUAUUCGUUGCUAAGAUGGAUCCUUUCUAGAGAAGAAGUUUCUGUCGAAAGAAGUGAGUGGGAGGAAAGUAGAACUUGAUGAGGUAAUUGUACCUUCUCCCUUAUUGGAAAGUAGUUCAUCACAGAAAUCAGUUCCAGUGAUUCCUACACCAAUUAGUGAGGAAGUUAAUGAUGAUGAUCAUGAAACUUCAGAUCAAGUUGCUACCAAACCUCGUAGGUCUUCCAGAGUAAGAUCCGCACCAGAGUGGUACGGUAAUCGUGUUCUGGAAGUCAUGUUACUAGACCAUGAUGAACCUACGAACUAUGAGGAAGCGAUGAUGAGCCCAGAUUCCGCAAAAUGGUUUGAGGCCAUGAAAUCUGAGUUGGGAUCCAUGUAUGAGAACAAAGUGUGGACUUUGGUGGACUUGCCCGAUGAUCGGCAAGCCAUAGAAAAUAAAUGGAUCUUCAAGAGGAAGACGGACGCUGAUAGUAGUGUUACUAUCUACGAAGCUAGACUUGUCGAAAAGGUUUUUGACAAAGUUCAAGGUGUUGAAUACAAUGAGAUUUUCUCACUCGUAUCGAUACUUAAAAGUCUGUCCGAAUCAUGUUAGCAAUUGCCACAUUUUAUGAAAUUUGGCAAAUGGAUGUCAAAACUACAUUCCUUAUGGAUUUAUUAAAGAAGAGUUGUAUAUGAUACAACCAGAAGGUUUUGUCAAUCCUAAAGGUGCUAACAAAAUAUGCAAGCUCCAGCGAUCCAUCUAUGGACUGGUGCAAGCAUCUCAGAGUUGGAAUAUACGCUUUGAUAAGUUGAUCAAAGCAUAUAGUUUUAUACAGACUUGCGGUGAAGCCUGUAUUUACAAGAAAGUGAGUGGGAGAACUACAACAUUUCUCAUAAGUAUAUGUGAAUGACAUAUUGUUGAUCGGAAAUAAUGUAGAAUUAUUCUGCAAAGCAUAAAGGAGUGUUUGAAAGGAGUUCUUUAAAAGAAAGACCUCGGUAAAGCUGCUUACACAUUGAGCAUCAAGAUCUAUAUAGAUAGAUCAAGACGCUUGAUAAGAUUUUUCAAUGAAUACAUACCUUGAUAAAUUUUUGAAAUAGUUCAAAAUGGAAUAGUCAAAGAAGGAGUUCUUGCCUGUGUUGCAAGGUGUGAGGUUGAGUAAGACUCAAGACCCGACCAUGGCAGAAAAUAGAAAGAGAAUGAAAAGUCAUUCCCUAUGCCUCAGUCAUAGGUUCUAUAAAGUAUGCUAUGCUGUGAACCAGACCUAUUGUAUACCUUGCUCUGAGUUUGACAAAGGAAUACAAUUUUGAUCUAAUAGUAGAUCACUGGAUAGCGGUCAAGAAUAUCCUUAGUGAGGACUAAGGAGAUGUUUCUCGAUUAUGGAGGUGAUAAAAGAGUUUGUUGUAAAAGUUACAUCGGUGCAAACUUUUACACUGAUCCAGAUGACUCUAAGUCUCAAACUGGAUACAUAUUGAAAGUGGGAGCAAUUAAGCUAGAGUAGCUCCAUGCAGAGCAUUGAAGACAUAGAAUGUUUGCAAAAUACAUACGGCUCUGAAUGUGACAGACCCGUUGACUAAGCUUCUCUCACGAGCAAAACAUGAUCACACCUUAGUACACUUUGGGUGUUAAUCACAUAGCGAUGUGAACUAGAUUAUUGACUCUAGUAACCCCUUUGAGUAUUGGUCACAUAACAAUGUGAACUAUGUUAAUCAUAUACAGAUAUGAAUAUUGGUGUUAAAUCACAUGGCGAUGUGAACUAGAUUAUUGACUCUAGUGCAAGUGGGAGACUGAAGGAAAUAUGCCCUAGAGGCAAUAAUAAAGUUAUUAUUUAUUUCCUCAUAUCAUGAUAAAUGUUUAUUAUUCAUGCUAGAAUUGUAUUAACCGGAAACAUGAUACAUGUGUGAAUACAUAGACAAACAUAUAGUCACUAGUAUGCCUCUACUUGACUAGCUCAUUAAUCAAAGAUGGUUAUGUUUCCUAACCAUAUACAUGUGUUGUCAUUUGAUUAAUGGGAUAACAUCAUUAGGAGAAUGAUGUGAUUGACAUGACCCAUUCCGUUAGCCUAGCACUUGAUCAUUUAGUAUAUUGCUAUUGCUUUCUUCAUGACUGAUACAUGUUCCUGUAACUAUGAGAAUUAUGCAACUCCCGUUUACCGGAGGAACACUUUGGGUACUACCAAACGUCACAACGUAACUGGGUGAUUAUAAAGGAGUACUACAGGUGUCUCCGAAGGUACAUGUUGAGUUGGCGUAUUUCGAGAUUAGGUUUUGUCACUCCGAUUAUCGGAGAGGUAUCUCUGGGCCCUCUCGGUAAUGCACAUCAUUAUAAGCCUUGCAAGCAAUGUGACCAAAUGAGUUGGUUACGAGAUGAUGCAUUAUGGAACGAGUAAAGAGACUUACCAGUAACGAGAUUGAACUAGGUAUUGGAUACCGACAAUCAAAUCUCGGGCAAGUAACAUACCGAUGACAAAGGGAACAAUGUCACAUCCCUAGCUUCUGGCGUUGCUCUAGCCUAGCUUCAUGUGUGCAUCAUGUCUAUAUUUUGAAACUUGAAUUGAGGAAUUAUUGGAAGCCUCAAAACCCUAAAUAAAAGAGGGGCAAAAACCCUAGAAAUCUUAUUCAUUGCCCCAAAAGGCUCUUCUUAAAUGUUUGAUAAUUUUUGGUAAGGGUUCUGGUCCCAACCAAAAUAUUGAACAUUUUUAAGGAUUUAUUUUUGGGACUUUGAAUUUAAAUCAUUAGCUAUUUGAACUUGAAUUAUAUUCAUAUAAUUAGAAUAUAAUUUCAAAUAUCCCUGAAUUAUUUUAUGAGCUUUUGGAAAAGUCCAUCUAGCAAAAUAAAAAUAUUCAGAGGAGUUUUGGCAUUGUUUGAAUUAUUUUUAAAUUCAAACAAUGGCAAAAGAUAUUAAAAUAAAACAGAACAAAAUAGAAAACAGAAAUAUAAAACAAAACAGAAGAGAGAAGCCCAGCUUACCUGGCGCCACGAGCCGGCCCAGCUCCCCCCCCCCUGGCCGGCCCAGCCCACCAGCGCCUCCCCUGUCGCCUUCCUCCUCUGCCAGGAGGACGGGCACGCGCCCGGCGCGCGCGGCCACGCGCCCCGGCCACCUCCUCCCUGCUUCGGCCACCUCCUGCCUCCCUGCUUGCCUCCACUACUCCCUGGAGACGCCACGCGGCCCCACGAACUCCCUCACUCUCUCCCGAGCUCUCCCCCCUCCUCUGUUUCUCUCUCCCUCUCGUGCCGAGCGCAGCCGUCGCCACCGACGCUGUUCGCCGCGGCCACCGGCCACCCCUCGCCUCGCCGAUGCCUCUAGAAGAACCGCCGCGCCUUCUUCUUCGUCUCCACCAACCCAUGUGACGCCGGAAGCCUCGGAGCGCCGUCCCCGACGUCUUCUUCCUCCUCGGGCCACCGAGAUCGCCGGUGACCUCCCGUCGUCACCAGCCCCUCCCCGAGCUCGCUGACCUCCUCUACGGCACCGCUGUGAGCUCCUACGCCUCCCCUCCCUCUUUCCCCCUUCGAUUGCGCCCUGUAGCCCCGAUCCCACCGGAGCCGCGAGCUCGGCUCCGCCGGCGGUGUCGCCGCCGUCACUGCAGACAGCAAGGCUCGAAACCGAGCACGGCACCGUGCUCCUAGCAUCCUCAGGAGCUCGGCGAGCCCCUUAACCAUCCCUCCCGUCCUCUGUGGCCUCGCCCCGCUUGAACCCGAAGCUCCGGUCGCCGCCGCGGGUCCCGUUCCGGUGAGCUCGGGCCACCUCAGCCCCUGCCGCUUGCACAAAUGGAUGCGGGCGACUCCCAGCUACGCGUAGAGCCCCUCAGUCGCCGUUUUGGUCGCCGAAGGAGCGUUUCCGACGCCCUCCGCCGUUGCUGGCGUCGCCGGCGACAAGCCGCGGGUCAACUCCGGCGGGUUUGACCCGGGGUUUGACCCCCUGACGUGUGGGCCCAGGCGCCUGCUUAAUUAGUAUUAGGUUAAUUAGUGUUAAUUAAUUUAGUUAAUUAGGUGAGCCACUGACAUGCGGGCCCCGCCCGGCUAACUAAGUUAGUUAGGGCUAACUAACCCGGUUAGUUGACUGGGUCACUGACCAGUGGACCCCACUGGUCAGGUUUGACCUGGAGGCGCCCUGUUGACCUGCUGACGUCAUCAUGACGUCAGGCUGAUGCAGUAAUUGUUUUCUGGAGUUUUAAAUAAAUCAGAAAUGAUUUAUUAAAUUCAGAAAAUGCCCUAAACUUCAAUAAAUCAUAGAAAAUUAACCGUAAGUCCAAAUUUAAUAAAUUAUAUAUGAAAAAUUAUCAGAAAAAUUCAAGGAAUCCAUCUGUACCAUUUUCAUGCAUGUUAGAACAACUUAUAGGUGCUGUUUAGCACAAAUCAUAUAAAGGGCAUUUAAAUAAUCACAUAUGGAGUUUGAAUUUGAAUCUUGUAUUCAAACCAACCUCAUUUAAUCUGUUGCUAGUUGCAUUAGCUCAAAACACAUUCAUCUUGCCAUGUCAUGAUCAUGCAUCAUAUUGUGCAUUGCAUUGAUUGUGUUUUCUGUGUUGCCGGUAUCUGUCCCCUCUCGAUAGACGAGAUACCCGAUGAUGUGAUCGUUGACACUGAUGAAGACUCAAUGUUACCUUCAGAAGUGCCAGGCAAGCAAAACCCCCUUGUUCAUUCCGAUACAAUCCCACUCUCUCGCUCCUGCUCUCUUUUACUGCAUUAGGACAACAACGACAUAUUUGUUACUUGCUGCGGUAGUUGAACCCCUUUAUCCUUUGCAUGACCUGUCAUUGCCACAGUAAAUAGAUGAAACCCACUAGCAUGAGUAGGAGUUGUUUGAGCCCUAAUGUGCCUACUCAUACGUGCUUGUUUGUCAUGCCUGCUACUGCUUAGAGUUGAGUCAGGUCUGAUUCAUCGGGGAUGAAUCAGAGGCGUGUGAACAUGUCCCCAUGUGUGUAAGCUAAGUGUGUGAACACGUUUUGGUAAAGGUAGCGGUGAGAGGCCAUGUAGGAGUACAUGGUGGGUUGUCUCAUUGCAGCCGUCCUUAGGAACUGAGUUCUGUGUUUGUGAUCCAUGACCAGCUACUACCACACAUUGGAAUGCUUAAGUGCCCCUCUCGACUUAUUAAUCAACAUGAUCUCUGUCCAGGAGUUGCAACUAGUUUCUGGUGUUUGUAGGUAGUGUUAGUAGUCUACCAAGUGGCACCCGGUACAGGUGGGCUUGGGACAGACUAGGCACCGUGGCACGGUGUACCAAGUGGCACCCGGUUGGUGGGCUUGGGAACCCUGCACACAUCGUUUGGGGCCGUGAGCGACACCCCGGCCGGAUCUCCUUGCGGAUGGAACCCGAAUAGGCGAUAAACCUGGACUAGAGACUUGUUCGGUUAGUCAGGUCGUGGCCGACUCCCUCGCCCGGCUUCCGCUUGAAGGUUGCCGAGGUACAUGACGUGUACAGGGCGAUAAGUGGCGAAAGCGUGUGUGAAGAAGUACACCCCUGCAGGGUUAACACCAUCUAUUCGAAUAGCCGGAUUCCUCGGAUAUGGAAACGUGGACCCCUUAUAUCAGUUCAUAGACAAGUGAAAGUGGAUACUCUAAAAUACGCAAGAUAAGCGUGAGUGCUAUGGAUGGCGUUCUCGUAGGGAGACGGGAGCGGAUCCAUAGUGGUGUAUUGGUUGGUGAAUAUGUGGACUCGUGUGCGCCACCUCAAAAGAGUCGCUUGCAGUCGUAGUUCAGGAUAGCCACCGAGUCAAAGCUGGCUUGCUGCAGUCAAACCCUACCAUCCCCUUUGUUGAUAAUGAUGCAUAUGUAGAUAGUUCUGAUGUAAGUCUUGCUGGGUACAUUUGUACUCACGUUUGCCUAUUUUAUGUUUUUGCAGAGAGACUUCAGUCUCACUAGUAGUUCCGCUUGGACUUCGACGUUUAGCUUGAUACCUCAGCUACGAUCUUGUGCCCUCGGCAGGAUCUGGUAGAUAGUCAGGCUUCUCAGCCUUUUUCAUUUAUAGAUGUCUGUACUCAGACAUGAUAGCUUCCGCUUGUGCUUUGACUUGUAUGCUCUGAUUGUUGGGUCAUGAGACCCAUGUUUGUAAUAUCUCGCUCCUCGGAGCCUAUUGAGUAAACUACUUGAGUCGUAGAGUCAUUUUGUGAUGCCAUGUUGUAUUGCACAUAUCGAGCAUAUUGUGUGUAUGUUAUUGAAAUGCUUGGUAUGUGUGGGAUCUGACCAUCUAGUUGUUUAUCUUUAGUAGCCUCUCUUACCGGGAAAUGUCUCCUAGUGUUUCACUGAGCCAUGGUAGCUUGCUACUGCUCCGGAACACUUAGGCUGGCCGGCAUGUGUCCUUCUUCGUUCCUGUGUCUGUCCCUUCGGGGAAAUGUCACGCGAUGAAUACCGGAGUCCUGUUAGCCCGCUACAGCCCGGUUCACCGGAGUCCUGCUAGCCCAGUGCUACAGCCCGGACCCACUCGCUGAUGACCGACACGUUCGAUGCUGGGUCAUGGAUGCCUGUCCCUGUAAGUCUGUGCCACUUUGGGUUUACGACUAGUCAUGUCAGCCCGGGCUCCUUAUCAUAUGGAUGCUAGCGACACUAUCAUAUACGUGAGCCAAAAGGCGCAAACGGUCCCGGGCAAAGGUAAGGCGACACCCGUGGGGAUACCGUGCGUGAGGCCGCAAAGUGAUAUGAGGUGUUACCGGCUAGAUCGAUGUGACAUCGAGUCGGGGUCCUGACAGCGUUGGUAUCAGAGCUUGACUGCCUGUAGGAUUACCAAGCCAAACUGGUCGAAGUUGAGUCUAGAAAUUCCUUAGUUAUAUAAGGGAAUUGAUUGUGGGAUGGAACGUAAGGCUCUUUUACUCCUUAUACCUUAUGCCCUUCCGAUCUGAGUCAUCAUCUUAUCUUCUACGGGGAUUAAGAACUAGGCUAUCUCUUCUUUCUAUCAGGAUCACGUGUUACUAAUCCGUAGACUUAUAAGAUUGUUGAUUCAAGCCUCAGUUCAGCUCCUACUAUCUUCUGUAUGUUAAUUGUUGAUCUCCAAACCUUGAUAUUGUGCUUCUGAGUGGUUAUGCCACCAUUUUUGUGAAUGUCUCAAAUCUUUUCUGAGCAUUUACAGCCGUUAUGCUGUCCGAGUCAUUCCAGGUUUCUAAAUAGUCUGAUGCAUUUGCAAAUCCUUUCCCUCUGGUUUCGAUGCUCCUUUAUGCCAGCUCAAUCACACUAAUUGUUGAGUUGAGGUAUUCUAUUGCCUUGACAUUAUGUUGGAGUUACUAUUAUGGCCCUAGGUGUUUAGGGAGUCACCUAGUAAUCUAGCAAUGUUUUGUGAUCCCAGUGUGAUGAUUCUGGCUUCUAUUCUCGAAAGCAUCCCGUGAUGUUAUUAGUUAGUAGGCAUUCUGUUCCUGGGGUUUUGAACCCGAGAUUCACUCUACCUACUUCAUGUUGAUAGCAAUUGCUAGUGCCUUUAGGAUAUUAGUAACCUUUGCGAUAGUCCUUGAAGUCCGUGGUAUCUUCUUCUUCCAAAUACGAUGAACUACUUAUGGCAGAUGUUUAUUGGAUGAAAAAAGAUCACAAUUAGAGUACUCUUGAGGAGAUCUCCACUCAUAAAUCGUGACUCUGCCAGUUCUACCUUUCUGCAUGGGUUAUCCGGAAGAAAUAUGUUGAACUUGGUUCGACAUACUAAUCUAUGCAUCCACAACUCAGAAAGUUAUAUGUUCCUUUGAGUUGUUCUCUUUAGUUGCAUUCUGACCCUCGUCUAUCAAUUGAUAGUCAAGAGUAUGCGUGCGUUCGUUCAUCGAUGCCUAUGACUCUUGUGGUCUGUCAAGCCAUUCUAUUCCGGAAUGACUAGGAGAAACAAACUCCAGUACCUCUUCCAUAUCCAGGAUUGGGUCAAAGAAGUUGUGCUCCGCAGAUCAAAUUGCUAAUCCAGCUUUUGUUCUGUUCUACCUUGGAGUAUUACCAUCUUUAAAUCGGGAUUGUUAUAGGAAUUGCACACCAUCCUAUGAACUCCUGGUACAGUGAUACUUCUUGUCGUCAUUAGUCAUUCCUCGGUCUUCGUGUUGAUGCAACCGGAAUACCGACAAAUGAAUUGUGAUGCGUGAAAUCAAUACGCCUAGCAACCUCGUUGCUGGGUAGUUAAAAGACAAUAAUUUUAUUCUUAGUGUGUUGGUUAUUGAAUCAUCAUUCUAAGAUUGAUCGUGCUACCUAGUCCAUUCUCCUGGUUCACUCCUCGAUCGAUGAGUUGGGAUUAUUUCAAAUUCUUGCUCUAUUGAUCAUAUCGUCUUGCCCUGAAAAGCAAGAUUGUUCUCGAGCUUAGUAACAUACCGGUGGCUCGUGAUUUUCUGAAUAUCUUCUCAGAAGUAUUACCAGGUUGUCACCUGACCGCUAUGUUGAGCUCGUGAUCAAGUUGGUUUCUUGUGAACCAUCCUUCUCCAAGAAUCGGUGUUAGAUAUCCCUGAGCUAGUUGGUUAAGCUAGACAACAACUUGGAGAGUUGGAAGAUAAAAGCUUGUCUGACUUAGUUCGUUCCAAAGGGAUAUUCUUGUGUAGUGUGUGUUGAAGAAAGAUGAUAUCUUCAUCGAUUGGUCCCUGUGAUCAGUUGCUAGACCUAUUGUCUUAUCAACCCUUUGAUUUGAGUGUGGGCUAUCGUCAAAUCAAGUCAGAACCAACGAUGUUCGUAAUGUUGUCUUACUCGUGGUUGAUCCCUCGAGCAUACACCAUUAUAUCUUUUGGGGCUGACCAAUGCUAUCACCGUGUUCACACGAUGGUGGAAGUCCAGUGAUAUGGAAAUUCCGAUGAGUUGUUGUUGAGCCCAUUGACAACAUUCUUAUCUCCUCCAUGAUGUUGUUGAACAUUAAGUUAGUGUUGGAAACUUUUGAAAGCAUCUUCUUCAUGCUAGCUCAUGAAGUAUCUUCUUCAUGCUAGCUCAUGAAGUACUUGUUUGAUGAAAGGAGUGACUUCCUUGAUUCACGUGCAUUUUGAUGUAAGUUGCUGUCGUGAACUCGAGAAGGUUUGUUUUUGCCUCCUCUGGAACCAUCCCAAGUCAGUUAUGCACGUGCGAAGUAUUCUGUGGUUUGAUAGACUGAUCAUCUUCAUUCCAUAUGUGUAUCCUAGCACAUCAAGCCACCGACUGAUUUGUUCAAGGAGAAGGAGUAUCUUCAUAAGAGCUAAUCCGGACUUAUGAAAGAACUUUGAUAUCCUCGAUGAUGGCUCCCAACCAGAACUCGGUAGUAUUUUAUUGUAAGACUACCAUGUGGGCAUGCUUGUCUGGAACAACGUGUUCACAUGUUUGUAGCAGAACCAGCUCAUGUUUUGGAGCUUGCUAUCGUAGUUCAUUUCCUGAGAAUCUCGCAACGUCAUCUCGUCGAUUUGUGUUGCAAACUUUCAUUUUUCCUCCUAGACUCGAUGAGUCUGGAAUAUCCUGACACCAACCAGAUCUGGGUCUCAGGCAGAUAUGAUGGUUGGAACAUUUCCCAAGAACUAUAAUAUUGGUCCCUCGAUAACCGGUAAAGUGGAUGUCGUGGCCAACACACCCCACCGGAAGACCUAUUAUUGCAGUAUCUUGGUUGAGGAAGUUGGCCACCUCCCCAUAAGGAUUUCGUAGGAUUUACCUCCGUAACUGUUCCUUAUGGAUUCUAUUGCUCCCGAAGUCCGACCUUUUACUUGAUGUUCUAGAUAUCAAACCAUAUCUAUGGGUGUAUUACGCUAGCACAUUAAGGAGAACAUUAGAAGCGGAGUGCUAAAUGUCUCUCGGUCGUUCAUCCAGAUUUUAUUUGCUUGGCCUCGCUAAGGUGAAAUCUGAGAAAGUGUUAUCCUCCUUCGCAUCUGCAUCCUCCAUCACCAUUCAUCAUGGUAGCAAGUUGUGUUGCCAGGAUCCUUGACACGGAUGUUGGUAAAACUUUGAUGAAUAUGGAAAUGCUCAAGUUCUUGAGAGCACGCACAAGCGCUACGUGUUAUCAUCGGCACUAACCGAGGUUGCUCUCAGUUUCCUCGGCAAUGCUAUGAUCUUUCAAACAUAGAAUCCACUCUCUUUGUUGGGUUCUUCCCUAGUUACCAGAAUCAUUCCAGCAUUUGCAUUUUGUUCCCAGCUUGCACCACCAAUGUGCCAUUCUACCAUGGGUCUCUUCCAUCUCCGGUGAUGAGGAAAUUCAUCCAUUACGUUGUCUUCAACAAGGUAAUCCACAUCAUUCAAGUCCGAGUAUGCCAUUCUACUGACCCCCUCCAAACGAUCGUUGUGAAUUGCCUUAUGCUGGUAUGAAGAGUUUCAAUGAUCUCCGAAUCAAAAGUAAUUCUUUUUGCCACUUAAGGAAAUAUCUCUACGAGUCACCUUCCCUAAGGUGUAUCGUUAUGGUAUUAAGACAAUUCAACUCCUCGCUACGUUAACAAUCGAUUACCACCUUCUUAAGUGUGGAAUUGUUGUCUACCUAGUGAACCUUCGUCAUCCGUUUCUUUCCACCCCUCUUGAUGUGUAUCUCGUGUCUCACCCGAGAGAUGGUUCUAAGUCUCAUUCCGUGAGUUAGUCCUGAGUUGUUCGACCUUCGAGAAGACCGAUCCUUUUAGAGUUUUCCUUUCCUCUUCUUGCCAUGAUUAGCUGAAGUUCUCAGAGCAAGACGACAAGACCAAGAUGGUGUUCAAAUCAACGUUCAACUGAAGUGCACCCUGGAUCGUGAAGAUUAUACUAGUUGCGUUUCCCCUUCACCUUACCCUACGCUUGAAUCUCGAGACGAGAUUCUUGUUUAGUGGGGGUGAGUUGUCACAUCCCUAGCUUCUGGCAUUGCUCUAGCCUAGCUUCAUGUGUGCAUCAUGUCUAUAUUUUGAAACUUGAAUUGAGGAAUUAUUGGAAGCCUCAAAACCCUAAAUAAAAGAGGGGCAAAAACCCUAGAAAUCUUAUUCAUUGCCCCAAAAGGCUCUUCUUAAAUGUUUGAUAAUUUUUGGUAAGGGUUCUGGUCCCAACCAAAAUAUUGAACAUUUUUAAGGAUUUAUUUUUGGGACUUUGAAUUUAAAUCAUUAGCUAUUUGAACUUGAAUUAUAUUCAUAUAAUUAGAAUAUAAUUUCAAAUAUCCCUGAAUUAUUUUAUGAGCUUUUGGAAAAGUCCAUCUAGCAAAAUAAAAAUAUUCAGAGGAGUUUUGGCAUUGUUUGAAUUAUUUUUAAAUUCAAACAAUGGCAAAAGAUAUUAAAAUAAAACAGAACAAAAUAGAAAACAGAAAUAUAAAACAAAACAGAAGAGAGAAGCCCAGCUUACCUGGCGCCACGAGCCGGCCCAGCUCCCCCCCCCCUGGCCGGCCCAGCCCACCAGCGCCUCCCCUGUCGCCUUCCUCCUCUGCCAGGAGGACGGGCACGCGCCCGGCGCGCGCGGCCACGCGCCCCGGCCACCUCCUCCCUGCUUCGGCCACCUCCUGCCUCCCUGCUUGCCUCCACUACUCCCUGGAGACGCCACGCGGCCCCACGAACUCCCUCACUCUCUCCCGAGCUCUCCCCCCCUCCUCUGUUUCUCUCUCCCUCUCGUGCCGAGCGCAGCCGUCGCCACCGACGCUGUUCGCCGCGGCCACCGGCCACCCCUCGCCUCGCCGAUGCCUCUAGAAGAACCGCCGCGCCUUCUUCUUCGUCUCCACCAACCCAUGUGACGCCGGAAGCCUCGGAGCGCCGUCCCCGAUGUCUUCUUCCUCCUCGGGCCACCGAGAUCGCCGGCGACCUCCCGUCGUCACCAGCCCCUCCCCGAGCUCGCUGACCUCCUCUACGGCACCGCUGUGAGCUCCUACGCCUCCCCUCCCUCUUUCCCCCUUCGAUUGCGCCCUGUAGCCCCGAUCCCACCGGAGCCGCGAGCUCGGCUCCGCCGGCGGUGUCGCCGCCGUCACUGCAGACAGCAAGGCUCGAAACCGAGCACGGCACCGUGCUCCUAGCAUCCUCAGGAGCUCGGAGAGCCCCUUAACCAUCCCUCCCGUCCUCUGUGGCCUCGCCCCGCUCGAACCCGAAGCUCCGGUCGCCGCCGCGGGCCCCGUUCCGGUGAGCUCGGGCCACCUCAGCCCCUGCCGCUUGCACAAAUGGAUGCGGGCGACUCCCAGCUACGCGUAGAGCCCCUCAGUCGCCGUUUUGGUUGCCGAAGGAGCGUUUCCGACGCCCUCCGCCGUUGCUGGCGUCGCCGGCGACAAGCCGCGGGUCAACUCCGGCGGGUUUGACCCGGGGUUUGACCCCCUGACGUGUGGGCCCAGGCGCCUGCUUAAUUAGUAUUAGGUUAAUUAGUGUUAAUUAAUUUAGUUAAUUAGGUGAGCCACUGACAUGCGGGCCCCGCCCGGCUAACUAAGUUAGUUAGGGCUAACUAACCCGGUUAGUUGACUGGGUCACUGACCAGUGGACCCCACUGGUCAGGUUUGACCUGGAGGCGCCCUGUUGACCUGCUGACGUCAUCAUGACGUCAGGCUGAUGCAGUAAUUGUUUUCUGGAGUUUUAAAUAAAUCAGAAAUGAUUUAUUAAAUUCAGAAAAUGCCCUAAACUUCAAUAAAUCAUAGAAAAUUAACCGUAACUCCAAAUUUAAUAAAUUAUAUAUGAAAAAUUAUCAGAAAAAUUCAAGGAAUCCAUCUGUACCAUUUUCAUGCAUGUUAGAACAACUUAUAGGUGCUGUUUAGCACAAAUCAUAUAAAGGGCAUUUAAAUAAUCACAUAUGGAGUUUGAAUUUGAAUCUUGUAUUCAAACCAACCUCAUUUAAUCUGUUGCUAGUUGCAUUAGCUCAAAACACAUUCAUCUUGCCAUGUCAUGAUCAUGCAUCAUAUUGUGCAUUGCAUUGAUUGUGUUUUCUGUGUUGCCGGUAUCUGUCCCCUCUCGAUAGACGAGAUACCCGAUGAUCUGAUCGUUGACACUGAUGAAGACUCAAUGUUACCUUCAGAAGUGCCAGGCAAGCAAAACCCCCUUGUUCAUUCCGAUACAAUCCCACUCUCUCGCUCCUGCUCUCUUUUACUGCAUUAGGACAACAACGACAUAUUUGUUACUUGCUGCGGUAGCUGAACCCCUUUAUCCUUUGCAUGACCUAUCAUUGCCACAGUAAAUAGAUGAAACCCACUAGCAUGAGUAGGAGUUGUUUGAGCCCUAAUGUGCCUACUCAUACAUGCUUGUUUGUCAUGCCUGCUACUGCUUAGAGUUGAGUCAGGUCUGAUUCAUCGGGGAUGAAUCAGAGGCGUGUGAACAUGUCCCCAUGUGUGUAAGCUAAGUGUGUGAACACGUUUUGGUAAAGGUAGCGGUGAGAGGCCAUGUAGGAGUACAUGGUGGGUUGUCUCAUUGCAGCCGUCCUUAGGAACUGAGUUCUGUGUUUGUGAUCCAUGACCAGCUACUACCACACAUUGGAAUGCUUAAGUGCCCCUCUCGACUUAUUAAUCAACAUGAUCUCUGUCCAGGAGUUGCAACUAGUUUCUGGUGUUUGUAGGUAGUGUUAGUAGUCUACCAAGUGGCACCCGGUACAGGUGGGCUUGGGACAGACUAGGCACCGUGGCACGGUGUACCAAGUGGCACCCGGUUGGUGGGCUUGGGAACCCUGCACACAUCGUUUGGGGCCGUGAGCGACACCCCGGCCGGAUCUCCUUGCGGAUGGAACCCGAAUAGGCGAUAAACCUGGACUAGAGACUUGUUCGGUUAGUCAGGUCGUGGCCGACUCCCUCGCCCGGCUUCCGCUUGAAGGUUGCCGAGGUACAUGACGUGUACAGGGCGAUAAGUGGCGAAAGCGUGUGUGAAGAAGUACACCCCUGCAGGGUUAACAUCAUCUAUUCGAAUAGCCGGAUUCCUCGGAUAUGGAAACGUGGACCCCUUAUAUCAGUUCAUAGACAAGUGAAAGUGGAUACUCUAAAAUACGCAAGAUAAGCGUGAGUGCUAUGGAUGGCAUUCUCGUAGGGAGACGGGAGCGGAUCCAUAGUGGUGUAUUGGUUGGUGAAUAUGUGGACUCGUGUGCGCCACCUCAAAAGAGUCGCUUGCAGUCGUAGUUCAGGAUAGCCACCGAGUCAAAGCUGGCUUGCUGCAGUCAAACCCUACCAUCCCCUUUGUUGAUAAUGAUGCAUAUGUAGAUAGUUCUGAUGUAAGUCUUGCUGGGUACAUUUGUACUCACGUUUGCCUAUUUUAUGUUUUUGCAGAGAGACUUCAGUCUCACUAGUAGUUCCGCUUGGACUUCGACGUUUAGCUUGAUACCUCAGCUACGAUCUUGUGCCCUCGGCAGGAUCUGGUAGAUAGUCAGGCUUCUCAGCCUUUUUCAUUUAUAGAUGUCUGUACUCAGACAUGAUAGCUUCCGCUUGUGCUUUGACUUGUAUGCUCUGAUUGUUGGGUCAUGAGACCCAUGUUUGUAAUAUCUCGCUCCUCGGAGCCUAUUGAGUAAACUACUUGAGUCGUAGAGUCAUUUUGUGAUGCCAUGUUGUAUUGCACAUAUCGAGCAUAUUGUGUGUAUGUUAUUGAAAUGCUUGGUAUGUGUGGGAUCUGACCAUCUAGUUGUUUAUCUUUAGUAGCCUCUCUUACCGGGAAAUGUCUCCUAGUGUUUCACCGAGCCAUGGUAGCUUGCUACUGCUCCGGAACACUUAGGCUGGCCGGCAUGUGUCCUUCUUCGUUCAUGUGUCUGUCCCUUCGGGGAAAUGUCACGCGAUGAAUACCGGAGUCCUGUUAGCCCGCUACAGCCCGGUUCACCGGAGUCCUGCUAGCCCAGUGCUACAGCCUGGAUUCACUCGCUGAUGACCGACACGUUCGAUGCUGGGUCAUGGAUGCCUGUCCCUGUAGGUCUGUGCCACUUUGGGUUUACGACUAGUCAUGUCAGCCCGGGCUCCUUAUCAUAUGGAUGCUAGCGACACUAUCAUAUACGUGAGCCAAAAGGCGCAAACGGUCCCGGGCAAAGGUAAGGCGACACCCGUGGGGAUACCGUGCGUGAGGCCGCAAAGUGAUAUGAGGUGUUACCGGCUAGAUCGAUGUGACAUCGAGUCGGGGUCCUGACAAACAACGUAUGUUGUUAUGCGGUUUGACCGAUAAAGAUCUUCGUAGAAUAUGUAGGAACCAAUAUGGGCAUCCAGGUUCUGCUAUUGGUUAUUGACCGAGAAUAGUUCUAGGUCAUGUCUACAUAGUUCUCGAACCCGCAGGGUCCGCACGCUUAACGUUACGAUGACAGUUUUAUUAUGAGUUUAUAAGUUUUGAUGUACUGAAGUUUGUUCGGAGUCCCGGAUGUGAUCACAGACGUAACGAGGAGUCUCUAAAUGGUCGAGACAUAAAGAUCGAUAUAUUGGAAGCCUAUAUUUGGACAUCGGAAUCGUCCCGGGUGAAAUCGGCAUUUUACCGGAGUACCGGGAGGUUACCGGAACCCCCCGGGGGGGUUAUUGGGCCUACAUGGGCCUCGAGGGAGAAGAGGGAAGGAGGCAGGAGGGGGCCGCACGCCCCUCCCCUUCCUAGUCCGAAUAGGACAAGGGAAAGGGGGCGGCGCCCCCCCCCCUUUCCUUCCCCUCUUCCUCCUCUUUCCCCCCUUCUCCUAUUCCAACUAGGAAAGAAGGGAGUCCUACUCCCGGUGGGAGUAGGACUCCCCCCUUGGCGCGCCCUCCUUGGCCGGCCGCCUCCUCCCCCCUGGCUCCUUUAUAUACGGGGCGGGGGGCACCCCAUAGACACACAAGUUGAUCUACGGAUCGUUCCUUAGCCGUGUGCGGUGCCCCCUUCCACCAUAUUCGACCUCGGUCAUAUCGUCGCGGAGUUUAGGCGAAGCCCUGUGCCGAUAGAACAUCAUCAUCAUCACCAUGCCGUCGUGCUGAUGGAACUCAUCUUCGGAGCUUUGCUGGAUCGGAGCCCGAAGAUCGUCAUUGAGCUGAACGUGUGCUGAACUCGGAGGUGCCGUACGUUCGGUGCUUGGAUCGGUCGGAUCAUGAAGACGUACGACUACAUCAACCGCGUUGUGCUAACGCUUCCGCUUACGGUCUACGAGGGUACAUGGACGAAUACUCUCCCCUCUCGUUGCUAUUCCAUCACCAUGAUCUUGCGUGUGCGUAGGAAUUUUUUUGAAAUUACUACGUUCCCCAACAGCAUGCCCCUAGGGGGAUAGAUUGGUAGGAAAGACCAUCGCUCGUCCCCGACGACCACUCAUAAGCAAGACAAUCAAAGAAACACCCCAUGCUUCAAAUUUGUCACACAACGUUUACCAUACGUGCAUGCUACGGGACUUGCAAACCUCAACACAAGUGUCUCUACAGUCCACAACCACCCACUACCAUGACUCUAAUAUCACCACCUUUAUAUCGCAAAACUAUUGUAAGGAAUCAAACAUAUCAUAUUCAGUGAUCUACAAGUUUAUGUAGGAUUUAUGACUAACCAUGUGAAUGACCAAUUCAUGUCAUCUCUCUAAAUUGAUAUAAGUGAAGCAAGAGAGUUUAAUUCUUUCUACAAAAGAUAUGCCCACGCUCUAACAAAUAUAAGUGAAGCAAAAGAGCAUUCUACAAAUGGCAGUUUUCUAUGUGAAGAGAAACAGGCAAUCCAAACUUCAAAUGAUAUAAGUGAAGCACAUGAAGCAUUCUAUAAAGCCAUACUCAAAAGAUUUAAGUGAGGUGCAAUGAGCAUUCUAUAAAUCAACCAAGGACUAUCUCAUACAAGCAUGGUGCAUAAAAUAAAAGUGAAAACUAAAUGCAAAAGACGCUCCAAGACUUGCACAUAAUGCAUGAACGAAACGAAUAUGAAAACAUACCGAUACUUGUUGAAGAAAGAGGGGAUGCCUUCCGGGGCAUCCCCAAGCUUAGACGCUUGAGUCUCCUUGAAUUAUUACUUGUGGUGCCUCGGACAUCCCCAAGAUUGAGCUCUUGCCUCUAUUCCUAUUCCUCAUAUCGAGACAUCCACGCUUAGACACUUCAUCCACACAAAACUUCAACAGGAAACUCGGUAAGAUCCGUUAGUAUAAUAAAGCAAAUCACUACUCUAAGUACUGUAGUGAACCAAUUCAUAUUUUAUUUUUUGCAUUGUGUCUACUGUAAUAUAACUUUUCCAUGGCUUAAUCCACUAAUAUAAAUUGAUAGUUUCAUCAAAACAAGCAAAGUAUGCAUCAAAAACAGAAUCUGUCAAAAACAGAACAGUCUGUAGCAAUCUGAACAUCCACCAUACUUCUGGUUCCCCAAAAAUUCUACCACAAUUAGGAAAAAUAAACAAGUUGCAUCUCAAGACAGUGCAAAAGGAAUCAGAACCAAUUGAUGUUCCAGUUAAAAAUGUAAAAUCGUGCACUACAGCCAAAGUUUCUGUCCUGCACCGUACAAACCAACAAGCAUUGUAAACAUCCUAAAGGCAAACCUUGGCAUAUUAUUUUUAUAAUACAAUGGAAUUAUACAAGGGGAUAAUUAUUUCUGUUGAAAGGUUUCUGUAAUUAAGAUUCACAAAGUUUCCGUGAGCAUGAACAAAGUUCAAGGCUAGCUCCCACUUCAACAAUGCUUGUCUUUCUCACUUUCACUUUCCUUUUUGAAAAGUUUUUUGGUUUCCCCUCUUUAUUUUUUUGUUUUUAAACUAUAUGAAAUCACUCAAUAGAAAUAAAUGACUCUCUAAAACUUCCGGGUUGUCUCCCUAGCAGCGCUUUCUUUAAAGCCAUUAAGCUAGGCAUAUAGUGCUCAAGUAAUGAAUCCACCCAGAUCCCAUGGUAUAUCAAAGCCGAUUUUAAUUAACAAUGAUUUGUAAUUUAGUAGUGAGCACAAAGUAGCAUAUAUCAUGCAGCAAUGAAGUCUAACUCUCUUCCUAUGCAUCGGCAUGUCAUAAAAUAACAAUUCAUGCACACAUAGUAAAGGCCAAUGCAUAGUAUAAGCAGUUUCUUGCAAUUUCAUCGUGUUGGAAACAUAAAGAAGUGGAGAUGUAGUUCCUCUCUCAUAAUAAUUGCAAGUAGGAGCAGCAAGCACAUGCAUAUUAUAUUCAUCAAAAUCAUCAUGUGCAAUGGUAAAAGGCAACCCAUCAAUAUAAUCCUUAAUACGCACAAACUUCUCCGAUAUAGUGUAAUAGGGAGAAUUCAAAAAGAUAAUAGGACUAUCAUGCGUGGGUGCAAUAGCAACAAUUUCAUGUUUAACAUAAGGAACUAUAGCAAGUUCAUCUCCAUAAGCAUAAUUCAUAUUGGCAUCUUGGCCACAAGCAUAGCAAGCAUCAUCAAAAAGGGAUAUUUCAAACAAAUUCAAGGGAUCAUAGCAAUCAUCCUUUGGUAAGCACGAAGGGGAAUUAACUAAUGUAUGAGUUGGAGGGUUACUCUCAUUAGAAGGUGGGCACGGGUAGCUAAUCCGCUCUUCCUCCUUUUGUUCUUCGCUCUCCUCAUCAUCUUUUUCAUCCAAUGAGCUCACUGUUUCAUCAAUUUCUUCUUCCAUAGCUUCCUGCAAAAUACUAGUCUCUUCUUGGACAGCGUUGACUUUCUUCAUAAAAGCAUUAAUAUAGUAAUUGUAUUCAUAAUUUUCAUAGCAAUAUCCAAGUAUAGCAAGAUUUUCCGGCCUAUAACCAUCAUCAUCAAAAGCUUCAUACUUUUCAAACAAAGCUUCAAUAUCAUAGGCAGCCUUAAAAGCAACAAAUUCUUCUAUUUGUUCCACAUCAGAGUAAUCAUAUAUACCAUUAGCAUAAGAAGCUAAGGUUUCAUUAUCGUUAAAUUUGCAUGAAAAGGGGAGGUGUGGAGCCUCCAUCCUAGAGCAACAAGUAAUAUCAUAUCUCAAGCAUAGAUUCCAGGCAUACCAACGCAACAUAAUAAAUUGAUCCCAUAAUAGUUUCCCUUUUUGUGUCAAGCGAUAAUCCCUAAAGUAUUCACAUUGAUCCAACAUGUCUCCCAUUAUAAAGUUGAAUGGGGUUUUCUCAGGAUUAUCAAAGUAGUACAUAAUAUCUCUCACAUAGUGAGAAUCGGGGGUUUUAGGAGUUACCCCAUCUACAUGAUUAGCAAGUACCUCUAAUUUUUUUGGUAUUUUGUGUUCCAUAUCCAUAAGUAAAGAUAGAGAACAACUAAGAACAAAAAAUAAAAAUUACUUAGUGAUAAAGCAAACAAGCACACACGAGAAUAUUCACCCCACGCUAUGACUCCCCGGCAACGGCGCCAGAAAAAGGUCUUGAUGACCCGCAAGUAUACGAGAUCGCAACAGUUUUCGAUAAGUAAGAGUGUCGAACCCAACGAGGAGCUAAAGGUAGAAUAAAUAUUCCCUCAAGUUCUAUCGACCACCGAUACAACUCUACGUACGCUUGAUGUUCGCUUAUCCUAGAACAAGUAUGAAACUAGAAGUACUUUGUAGGUGUGAUAGGAUAGGUUUGCAAGAUAAUAAAGAGCACGUAAAUAAAAGCUGGGGGCUGUUUAGAAAAAGAUGCAAUAAAGUAAAUAUUAGUAUAGAGCUUUUUGUUACGAGAAAGUUAUUUGUCCAAGGCAAUCGAUAACUAGACCGAUAAUCACUGUUGUAAUUCUAUUUGAGGGAGAGGCAUAAGCUAACAUACUUUCUCUACUUGGAUCAUAUGCACUUAUGAUUGGAACUCUAGCAAGCGUCCGCAACUACUAAAAAUUCAUUAAGGUAAAACCCAACCAUAACAUUAAAGUAUCAAGUCCCCUUUUAUCCCAUACGCAAACAACCUACUUACUCGGGUCUGUGCUUCUGUUCACUCACGCCACCCACCAUAAGCAAAUCAUAAACAUAUUGCAAACCCUACAGCGGGGAUCCCUCACGCUUGCGCGACACGGAGAGCACCAUAGGACAGCACCAAUAAUGAAACAUGCAACUCAAACCAAUCACGAUCAUCAAUUAACCCAUAGGACAAAACGGAUCUACUCAAACAUCAUAAGAUAGCCAUACAUCAUUGGGAAAUAAUAUAUAGCGUUGAGCACCAUGUUUAAGUAUAGAUUACAGCGGGUAAGAGAGAGGUUACACCGCUGCAUAGAGGGAGUAAGAGUUGGUGACGAAGGUGGUGAAGUUGUUGGUGAAGAUCGCGGUGAUGAUGAUGGCCCCCGGCAGCGCUCCGGCGCCACCGGAAGCAAGGGGGGAGAGCACCCCUUCUUCUUCUUUUUCCUUGACCUCCUCCCUAGAUGGGAGAAGGGUUUCCCCUCUGGUCCUUGGCUCCCAUGGCUUGGGAGGGGCGAGAGCCCCUUCGAGAUUGGAUCUAUCUCUCUAUUUCUGUGUUCUCAGAUUCUACCCCUUCACGGUUUCCUUUAUAUCUGGAGAUCCGUAACUCUGAUUGGGGUUUCGCCCAGAUCUUUCUCAUAAAAUUAUCUUUCUUGCGCCAAAAGAAGAGCGUCAACCGCCUUACGGGUGGCCCACGAGAGCCCAGGCCGCGCCCAAGGGGGGAGGGCGCGCCCCCCUGUCUCAUGGCCACCCCGGACACCGUUUCGUGUUGAUUUUACUUCCCAAAAAUCAUAAAUAUUACAAAAAAAUCUCUGUCCGUUUUUAUCCCGUUUGGACUCCGUUUGAUAUUGGGUUUCUGCGAAACAAAAAACAUGCAAUAGACAGGAACUGGCACUGGGCACUGGAUCAAUAUGUUAGUCCCAAAAAAUAGUAUAAAAAGUUGCCAAAAGUAUAUAAAAGUUGAAUAAUAUUGGCAUGGACCAAUCAAAAAUUAUAGAUACGACGGAGACGUAUCAACCCCUCUAUUGAGGAUGCCACUACUAUUGCUGAUGAGAAUGCUAGGUUGAAGACAUUGCUUGAGACAUGCAUGUACAAAAGCCUCAAAGGGCAUCAGACUUUGUGCAAUGUCCUCAAGAAAUAGAUUCUGAACCGAAACCCUAGAAAAGAGGGUGUUGGGUUCGAGAGGAAAAUGAACGUUGAUGGUUCAUAUUGGACACCCGAACAGUACCCCAAAACCACCUGGGUUGCUGCUAAGGAUCCUUCAGUGGACCCAUCCACUUUAUCUGGCUUCACUUGUGCUAACCCAAUUGUCAUUGAUGAAUCCUUUGAUGCCAAUUAUAAACUCUUUAAGAAUCAGAAUGGUGAAGUGAUUGCCAGGUACAUUGGUACUAACUACAGGAACGGGUCACCCUAGAAGAAGAUCUGGGUGCCCAAUAGUUGUGUUGAGAAGCUUCCCGUGAACGUCGUCAUGACACCACCUUGGAAGAAGACAAACCCUAGACUAAAGGCGUCAUAUUGCCCAAAGGCUUCAUACAGACAAAAGACCACUCAUGGUCACCCUAACGCCAAUGUUUUGCAGCAGAACCAUUAUGAGGCUCAUGAAUAUGAGCGUGUUUCCUCUAACCGCUAUGUUCACAAAACUAAGAACUUUUCUGCUUAUUCAUAUGAGUACUAUGAAGGAAAUAUGCCCUAGAGGCAAUCAUAAAGUUAUUAUUUAUUUCCUCAUAUCAUGAUAAAUGUUUAUUAUUCAUGCUAGAAUUGUAUUAACCGGAAACAUAAUACAUGUGUGAAAACAUAGACAAACAUAGUGUCACUAGUAUGCCUCUACUUGACUAGCUUGUUAAUCAAAGAUGGUUAAGUUUCCUAACCAUAGACAUGAGUUGUCAUUUGAUUAACGGGAUCACAUCAUUAGGAGAAUGAUGUGAUUGACAUGACCCAUUCCGUUUGCUUAGCACUUGAUCGUUUAGUAUGUUGCUAUUGCUUUCUUCAUGACUUAUACAUGUUCCUAUGACUAUGAGAUUAUGCAACUCCCGUUUACCGGAGGAACACUUUGUGUGCUACCAAACAUCACAACGUAACUGGGUGAUUAUAAAGGUGCUCUACAGGUGUCUCUGAAGGUACUUGUUGAGUUGGCGUAUUUCGAGAUUAGGAUUUGUCACUUCGAUUGUCGGAGAGGUAUCUCUGGGCCCUCUCGGUUGCACAUCACUAUAGGCCUUGCAAGUAAUGUGAAUAAUGAGUUAGGUGCAGGUUGAUGCAUUACAUAACGAUUAAAGAGACUUGUCGGUAACGAGAUUGAACUAGGUAUCGAGAUAUCGACGAUCGAAUCUCGGGCAAGUAACAUACCGAUGACAAAGGGAACAAUGUAUGUAGUUAUGCGGUUUGACCGAUAAAGAUCUUUGUAGAAUAUGUGGGAACCAAUAUGAGCAUCCAAGUUCCACUAUUGGUUAUUGACCGGAGACGUGUCUCGGUCAUGUCUACAUAGUUCUCGAACCCGUAGGGUCCGCACGCUUAAAGUUCAGUGACGAUCGGUAUUAUGAGUUUUUGUGUUUCGAUGUACCGAAGGUAGUUCGGAGUCUCGGAUAUGAUCACGGACAUGAAGAGGAGUCUUGAAAUGGUUGAGACGUAAAGAUUGAUAUAUUGGACGACUAUGUUCGGACAUCGGAAGUAUUUCGGAAGGUUUCAGACAUUUACCGGAGUACCGGGGGGUUACCGGGCCUUAGUGGGAGAAGAGGAGGGGCGGAAAGGGCAGCCGCGCGCCCCCUCCCCCUCUAGUCCGAAUUGGACAAGGAAGGGGGCGGCACCCCCCUUUUUCCUUCUCCUCCUCUCUCCCUUCCUUCCCUUCUCCUACUCCUACAAGGAAAAGAGGAGUCCUACUCCUGGUGGGAGUACGACUCCCCCGUUGGCGCGCCCUCCUCCUGGCCGGCCGCCUCCCCCUUGCUCCUUUAUAUACGGGGGCAGGGGGCACCUCUACACACACAAGUUGAUCUGUUGAUCUCUCCCAGCCGUGUGCGGUGCCCCCCUCCACCAUAUUCCACCUCGGUCAUAUCAUAGCGGUGCUUAGGCAAAGCCCUGCGUCGGUAGCAACAUCAUCACCGUGAUCACGCCGUCGUGCUGAUGAAACACUCCCGUGAAGCUCUGCUGGAUCGGAGUUCGCGGGACGUCAUCGAGCUGAACGUGUGCUAAACUCGUAGGUGUCGUACAUUCAGUACUUGGAUCGAUCGGAUCGUGAAGACGUACGACUAGAUCAACCGUGUUGUGCUAACGCUUCCGCUUUCGGUCUACGAGGGUACAUGGACUCACUCUCCCCGCUCGUUGCUAUGCAUCACCAUGAUCUUGCAUUUGCGUAGGAUUUUUUUGAAAUUACUACGUUCCCCAACAUACUAUUCUUCUCAUGCGAAGCUAUUUGCUAGGGCUCCCAAGAGAAACUUCUCUGAUGUUGCACUUAGGCUCAUUGCUUCUAAGCCACCCCUGAAGAUGGGGGUGGUUAAGAAGAAUUAACUUCUCUUGCAGGGAAAGGUCUCCAGCCGGAAAGCAAAAACUUCUGACGCCAAUGUUGGAGACCUAAAACAUCUUGUGGGACGCUAGAUAAAAUGCCCCAAUGGUCUUACAUGUAUUUCGUCCUAGGGUUGACGAGCAUCCUAUCAUGCCUAACCAGAAUCUAAACUUUGAUAAUAUGCUUGUUCGCUACAUGUUUCUGCUUCAUAGUACUCUUGGUGAAGCCUAUCCCGCUAAGUGCAUUGUAGGGUACAACUCCGAAAGCCACUGAAUGGGUCAUGGACAGCGUCUGCACCAACCACAUGACUGGUGAUCGAAGUCUUCUUAUAGAUUCAACCCUACAUCCAUCUACUAAGAGCCACAUCACAUUCACUAAUACUGGUAAAAGAAAGGUAUUGGGUCUUGGUAGAGUUGCUAUCUCAAAGGAUCAGUGCAUGGACAAAGUGAUGCUUCUUGAAUCCCUUGGAUACAACUUAAUGUCUGUGUCAAUGCUAUGUGAUCUGAACAUGAUUGUGAUAUUUGGAAAAUCUCAUUGUCUUGUGCUUAUGGAAUCUGACAAAUGUCUAGUCUUCGAAGGCUAUCGAAGAGGUGAUCCGUAUAUGGUAGAUUUCUCAGCAGGACCAUAGCUUGUCGUAUGUCUUCUAGUAGAGGCUUCAAAAUGCUGGCUAUGACAUCGAUGGCUAGGACAUGAGGGCAUGAGGAACCUGUACACUCUCGCGAAGAGGAAGCACAUCAUUGGCAUCGAGGGCGUCAAGUUCAAGAAGGAUCAUCUAUGUGGUGCCUGUGAAGCUGGGAAGAUGACUAGAGCCAAGCAUCUCUCAACGACAAUCAUGACUACCUCACGUCCCUUCGAGUGCUUCACAUGGACUUAUUUGGCCCUACUCACUACUCGACCCUUACUACCACUGCACAUCUCUAUGGGUUCGUUAUUGUUGAUGAUUACUCGAGAUACACCUGGAUACACAUAAUUCUCUAUAAGACUGAAGUGCAGGAUGUCUUCAGUCGCUUCACAAAUCGGGCCAUGACGAAUUAGGGCAUCAAGAUCAAGCACAUCCGGAGUGAAAAUGGCACUGAGUUCAAGAACGCUGGCCUUGCCAUUUAUCUUGAUACUUUGGGCAUCACACAUGAGUUCUCUGCUCCUUACACACCUCAGCAGAAUGGCAUCAUGGAGUGCAAGAACAAACACUCAUUGAGAUGGCACGCACGAUGCUCGAUGAAUACAAGACUCCAAGAAAAAAAAGCCAUUGAUACUGCAUGCCACAUCAUCAACAUGGUAUAUCUUCAUAAGUUCUUCAAGAAAACAUCUUAUGAACUUCUGACUGGUAAGAAGCCAAACGUCAGUUACUUCAAAGUCUUUGGUGCUAGGUGCUGGAUCAAGGAUCCACAUCACACGUCUAAGUUCGCACCGAAAGCACAUGAAGGUUUAUGCUUGGUUAAGGAAAGGACUCGCACACCUAUAGAGUCUUCAACCUCUUUCACUACAAAGUGGUUGAAACUGUAGAUGUGUGGUUUGAUGAAUCUAAUGGCUCGCAAAGAGAGCACCUGCCAAAUGUGCUAGAUGAAGCUACACCAGGUGAAGCUAUCAGGCUAAUGGGUACUAGAGAAAUCAUACCCACUAAGGAACAGGCUGAGGACGGGAUCAUCAUUUUUGCACCUAAUCAACAUGAAGACAAUGCUCAGUCUAAAGCCAUAGCUGAAGAUGAAGAAAAUAAUCAGUCUGAUCAAAAUCUUCAUCCAGCUCAUCCUCGAGUCGCCAAUGAUGUCCAGAUUGAGAAGACUAUUAUAGCAUCAAUGCACCUGGUCCUCUCACUCGAUCAAGAGCUACACAACUAGUGAACUUCUAUGGUCACUUUACUUUUGUCUCUAUAUCUGAACCCAAGAAAGUCGAAGAAGCCUUCAUGGAACCUGAAUGGAUUCAAGCUAUGCAAGAAGAGCUUCAACAGUUUGAGCUAAAUAAUGUCUAGGAGCUUGUCAAACAUACUGAUCCUCGCAAGCACAACAUAAUUGGCACAAAAUGGAUCUAUCACAACAAGCAAGAUGAACUUGGACAAGUUGUCAGAAACAAGGCUCACCUCGUCGCUCAAGGUUACACACAAGUAGAAGGAAUCGACUUCGAUGAAACCUUUGAUCCUGUGGCUAGGCUUGAAGCCAUUCCCAUACUACUGGCCUAUGCUAACCAUGACAACAUUCUUCUGUACCAAAUGGAUGUGAAGAGUGCCUUUCUCACUGGAAAAAUCGAAGAAGAAGUGUAUGUCGCUCAACCGCCUGGUUUUGAAGAUCCAAAGCAUCCUGAUAUGGUGUACAAGCUCAACAAGGCACUAUAUGGCCUCAAACAAGCACCUCGCGCUUGGUAUGACACACUCAAAGAAUUCCUGAAGAGCAAAGGCUUCAAACCUGGUUCUCUAGACCCACUCUCUUCACGAAGACAUAUGAUGGUGAACUGUUUGUGUGUCAAAUAUAUGUGGAUGACAUCAUCUUCGGCUGCACUGAUAAGAGAUAUAGUGAUGAGUUUGGAUACCUGAUGCAAGAGCAAUAUCAGAUGUCCAUGAUGGGAGAGCUGAAGUUCUUCCUUGGUCUUCAAAUCCGUCAACAGUGCAAUGUCAUCUUCAUAUCACAAUAAAAAUACCUCAAAGAUUGCCUGAAAAAGUUUGGAAUGCAAGACUGCAAAGGGUACACGACGCCAAUGCCAACCAAAAGUCAUCUUGUCCCUGACGACAAAGGUAAAGAGUUCGAUCCAAAGGUAUACGCUCCAUGAUUGAUUCUUUACUAUACUUAUGUGCAUCUAGGCCUGGUAUUAUGCUUAGCGUUUGCAUGUGUGCCUGAUUCCAAGUGGCACCAAAGGAAUCGCAUCACCAUGCUGUGAAGCGAAUUCUUUAAUAUUUGGCUCACACCCCAACACUAGUAUUAUGGUAUCCAAAGGGCUCAUCGUUUGAUCUAGUUGGAUACUCAGAUGCUGAUUAUGCUGGUGAUAAGGUUAGUUGCAAGUCUACACCAGGCACAUGUCACUUUCUUGGACAAUCUCUUGUCUAUUUUUUGAGAGGAAGACUGUAAGGGAAUCCCCUACAGUAUAAUUGGUGCAACAAACCCAAAUUGCAAGUACCGUGCCUUAAACCUGGGUGGGUGGGAAGGCAUCAGCCCCUUCCUACCACUAGGCAAUGCCUUAGUCUGCAAUCUCUUGUCUGUUGGUCUUCAAAGAAGCAGAACUAUGUAUCCCUCUCCACUGCUAAAUCUGAACACAUUGCUGCUGGAUCUUGUUGUGUUCAGCUUCUUUGGAUGAAGCAAACUCUCAAGGAUUAUGGAAUCAACAUGAAAAAUGUGCCACUCUUCUGCGACAAUGAAAGUGCCAUCAAGAUUGCCAAGAAUCUAGUUCAGCACUCAAAGACAAAGCACAUUGAGAUUCGUCAACACUUUCUCAGAGAUCAUGUCAUCAAGGAAGAUAUUGAUAUCAUUCAUGUCAACACUGAAGAGCAAUUGGCAGAUAUCUUCACAAAGCCCUUGGAUGAGAAAAGGUUUUGCAAGCUUCAGUAUGAGCUAAAUAUAUUAGAAUCCUCAAAUGUCCAAUGAAUGGACACACAUCGUAAUGCUUAUGCAUACUGAUGACUUAGAUGUGCAACACACAAAGUAAUGUAUUUCUUCAAUCAAUGAAGACUUACCCUCUGCGUGUGAAUACAUUAAUGUGGAAUUUGACUUCGGAGUGCCACGAUAAUUGUGCAUCGUGUCUGGGUCUAAUACUUCCUAUACGGUGGGUAACGCCACCACCACACUUUCUUGAAAGAUUUUCAUUUGGCGUCAUGAUUGCAUUAUCUUCGCAUUUGGAUUGUCUUCAACAUUGUUUUGUCUUCAAAACCUAUAUCUUCGCAAUAUUGAUUUAUCUUCAAUACUAUAUAUGUGUUCUGUCCUCUACAACAUUCACUUAUAGCUAUGUCUUCAUGUUGCUAUUUUUCUGACCUAAGUGAAUGUGAUCGGACCCUAAACCCAUUUGUGCUACUCCCUCAAAUUCUUUCUGUCUAGUCAUAUGCAUUCUAUUGACACCUGUCAAAUAUCUUCACUGUGUCCUUGCCAGCUGAAGAUACAGAGACACACAUUUAAAACUGUUUUAAUGCCUUAUCUUUUUCCUGAAAACCGGAGAAGCCGGAACGACCACCCGACAAUCCAGGCGUGUGUGGGAACAUGGUUCAACUCCUGAUAAGUUGCAUGCAUGCCACGUGUCCUUCAAAUGUGAACCGCCAGGGGCACCUGCGUAAUUGCGCUGUGCCGCCCUCCUCCUCCUUAUAAAUACUCACCCCUCGCGGUCAUUAUCUCUUCUUCCACCUCACCAUCUCGCUCAAACCCUAGCGCCACCGCUAGCUCGUGUCGACGCCGGAGACAAAGCUCUUAGCUGCUGCCACCUCUUUGACGCCAUCCUCAUGCCGGUCGCGGAUCUCAUCUUCUCCGCCGCCACUGUAGGUGUCUUCCGUCGCCAAGUUAGGUCACAGGAGAUUCGACUGCUCGUCAUCCGUUCUGCCUCGUCAAGCAGUUCCUCUAUGGUAAAUAAAACUCGAUUUUUACUGCUUUUUAGAUCCGUCAAAUCUGUCAACUUCACCCAAAAGUGGUUUCUGAACUUCCAAAUCUGGAUCUUUCUUUUUUUGCAUCUCAUAUCUUGCAAAGUAUGUUCACUUAUGCUUCACAACUAGUUAGAUUCCUCACUUGUACUUAUUCUUGGAUUCGACAAAUCUGGAACCGACUUCCUUCAAAUAAGUGAAUGUCUUCGCACUGUGAGGUCAAUGUCUUCUAACCGAUUUAUCUUCAAAAUCUUCUGAGAAUGCAUAUGACCUCUUCCCCUUCCCUCGCAUCUCUAAUGUUGUCACAGGUACAUGUCCAUGGGAGAAUCCCUUGGUUCUCAUAGUCUGUUCAUUUUGAGAAUUCUUACAGCGUCAUAUUGAAUCUCCUAAAGCCAGUUCUUGCUUGACAAGUCGACAGAAGCCUUUCACUGUUCUGAAGCCAAUCCGUCUGAAUCCAAUGGCCACUGAAAAAUUUGCAAGGAAAGGCGGCAGGCAACGCCAUGGUAAUACUGCUCUGGACCUUCCCCAGAUCUGUAUGAGCUCUACAAAUCUGAUCUUGAAGAGAGUUAUACACAUCGCAAGAACAGAAUCCAAUGGAUCCGAAGAUAUUGGGCUGAGCAGUGGUUCAAGUACAACUUCGUGACACCUGAAUAUGCUGAGAAGAAUGCCAUCAAGCGCUCGUGGGGCGAUAUUCUUUACAAAAACUUGGCACCGAAGACAAAGGCUGAAACUAUUGCUCAAACGUUCUAUCCAUGCAUGGUCCAAGGACAUCAGCCAGAAAAUGCCGACCCAUCAUCUCUUCUAUGCUGUCGUGAUGAUGUUCUCUUCAAGCGCAACUUCCAGUUUGAAGAGAUAUGUCCCGCGUGUCCAAGAUGGCCAAGAAGCCAAAGCCCAAGAAGGUUUCUGGGCAGGCUCUCACUCCAGCUACCGUCCUGCGCAAUGAGGAAAACACUAUUGAUCUGUCAAGUGAUGAAGAUCUUGCAGAUGAUGCUCUGGAACAGUUGAUCAAGAGCAAGCAGGAGGCUGAGAUCUUCUAGGAUCUGCCUCUAUUUGAUGCUGACAUUCUGAACAACUUCAUUGAUGAAUGGUUUGAGGACCAACGCAUCAAUCUUGAUGAUCUGCAGCUGCCAGUGGACAUCAAUGUUACCUUUCAUGGAGCCAUUACAAACGAACUUGCCUUGGCUUAGAAAAUUGUCGAGCUCAAGAACAAGAUGACAAUAAGCGUUGUGUGCAAGCACAAGCUCAACGUGGCUGAUGUGCAAAUCUUCAAGAAGAUAAUGAAUGACCUCAAGGCUGAAUUCAACAAUAAGCGUGAAGAAUCCAAAGGCUCACGCGAGCGCGUGAAGUAUUAUGCAUAGAAAUGUGUGCAAGCACACAAUGGAGCUAAAAAGAGUAAGGCUCUUGGGCGUCCUGGCAUCGACCCCAGGAUGGCUGCCAAGAAAAGCAAGAAGCCUGCAGAAGCUAAUCCGUAUGCUCCACGGCAGGGACAACCAAGCAUUGUGUUCCCUGCCAGCAUGACUGGCUCGAAGCCAAAUGUCCCCUCUGCCGCUUCUUAACUCAAGAAGACUAGGCAAGAUGAAUCCAAAGCCAGGAAGAGGAAGCUCAAAGAUACAUCUGAUGACGCUCCCUCCAAGAAGAAGUUGAAGACAAAGGGCUCUAAAUCUUCAAGAAAAGAGCGUGCUGCUGCCCCAGAGCCCCUCAUUGUUGAACCCAUCUCCAUUGCCUUACCUUCUUCUGCCAACCGCGAGCGCCGCCUCGUAGUCCAUGAGCCUGCUUCCAUAGAGGCUCCAGAAAAUGAAGAAGUUCCGAUUGCUGACCCCGACACUGCUGAAGACAUUGGACGUGAAGCCAAUGUGAAUGAUGAUGAAGUCCUUCCUCAGCUUGAACCAACACCCAUGGUAUCAUCGCCUACUCCAACGAGCAGUGAAUUGACCAGUAUUGGUCAUCCUAUGACGCCAUUCACUCAGGAUAUGCCAAUGGAUGAUGAAGCUGUUCUGCGUACUCCUCCAGCUCAAGUCACCACUCUAGUGCUUGAGACUCAGCAAGAAAGCCCUGACGACUUUGAUUUCACUAUCCCCUCACCACAGGCGUCACCUUCCUUCAGGAGGCUUCGCAGAGGUCCCAGGUCUCAGGCAUGCAUGUCGAGCAUACCAGAGGAAGAUGUGCAACAAACUGGCUCAGUAGCAUGUCAAGUGUUCCCUGAUGCCAUCCCCUCUAAGACUGCUCAAGAGUCUAAAGCAAAAGCUGCUGAAGAUAUUCUGGCUGCAUCAACAGAUGAAGAAAGAGAAGCCACACCCCCUGCCAGUGAUCCAGUCAUACAAGCUGAGAAUAUGCUUGUGCCAGACCCUCCAGUCGUUGAAGAGAUGGAGGUUGAAGCCAAUGUGGCUGCUGAUACGUCCAUUUUGCAUCAUGUUUUCCUACUGCUAUUUAUGUUGUUUUAUUGUAUAAUAAUGCUUUUUGGAGUAAUUCUAAUGCCUUUUCUCUCAUAAUAUGCAAGGUAUGCACCAAUGGGGAGAAUUCUGGCAGCUGAAAUCUGGACUUGGAAAAGCUACGUCAAGCUACCUAUUCUGCACAACUCCAAAUGAGCUGAAACUCCCCAAGGAAUUUUUGUGGAAUAUUUAAUGAAUAUUGGAGCAAAUAAGUACCAGAGGAGGGCCACCAGGUGGGCAAAACCCACCUGGCCGCACCAGGAGGCCCAGGCGCGCCCCUCCUCGGCCCACCUCCGGUGCCCAUCUUCUGGUAUAUAAGUCAUUUUGACCUAGAAAAAAUGAGGGGAGGACAUUUAGGACGAAGUGCCGCCGCCUCAAGGCAGAACUUGGGCAGGAGCACUUUUGCCCUCCGGCGGAGCGAUUCCGCUGGGGGAAUUUCCCAACCGGAGGGGGAAAUCAUCAUCAUCAUCAUCACCAACAACUCUCCCAUCUUGGGGAGGGCUAUCUUCAUCAACAUCUUCACAUAACCAACUCCUCUCAAACCCUAGUUCAUUUCCUGUGUUCAAUCUUUGUAUCAAAACUAUAGAUUGAUGCUUGUGGGUGACUAGUAGUAUUGAUUACAUAUUGUAGUUGAUUACUAUAUGGUGUAUUUGGUGGAAGAUUAUAUGUUCGGAUCCAUUAUGCCAUUUCAUACCCCUCUGAUCUUGAGCAUGUUUAUCACUUGUGAGUAGUUACUUUCGUUCUUGAGGUCACGGGAGAAAUCAUGUUGCAAGUAAUCAUGUGAACUUGAUAUGUGUUCGAUAUUUUGAUGGUAUUUAUGUUGUCAUUCUCUUAGUGGUGUCAUGUGAACGUCGACUACAUGACACUUCACCAUAUUUGGGCCUAAGGGGAUGCAUUGUGGAGUAGUUAUUAGAUGGUGGGUUGCAAGAGUGACAGAAGCUUAAAACCCAAUUUAUGCGCUAUUCCGUAAGGGACCAAUUGGAUCCAAAAGUUUGAUGCUAUGGUUAGAAUUUAUUCUUAAUACUUUUCUCGUAGUUGCGGAUGCUUGCGAGAGGGUUAAUCAUAAGUAGGAGGUUUGUUCAAGUAAGAACAUCACCUAAGCACCGAUCCACCCACAUAUCAAAUUAUCAAAGUACCGAACACGAAUUAAGCCAACAUGAUGAAAGUGACUAGAAGAAAUUCCCGUGUACCCUCAAGAACACUUUGCUUAUCAUAAGAAACCGUUUUGGCAUGUACUUUGCCUCAAAAGGAUUGGGCUACCUUGCUGCACUUUUGUUACUACUAUUGUUACUUGCUCGUUACAAAUUAUCUUGCUAUCAAACUUCUCCGCUACUCACAAUUUUAGCAAUUGCAGAUUGUACCUUGUUGAAAACCACUUGUCAUUUCCUUCUGCUCCUCGUUGAGUUCGACAAUCUUACUUAUCGAAAAGGGAUAAAAUUGACCCCCUAUACUUGUGGGUCAUCAAGGCAAUUUUCUGGCGCCAUUGCCGGGGAGUGAAGCGCUUUCGGUAAGUGGAAAUUGGUAAGGAAACAUUAUUACUACGUGCUGAAAUUUAUUGUCACUUGCUACUAUGGAAAACAAUCCUUUGAGGGGCUUGUUCGGGGUAUCUUCACCUCGACCGGAACCACAAUUCCUUCAGGCAUGUUAGAGCAACUUCUAGCUAAUCCUUAUGCAGGAGAUGGAACCGAACAUCCUCAUGUGCACUUGAUUUAUGUGGAUGAAAUUUGUGGAUUAUUUAAGCUUGCAGGUUUGCCCGAAGAUGAAGCUAAGAAGAAGGUUUUCCCUUUAUCUUUGAAGGGAAAAGCAUUGACAUGGUAUAGGCUAUGCAGUGAUAUUGGAUCUUGGAACUGGAACCGUUUGAAACUAGAAUUUCAUCAAAAAAAAUUAUCCUAUGCAUCUAGUCAUCGUGAUCGGAAUUAUAUAUAUAAUUUUUUGCCUUAUGAAGGAGAAAGAGUCACUCUAGCUUGGGGGAGGCUUAAGUCAAUGUUAUAUUCAUGCCCCAAUCAUGAUCUCUCAAGAGAAAUUAUUAUUCAUAAUUUUUAUGCUCGACUUUCUCUAAUGAUAAAUCCAUGCUCGAUACUUCUUGUACUGGUUCUUUUAUGAAGAAGACUACUGAAUUCUGGUGGGAUCUUUUAGAAAGAAUUAAAUGCAACUCUGAGGAUUGGGAACCCGAUGAAGGUAAAGAGUCAGGUAUUGAACCUAAGUUUGAUUGUGUUAAAUCUUUUAUGAAUACUAAUGCUUUUGAAAAGUUUAGCACUAAAUAUGGACUUGAUUCUGAGAUAGUGUCUUUCUUUUGUGAAUCUUUUGCUACUCAUGUUGAUCUCCCUAAGGAGAAGCAGUUUAAAUAUUGAAAAACCACCUUUUCCUGUUAGGAUGAAGGAACAUGCUAAAGCUUCAACUGUGGUUAACAAAAGUUAUGUUAGAACACUCAACCUUCUGAACAAAUCAAAGUUGAACCUAGUGUUAAUAUGGUUAAAGAUCUCUUAGUUGAUAAUAUUGAUGGGCACAUUAUCUACUUCUGUAGUGAAGCUUCUAGAAUUGCCAAACCUGACGGAAAAGAUAAACAUAGACCAGUUGUUGGCAUGCCUGUUGUCUCAGCUAAGAUAGGAGAUCACUAUUAUCAUGGGCUAUGUGACCUAGGUGCUAGUGUGAGUGCUAUUCCUUUCUCCUUAUAUCAAGAAAUUAAAGAUGAAAUAGCACCUGCUGAAAUAGAAGACAUAGAUGUUACUAUUAAACUUGCUAAUAGAGAUACUAUAUCACCAAUUGGGAUCCUUAGAGAUGUUGAAGUCUUGUGUGGGAAAAUAAAAUACCCCACUGAUUUUCUUGUUCUUAGCACCCCACAAGAUGAAUUUUGUGCCAUUAUUUUUGGUAGACCUUUUUUGAACACCGUCAAUGCUAAAGUAGAUUGUGAGAAACAAACUGUCGGUGUUAGCUUUAGUGAUGAAUCUCAUGAGUUUAAUUUUCCAAGUUUAGUAAACAACCUCAUAAGAAAGAUUUGCCAGUAAGGAUGAAAUUAUUGGUCUUGCUUCUAUUGAUGUGCCUCCUACUGAUCCUUUGGAACAAUAUUUGCUAGACCAUGAAAAUGAUUUGCAUAUGCGUGAAAGAAAUGAAAUAGAUAGAAUCUUUUUCGAACAACAACCUCUGCUUGAACACAAUUUGCCUUUUGAAACUCUAGGAGGUCCUCCUCCACCUAAAGGUGAUCCUGUGUUUGAAUUAAAACAAUUACCAAACACUCUAAAAUAUGCUUAUCUUGAUGAAAAGAAGAUAUAUCCUAUUAUUAUUAGUGCUAACCUUCAGAACAUGAAGAAGAAAGAGUAUUGAAAGUUCUAAGGAAGCACAUGGCUGCUAUUGGAUAUACUCUUGAUGAUCUUAAGGGCAUUAGUCCCACUCUAUGUCAGCACAAGAUUAAUAUCCUGUUGUUGACCACCAACGUCAGUUAAAUCCAAAAAUGAAAGAAGUGGUAAGAAUGGAAAUAUUGAAACUUCUGGAAGCAGGUAUAAUCUAUCCUAUAGAUGAUAGUAGAUGGGUAAGUCAUGUUCAUUGUGUCCCUAAGAAGGGAGGCAUUACUGUUGUUCCUAAUGAUAAGAAUGAGCUUAUUCCACAAAGAAUUUUCACAAGCUAUAGAAUGGUAAUUGAUUAUAGAAAAUUAAAUAAAGCUACUAGAAAAGAUCAUUACCCUUUGCCUUUUAUUGAUCAAAUAUUAGAAAAAUUAUCUAAGCACACACAUUUUUGCUUCCUUGAUGGAUACUCUGGCUUUUCACAAAUACCUGUUUUACAAUCUGAUCAAGAAAAGACCACUUUUACUUUUCCUUUUGGAACAUUCGUUUAUAGACGUAUGCCUUUCGGUUUAUGUAAUGCACCUGCUGCCUUUCAAAGAUGUAUGACCGCUAUAUUCUCUGAUUUUUGUGAAAAGAUUGUUGAGGUUUUCAUGGGUGACUUUUCUGUUUAUGGGAAGUCUUUUGAUGAUUGUUUAAGCAAUCUUGAUUGAGUCUUGCAGAAAUGUGAACAAACAAAUCUCGUCUUGAACUGGGAGAAGUGCCACUUUAUGGUUAACGAAGGUAUUUUCUUGGGCCAUAAAAUUUCUGAAAGAGGCAUUGAGGUGGACAAAGCCAAGGUUGAAGCAAUUGAGAAAAUGCCCUGUCCUAAAGAUAUCAAAGGUAUUCGUAGUUUCCUUGGUCAUGCUGGUUUCAAUAGGAGGUUUGUCAAAGACUUUUCUAAAAUUUCUAGGCCUCUUACUAAUCUUUUGCAAAAGGAUAUUCCCUUUGUGUUUGAUGAUGAUUGUAUGGAAGCCUUUGAAACAGUAAAUAAAUCCUUAAUUACUGCACCUAUUGUUCAACCACCUGAUUGGAACUUGCCUUUUGAGAUUAUGUGUGAUGCUAGUGAUUAUGCUAUUGGUGCUGUUCUAGGACAAAGAGUUGAUAAGAAACUAAAUAUUAUUCAUUAUGCUAGUAAAAGUCUAGACAAUGCUCAACAAAACUAUGCUACUACUGAAAAAGAAUUCUUAGCGGUGGUGUUUGCUUGUGAUAAAUUCAGAUCUUACAUUGUUGAUUCUAAAGUAAUUGUUCACACCAAUCAUUAUGUUAUAAAAUACCUUAUGGAAAAGAAAGAUACUAAACCUAGAAUUAUUAGGUGGGUUCUUCUGCAAGAAAUUGAUUUGCAUAUCACUGAUAGGAAAGGAGCGGAGAACCCCGUAGCUGAUAACUUGUCUAGACUUGAAAAUAUUCUUGAUGACCCACAACCAAUUAAUAAUAGCUUCCCUGAUGAACAACUAGCUGCAAUAAAUGUUUCUCAUAGUACACCUUGGUAUGCUGACUAUGCUAAUUAUAUUGUUGCUAAAUAGAUACCACCUAGCUUCACAUACCAACAAAAUAAAAAAAAUUCUUCUAUGAUUUAAGACAUUACUUUUGGGAUGACCACAUCUUUAUAAACAAGGAGUAGGUGGUAUUAUUAGAUGUUGUGUACCUGAGCAUGAACAGGAACAAAUCCUACGGAAAUGUCACUCUGAAGCUUAUGGAGGACAUCACGCGGGAGAUAGAACCGCUCAUAAGGUAUUGCAAUUUAGUUUUUAUUGGCCUACUCUCUUCAAGGAUGUCAGUACGUUCGUCUCAUCAUGUGAUGAAUGCCAAAGAAUAGGUAAUAUCGGUAAGCGUCAAGAAAUGCCUAUGAAUUAUUCACUUGCUAUUGAACCAUUUGAUGUUUGGGGAUUUGACUUCAUGGGACCUUUUCCUUCCUCUAAUGGGUAUACACAUAUUUUGGUUGUUGUUGAUUAUGUUACUAAGUGGGUAGAAGAUAUUCCAAACAGUAGUGCUGAUCACAACACCUCUAUUAAAAUGCUUAAUGAAGUUAUUUUUCCAAGGUUUGGAGUCCCUAAAUAUUUAAUGACUGAUGGUGGUUCACACUUUAUUCAUGGUGCUUUCCAUAAAAUGCUUGCUAAGUAUGAUGUUAACCACAAAAUUGUGUCACCUUAUCAUCCUUAGUCUAGUGGUCAAGUUCUACUUAGCAAUAGAGAAAUAAACUAAUCUUACAAAAGACUGUCAAUAGGUCCAGGAAGAAUUGGUCUAAGAAAUUAGAUGAUGCACUUUGGGUUUAUAGAACAGCUUAAAAAUCCUAUGGGUAUGUCUCCAUAUAAAAUGGUUUAUGGAAAAGCUUUUCAUUUGCCUCUCGAGUUAGAACACAAAGCAUUUUGGGCAAUAAAAGAACUCAAUUAUGAUUUCAAACUUGCUGGGGAAAAGAGGUUAUUUGAUAUUAGCUCUUUAGAUGAAUGGAGAACCCAGGCUUAUGAAAAUGCUAGGUUAUUCAAAGAAAAAGUUAAAAGAUGGCAUGAGAAAAGAAUUCAAAAGCGUGAGUUCAGAGUCAGAGAAUAUGUUCUUUUGUACAACUUUCAUUUCAGAUUCUUUGCAGGAAAGCUCCUCUCCAAAUGGGAAGGACCCUAUGUCAUCGAGGAGAUCUAUCGAUCCGGAGCUAUCAAAAUAAAUAAUGUCGAAGGGACUAACCCGAAGGUUGUCGAUGGGCAACGAAUAAAACACUAUAUCGCAGGUACACCCAUUAAUGUUGAAAGCAAUGUUAUCCAAACUUUGACACCGGAAGAGAACACAUAAAAGAGUCCUUCCGGGACACUCCAGAAUCGUGAAAAUAAGGAGAUACAUGAUACGGUAAGUAAACGGACUCCGAAAAAUUCGCAAAAAUACUUUUGUCAGUUUGGGAAUAUUUAGAAAAUUAGGAAAAUAAGAAACUUCUAGGAAAGUAACCCUGGUGGGCACGAUACACUAGGGCUCCUAGGUGGGUUGUGUCCACCUCGGGUACUCUCCGGACUCCAUUUUUCUACAUUAUGCUUGUUCCCCAAGAUAAAAAAUCUAUAUAUACCUCCCGAACCUGUUAACCUCCAUACCGCGGAGAAAUCUCCUGUUUUCUUUUCUUGUUGUUUUCUGUCAGAUCCAACCCACCAUGGCCGCUUCAAGCUCCUCUCCAAGGACAAGUUCUUCGACAACAUCAUCAACCCAUAUCUGCGGGAGGUGAUGCAGCAACCUCAAGUUAUCCAGAUGCGCGAUGGGGUGCUGCACAUCUGUGAUGUGCAAGGACCCAGGGGGACUAGAUCCAUGGAGGCCAGGUUUGGAGCGAUGGAGCAGGACAUCUUCAAGUGCAAGGGGAUGGUGGAGCGUGGACUCAAUGCCAAUCACCUCAUGAUCACAGACUAUACCCAUGAUCUCAAGGUGGAUGGAAAGCCCAUAAAGUACAUCAUCUUCUCCUUCAACGAGCAAAUCAACUUCCUCCAUAGCCAGAUCCACGAUCUUCGAAGCUUGGUCUUUGAAUAUGAGGCUAGGUUUAAAGGUAUGAGUUUGGCUGCCAGUUGUAGGAUCCGGGAGACUCACUCCUCCUCUUAUGAUGGUGAGCCUCUGCCAUGGAAACCCGAGGGCAAGAAACCUUCUACUUCAUCACCACCAUCUUCUUCAUCACCACCAAAAGAGAACUGAGUCUUGGGUAUGGGCACUCCACUUGGCUUUUGCCAAGCUUGGGGGAGGUGCCCAGGUAUCGUAUCAUCUCCACUAUCUGUUGCCUUUAAUUUCUUAUUUCGAUCAAUGGUUAUCUUUUGCUUUUAGAUGAAUAAAAGUUUAGUUCAAUCCUUUCUUUUUGUGAGUUUGCUUAGUGAUCAUCCUUGUAAUUGUGUGCAAGAUAUAUAAUAAAGUUUAGUUUGAGUCUUGCCUUCUUUACUUUCUUGUUGCAACAAAAGAAAGGAAAUAAAAAGAAAAGGAUCAUAUGCUAAUCUUAUGGUAGGUGAUGACAUUACACAAGGAAAAGUAUAAGUAGAAAAUUUUAUUGUAGAUUGACAAACAUAGCAUUGGUCAAUGAUGCAACUCAUGAAAGAAUUAAUAAGGGAAGAGAAGAUUCACAUAUAAAUAUACUAUCAUGGAAAUCUUUUGUGAUUGUGAGCACCCAUUGAGGGAGUCCUGGAUUAAGAGGUCCUCGAGCGUCCGGCCUAUUGACCUGGGCCGGACUGAUGGGCUGUGAAGAUACAAGACCGAAGACUCUCACUUGUGUCCGAAUGGGACUCUCCUUGGCGUGGAAGGCAAGCUUGGCGUCUGGAUAUCAAGAUUCCUUUCUCUAUAACGGACUUUGUAUAACCCUAGUCCCCUAUGGUGUCUAUAUAAACCGGAGGGGUUAGUCCAUAGAGGCAAUCAUAAUCAUACAGGCUAGACUUCUAGGGUUUUAGCCAUUAGGAUCUCGUGGUAGAUCAACUCUUGUAAUACUCAUAUUCAUCAAGAUCAAUCAAGUAGGAAGUAGGGUAUUACCUCCAUAGAGAGGGCCCGAACCUAGGUAAACAUCGUGUCCCCCGCCUCCUGUUACCAUCAGCCUUAGAUGCACAGUUUGGGACCCCCUACCCGAGAUCCGCGGUUUUGACACCGACAUUGGUGCUUUCAUUGCGAGUUCCGCUGCGUCGUCACCAAAAGGUUUGAUGGCUCCAUUAAUCAGCUACAACAAUGCAGUCCAGGGGGAGGUUUUCCUUCCUGGACAGAUCUUCGUAUCUGGCGGCUUCGCACUGUGGGCCAACUCGCUUGGGCAUCUAGAGCAGAUCGACAGCUAUGCCCCUGGCCAUCAGGUCAGGUUUGGAAGCUUGAAUUACGUUGCCGAUAUCUUCGGAGACUUGAUCUUUGACGGAUUCAAGCCCAUGACAGCCACUCCCUGCCACCACGAUGAACAUGACCUAAAUCUGUCAUCAGAUCGUGCCCAGGAGAUAGUGCAUGUAACUACUCUGGCCCUAGAUUUGGAGCAGAUUGCGUCGUCCGAGGACGGGAAGCUCAACCCCGCCACGGAAGCCGCGGACUCAGCGGUGUUAGAGUCGCACACAGAUCCAACCUCGAGCGGGGCGUGUGUCACCGGAACCUCGGAUUCGUCUCCGGCCAUAGGUUCCAUACCGCAUGCAUCCGCGCCCAUCGAACCUGAUCAGGCGCCGAUCGUUGAAUUCAGCUCCGCGGACAUCUUUCAGCACUCACCUUUAGGCGAUGUGCUAAACUCAUCAAAAGCACUCUCUUUAUCAGAGGACUCUCAGCCGAACUAUAUCUGGUUUGGUCUGGAAGGUGAUGACGGAGAAUACUGCUUCCAACCCACCACCCACUUCAUAGCCACAGUCGAAGACUUAACCGACAUGCUCGAUUACGGCUCCAAAGACAUCGACGGUAUGGAUGACGAUGCCGGAGAGGAGCAGGCACAAAAACCACCGCUUACAGGGCGCUGGACAGCCACCUCCUUGUAUGACGUAUACAUGGUGGAUACACCCAAAGAGAACAACGAUGACAAUGAAAAGGAUCCUGUCGAAGAUAAGCCUUCUGAGAUACAGCCAAAGCGCCGACGUCAGCGGCGCCUCUCUAAACCACGCCGUGGAAAAAAUAGCAAUACCUGCACAAGAGAAAAUAAUACUCCGGAUGAUGCCGAAGACAACGAAGACCUCGUUGAGCCAACUUCUGAACAUGAUGAACGGGAUGAUGUGCGAGUCAGCCCUAAUGAACAGGCCAUUAACAAAGACUCGGAGGACAGUAAUUAUCUUCCACCCUCCAAGGAUGAGGCAAGCCUCGGCGACGAAGACUUUAUCGUGCAUGAGGAGCCCAUCGAUCAGGAGCGCUUUAAGCGCCGGCUAAUAGCCACUGCAAGGAGCCUGAAAAAGAAGCAGCAGCAGCUUCAAGCUGAUCAAGCUCUGCUCAACGAUAGAUGGACAAAUGUCCUAGCAGCCGAAGAAUACAGCCUCGAGCGCCCAACCAAAAUUUACCCGAAGCGCAAAUUAUUACCCCAAUUCGAUGACGAGGCGCUGGAGCCCGUCCUACCAGCGCAUAAUGCGGCUGACCGACCACCACAUGUAGGGAUGAAAAUGGAGUGGAAACUUUCCGUUUUUUUGGGAAGAAGAAUGGAAACGGAGAGGAAAUAUGAAAACAGAAACGAAAAUUUGCAAAACAGAAGUGGAAAUGGAAUUUUUUAUGUGGAAACAGAAAUAGAAACGGAACGGUGUUUUCCGGUGGAACAUGCAUGGAAAUGGAACUUUUCGUUUACAUGAGUAUGGAAUUUCUAUUUUUACUAUAGACCUAUAGCUGCUUUGUAACCCAACCACCAAAGAGAACACAAUGACACAAUUAGUAUAAUGGAUCUAAGGCCCAACUUCUACUACCACACAUGUACUCAGCUUGACCCUAUACGCAAUUGUCCGGUACUACUACAAUACUACGCUAAGUUGCUAACAUAAUGAUAUCAUUUUGUAGCCAUGUUAACAACUCAUUAAAUUUGUUUGUUUUUGUGUGUAUUUAUCUAUGAUUCAAGGGGUUUUUAAGUUCCGAUCAAUGCCUAUUUCUGUUUACGUAUCCUCUUUGUAUUCGCUCUGUGUACGUUUUCGGUAGUAUCUGUUUCCAUAUUCAUUUCGGGGUUUCUGUAUUUGUUUCUGCUUCUGCAAAAAAAUGUGAAAACAAAUAUGAUAGAACUCAGUUCAGUCUGUUUCCGCUACAUUUUCAUUCCUAACCACGUGGCCGGGACAAAGCAGCAACUCAAGCCGAACACCAGCCUGUACCACCUCGCGGUAAGGGCAGAGACAUAACAUCUCGGGGUCAUACAUAUGACCUGCGACAAGACCUAGACAACACAACAGGUCAGACCAGAUAGAUCUACAGGUCAUGGGGACGUGCCCGGACGCGCAACAAUGGCCAUCUAGCCGGACGUGAUAAACACAACCACGCCCGGGCCGAGCACCAUAGACGAACCCCAUCCGAGCUACGCGCAACAUGGCCCGACAUAGAGGCGCCACACACCCCCUUUGAUUCACUGAUGAAGUAAUGGAACACGAAUUCCCGGAAGGAUUCAAACCCAUGAAUAUCGAAUCGUACAAUGGAACAACAAACCCCAUAGUUUGGAUUGAAGAUUUCCUCCUCCAUAUCCAGAUGACCUGGAGUGUUGACAUCCACGCCAUCAAAUACCUCCCAUUAUAACUAAAGAGGCCAGCGCGGCACUAGCUGAACAGCCUCCCUGAGAACUCCAUUGGCAGCUGGGAAGACUUGGAAGACGCCUUCCGCAAUAACUUCCAACGUACAUAUGUUCGGCCCCCAGAUGCCGAUGACCUAAGCCACAUCAUCCAGCAGCCCGGGGAGUCUUCCAGGAAGCUCUGGACUAGGUUCUUAGUCAAAAAGAACCAAAUUGUUGAUUGUCCGGACGCCGAAGCCCUCACGGCCUUUAAACAUAGCGUCCAAGAUGAGUGGCUCGCCCGCCACCUCGGUCAAGAAAAACCAACAUCCAUAGCUGCCCUUACCACUCUGAUAACCCAUUUUUGCGCGGGAGAAGACAGCUGGCUCGCUCGUAGAAGCAACAACACCAUUGAUUCAGGUACUUCCGAAGUUCGAGACGGCAACGGCAAGCCACAACACAAUAAACACAAGCGUGCAAUAACAAUGAAGGAACGCAGGACAUGGCGGUCAAGGCCGGAUUCAGUGGUUCCAAUCCCGGUCAACGAAAAAAGCCAUUCAAGGCAAACAGAGACGGGCCAUCCAAUUUAGACAAGAUACUGGAUCGGCCCUGCCAGAUUCAUGGCACCCUCGUUAAACCAGCCAAUCACACCAACAGGAGCUGUUGGGUUUUUAAACAAGUCGGCAUGCUUAAUGCCGAACACAAGGUGAAGGGGCCGCCCAGUGACAAUGAUGACGAAGAGACUCGCCAGCCGAACACCGGGGGUCAGAAGCAAUUCCCCCCGAAGUAAAGACAAUGAACAUGAUAUGCGUGACGCACAUCCCUAUAGGGGACCGCAAGCGCGCUCUACGGGAUGCCGGUGCCAUAGAGCCAGCCGCCCCAAAAUUAAGCCAAUGGGCGGCACGCCCGAUCGCUUUUGAUCACAAGGACCACCCAGGCAAUAUCCUUCACAAAGGUUCCAUCUCACGAAAGUCCUUAUGGACAGCGGCAGUAGCCUUAAUCUACUCUACCAAGACACUGUCUGCAAAAUGGGCAUUUAUCCUUCAAGAAUCAGGCCCACCUCAACUGAACAAUAUCCGGCGUAGAAGCUCACUUCACGGGCUCGAUUACAUUAGAAGUCAUUUUCGGCUCGCCGAACAACUUUUGAAGCGAAGGCUUGACCUUCGAUAUUGUCCCGCUCCAUAGUAGAUGCCAUGCACUACUCGGGCGUACCGCUUUCGCUCGCUUUAAUGCGGUCCACAUUACACCUAUUUCCAACUUAAGAUGUCCGGUCCAUGCGGCACCAUCACAAUAAAUGGAAAUAUGGAAUGUUCCCUCCGUACAGAGAAACACACUGCGGAUACUGCGGCCAAAGUACAAAACGACAUUAUCAAGCCGCACAUUUCGUCAGCCAUCAAGCUGCCGGUCUCCAUUAGACAGGACCAAUCAAUCUCAGAGCUGAAUUACCAGUUCGGCCUCUGUCGUCCGCCCCAUAUAGCCGCGAAGUCUGUCCCGCGGACAUAAAUAUACACUUAAAAUACCCUGGUCACCGACGGAGGCACAAUGCGGACAGACCUAUAACACUAUCCGCACUCUCAUAGCCUUUUUUUUCUAACCAUUUUUUAUCUUUUACUACAGGUGACUAUAUUUGCUGAGAAGUCCUUUAACCAAGGCACAGCAGCGCAGACGUGCGACAGGAGGUCCAAAUGUUUUCUGUAGACCGCACUCUUUAUUUUAAACCUGUAAAGUGCCCUUUUUAUCAGCUUUCGACCCUCGGCAUAUAUUGCCAGGGGCUCGAUAUGGCAACAUAUGAGUUGCCAACAAGUCCGAGCAGCUUUAUAGCACAUUUCGGCGUCACGAGUUUGGCCUUAUAUGCAUCAGCUCCGAAUCAUGUCUUUGGAAAACAGUUGGGUUGCCCAGCUCCUUUGCUUACUACCUUACGUUCCGCUCUAUCGGCUAGGGUAGUAAAGGGAGAUCUACUGCGAUUGUGUCCUGGUUCGUCCGGAUGAGAACCUCAGUAGAGAAAGCCGAAAACUGACUGUCAUGAUGCGGCGAGAGCUGGUCAACCACUCAAUGACUCACCGGAAUCUUAGCGAUUCCUUCCGUAUUACACUAAGGACCGUUCUUCUGGUCACGUAUGUAAACGCACCCUAUUCAGAUAACCUCGUACAUACCAGGGGCUAUAUCAUAGACCCAUCGUCAAACUCCUAUGGCUAAGUGAGAGUAUUAGAGCCGUAUAGUCCGAUUGCCUGGUUCGCCGCAUUGAAACCUCCUUAAUGGACCAAGACAUUGGGUCAAGAGUGAUCAAGUGCUUUUCCGAACACCCCCGCGCUAUAUGCGAGAGGGUCGAAGCCGACCACUGGUAAACUUUCAGAUUAUACAAAAAAUGGCCGCACGGGAGGCACCAAAAAAAAUUUAGGCAAAAGUAUAAAACAUAGCCCUAAUAUAUCAUAAUAUUGUUUUUACAAUUUUGGUACACUUCACUCGAACAUAAUAUCUUUCGAGCACUGACCCUCUAUCAAGAGGGCACCCUCUAGGACAUCCUCAAAAUAAUGCUCUGGCAUAUGAUCAUCCUUGCCCUUGGGUGGACUUUUCGCUGCAAUAUCGGUGGCCUUCAUCUUCGCCCAGUAUGUCUUGACGCGGGCAAGGGCCAUCCGUGCACCUUCUAUCCACGUUGACUGCUUGACAGCAUUGAUACGCGGAACCGCAUCAACAAGUCGCUGCACCAAACCGAAAUAACUAUUCAGAAUUGGCUUAGUCGGCCACAGCUAGACCACGACGUCCUUCAUGACAGAUCCGGAUAUCUUGUGGAGCUCAGCCCACUGGGCAAUCUGUUCAUUCAGCAACAGCGGACGCUUUGGCAUGCUGAAUUGCGACCAGAAAAGCUUUUCCGUUGCAUGCCUUCUUGCGCUUGGAAAAAUUGUGUUGCAUCGGAGACACUCUUCGGCAAGUCCAAAACUGCGUCUGGAGAACUCCACAUUUGAUUAAGCGGGGCGUACUUCGGAUCACCGAAUUUAGUUUGUAAUAAGAAGGGCUUACCAGCCGCGAUCUCCCCAGCUUGUCGGAUCUCCUCCCGAGCUGCUCUAGACUCAGACCGUGCUUCCCUCGCCUCUUGUAAGGCCUUAUCAAGAUCAACCACUCUGGUUUUGUUAUCUUUCUCGAGAAAUUCGCAUCGGCUAGUGGCAUCCUUUAGCUCAAGCGCCAUAGUAGAUAUUCUCUCCUCGCACUGGCGCCGAGCAGCCUGUUCGGCCUCUAAUUCAGUAGCUACCUUUUCGGCAGCCGCAUUACUCAUCCUGGCUUGCUCCUUGGCCCGGGCAAGCUCAUCCCGAAGGGUCUCAACUUCGGCGGCACUAUCUGCAGUUAUGCAUACCUCAGUAUACAAUUCUCAGCGUCAUGGUCAUAUUAUAGCACUUGCAUAAACUGACUGCCCCAAAAACAUACCUUGCGGCUCGUCGAGCCGCCUGUUAAUAAGCGAUGUCAUCAUCCGCCACAUCAAGUUUCUGCUUCAUAUCUGCAACGUCUGUAGCUUGGGCAGUCGCCAGGGAUGUAACAGCCUGUGUUCCAAUUAGUCAGAUUAUUUCAUGGGCAUAUCUUUCUUGAUCCUCUGAUCGCCUCCCUUUGGAUGCCAACCAAAGUCUCAGGGGCUACUAUCUAUACACAGGGCAUUUUGCGUUUAUAGCACAAUUGAAAAUAUUACAUUACGUACCUCGAAGCCUCUUAGCAGGCCCGUAAAGGCUUCAUUCAAUCCGCUUUUCAUGGAUAGAACCCUCUCAACCACCGCACCCAUCAAGGUACGAUGUUCCUCUGAGACGGGCGCAUGUCGCAAUAUGUCCAUCAAUGUAUCCGGCGCCUCCGGAUCCCUGGAAGCAGCUGAAGGGGUACGGACUCCUUUCAUAGGAAUAUGUAUACUCGACCUUAGAGUCAUCUCUGGCUGUAAAUCAGAUAGUCCGAGGCCUUUAUUGUUGGUCCCCAGAGGGGCCGCACAUCUCGGACCCUGGACAGCCAAAGUGUCCCCUUCGGGCCUAGUCUUCAUUGUCCCUCGCACCACUUGUUGAUCGGGAGAGAUCCUCCGGGACGACACCUCGGUGUCGUCUACCUUAUUAGGCGGGGAGAUCUAUGGAGGCGUCUCGCUCUUCAUCAUCUCCGAAAGAAGAUCCCCCGACGAGGAGGAUUGUUGAGGAAGGCUGCAUGCCGGACUGCAAGCAUAUAUUUUAAAUGUUACCCUUGCAACCAGGAAAGAACGGGAUAUGUUUAAAACACCCUUGUUCACUUAAUAUUCAGCUAAGGGCAUGUCCUUACGAAGGAACUGCGUGUCAACAUCACCUCCCGAACCAGAACCCCCUGACAGGGAUAUCUUCCCUCGCUUAGAAGCCUUUAUCUUCAACUCUUCGGAGGCGGUUCUCUUCUUCCCAUGGGGAGAAGGGAUGUCAGUUUCUCCUUCCCUUACAUCUUCGGAAGAGGGAGUUCCAAUCUCCCCGGACGAGGUACCUGGCAUGCCUCUAGAAUGGGGGCCACCCUGGGCCUUUUUGCUCUCCUCCUUGUCUUCCUUCGCCGGCACUUGAUAUGGUGCCGGAACCAACAUCCUUGUCAACACCAGAUCAGCUGAGUCUUCGGGAAGAGGGGACGAACACCUAAAUUCUCUCCGCCUUCAUGAUCCAGACCUGGCCGGGUAUGUUUUUCUCAGUACAUUGUUAUGAGAAAUUUAACUAAGCUGUGUUCGGGAGUCGAGUGCUUACCGAGGUAUCCGAAUGGUUGCAGUCAAGGCCGAUGUCUUCUGUAGUAUCCGGCCACUGUUUUCGUGUCCCGAAGAAUAAUUUCCAGAUUCCUUUGAGCGUCGUGUCGGAGAAGUGUUGAAGGGUUCGUGGUCCUUCCGGAUUGAACACCCACUUGCGGAGAGGCCGUUGCUGGCACAGUAGGACCUGACGGACUAGCAUUACUUGGAUUACGUUGAUGAGACUGGUGUCCUUUUCAAUGAGGCUCCGUAUGCGGCUUUGCAGCAUCUGCACUUCAUCAAUGGAUCCCCAAUCCAGCCCCUUAUUAAUCCAUGAUGCAAGCUGUAACAGAGGGCCAGAUCGGAACGCAGGUGCAGCUGCCCACUUGGUACCACAGGUUCAGUGAUGUAAAACCACUCCCGCUGCUAUAGGUCGGAAGUUUCUGUGAAGGAGCCCUUUGGCCAAGGAGUAUUAGUGAGUUUUCUCACUGCAGCACCACCGCACUCCGCUUGUUUCCCGUCGACUACCUUCGGCUUCACAUUAAAGUUCUUGAGCCACAAGCCGAAGUGUCAGGGAAUACGGAGGAAGGCCUCGCACAUGAUAAUCAACGCCGAGACAUGAAGAAAGGAGUCCGGAGCUAGAUCGUGAAAAUCUAGCCCGUAAUAGAACAUGAGCCCUCGAACGAAGGGAUGAAGAGCGAACCCUAGCCCUCGGAGGAAGUGGGAGAUGAAUACGACCCUCUCACCGGAUCUGGGAGUAGGAGUAACCUACCCGUGCGCAGGAAGCCUGUGGGGGAUUUCUGCGGUCAGGUAUCUUGCCGCCCGGAGCUUCGCAAUAUCCUCCUCUAUGAUAGAGGAAGCCACCCACCGGCCUUGAGGGUUGGGUUCAGACAUGACUAGAAUUGCGAAGCAAUUAGACUCAACCUUGGGCACUAGAGCUCUAGGUGGGAGAGGUUGAGGAAAGGGUUGGCGUAAAGGAGAGAAGACGGGUCUUAGCCCCCUUAUAAAGGCGAGGAAUAUCAAACACCCCCUCCUAGGCCUUAAAACAUGCCUAUUCCCAAGGAAUCAUGCCAACGGAACGGUUGGGUUACCCAUGCCCGUAUUGAUGAGAAUCCCGUAAUAAGGGGACGCGAUCUCUGUUUUGACAAGACAUGUCAAUGAAACCGCAUCUCGAAAUAUGGAGCGAUAGGCUAAAAACAGUUCGAAAUAAUGGCCAGGCGGCGACGUGAUGUCACAUUACAAAAGUGUUGGAGAACGUAGUAAUUUAAAAAUUUCCUACGCACAUGCAGGAUCAUGGUGAUGCAUAGCAACGAGAGGGGAGAAUGUGUCCACGUACCCUCGUAGACCGAAAGUGGAAGCGUUAGCACAACGCGGUUGAUGUAGUCAUACAUCUUCACGAUCCGACCGAUCCAGUACCGAACGCAUGACACUUCCGAGUUCAGCACACGUUCAGCUCGAUGACGUCCCUCGAACUCCGAUCUAGCCAAGCUUUGAGGGAGAGUUCCGUCAGCACGACGGCGUGGUGAUGAUGAUGAUGUUCUACCGAUGCUGGGCUUCGCCUAAGCACCGCUACGAUAUUAUCGAGGUGGAUUAUGGUGGUGGGGGGCACCGCACACGGCUAAGAGAUCCAAGGGAUCAAUUGUUGUAUCUAGAGGUGCCCCCUGCCCCCGUAUAUAAAGGAGGGAGAGAGAGGCUGGCCCUAGAGGGGGAGCGCCAAGUGUGGGGAGUCCUAGUAGGAUUCCCCUUUCCUUUCCGGAGUAGGAGAGAAGGAAAGAGGGGGAGAGGGAAAAGGAAAAGGGGGCUGCACCCCUUGUCCAAUUCGGACCAGAGGGGGGGCGCGCCUCCUUCCUUUUGGCCUCUCUCCUCUAUUCCCGUAUGGCCCAAUAAGGCCCAAUACUUCUCCCGGUGAAUUCCCGUAACUCCCAGGUACUCCGAAAAUACCCGAAUCACUCGGAACCUUUCUGAUGUCCGAAUAUAGUCGUCCAAUAUAUCGAUCUUUAUGUCUCGACCAUUUUGAGACUCCUUGUCAUGUCCCCGAUCACAUACGGUACUCCGAACUACCUUAGGUACAUCAAAACACAUAAAUUCAUAAUAUAAUCGUCAUCUAACUUUAAGUGUGCGGACCCUAUGGGUUCGAGAACUAUGUAGACAUGACCGAGACACGUCUCCGGUCAAUAACCGAUAGAGGAACCUGAAUGUUCAUAUUGGAUCCUACAUAUUCUACGAAGAUCUUCAUCGGCCAAACCGCAUAACAACAUACAUUGUUCCCUUUGUCAUCGGUAUGUUACUUGACCGAGAUUCGAUCGUCGGUAUCUCAAUACCUAGUUCAAUCUCGUUACCGGCAAGUCUCUUUACUCGUUCCGUAAUACAUCAUCCUGCAACUAACUCAUUAGUUACAAUGCUUGCAAGGCUUAUAGUGAUGUGCAUUACCGAGUGGGCCCUGAGAUACCUCUUCGACAAUCGGAGUGACGAAUCCUAAUCUUGAAAUACGUCAACCCAACAAGUACCUUCGGAGACACCUAUAGAGCACCUUUAUAAUCACCCAGUUACGUUGUGACGUUUGGUAGCACACAGAGUGUUCCUCCGAUAAACGGGAGUUGCAUAAUCUCAUAGUUUUAUGAACAUGUAUAAGUCAUGAAGAAAGCAAUAGCAACAUACUAAACGAUCAGGUGCUAAGCUAAUGGAAUGGGUCAAGUCAAUCACAUCAUUCUCCUAAUGAUGUGAUCCCGUUAAUCAAAUGACAACUCAUGUCUAUAGUUAGGAAACUUAACCAUAUUUGAUUAACGAGCUAGUCAAGUAGAGGCAUACUAGUGACACUAUGUUUGUCUAUGUAUUCACACAUGUAUUAUGUUUCCGGUUAAUACAAUUCUAGCAUGAAUAAUAAACAUUUAUCAUGAAAUAAGGAAAUAAAUAAUAGCUUUAUUAUUGCCUCUAGGGCAUAUUUUAUUCAGUCUCCCACUUGCACUAGAGUCAAUAAUCUAGUUCACAUCGCCAUGAGAUUUAACACCAAUAUUCAUAUAUGUAUAUGAUUAACACCCAUAGUUCACAUCGUCAUGUGACCAACACCCAAAGGGUUUACUAGAGUCAAUAAUCUAGUUCACAUUGCUAUGUGAUUAACACCCAAAGAGUACUAAGGUGUGAUCAUGUUUUGCUCAUGAGAGAAGUUUAGUCAACGGGUCUGUCACAUUCAGAGUCGUAUGUAUUUUGCAAAAAUAUUCUAUGUCUACAAUGUUCUGUACGGAGCUAAUCUAGCUAAUUGCUCCCACUUUCAAUAUGUGUCCAGAUUGACACUUAGAGUCAUCUGGAUCAGUGUCAAAUCUUGCAUCAACGUAACCUUUUACGACGAACCUCUUGUCACCUCCAUAAUCGAGAAACAUAUCCUUAUUCCACUAAGGAUAAUUUUGACCAAUGUCUAGUGAUCUACUCCUAGAUCACCAUUGUACUCCCUUGCCAAACCAGGGCAGAGUAUACAAUAGGUCUGGUCCAUAGCAUGGCAUACUUUUAUAGAACCUAUGACUGAGGCAUAGGGAAUGACUUCCAUUUUCUUUCUAUUUUCUGCCGUGGUCGGGAUUUGACUCCUACUCAAUUUCAUACCUUUACAACACAGGCAAGAACUCUUUCUUUGACUGUUCCAUUUUGAACUACUUCAAAAUCUUGUCAAGGUAUGUACUCAUUGAAAAUCAUAUCAAGCGUCUUGAUCUAUCUCAAUAGAUCUUGAUGCUCAAUAUGUAAUUAGCUUUACUGAGGUCUUUCUUUUAAAGAACUCCUUUCAAACACUUCCUUAUGCUUUCCAGAAAAAUUCUACAUCAUUUCUGAUCAACAAUAUGUCACUCACAUAUACUUAUCAAAAAGGUUGUAGUGCUCCCACUCACUUUAUUGUAAAUACAGGCUUCACUGCAAGUCCGUAUAAAACUAUAUGCUUUGAUCAACUUAUCAAAGCAUAUAUUUCAACUCCGAGAUGCUUGCACGAGUCCAUAGAUGGAUCACUGGAGCUUGCACAUUUUGUUAGCACCUUUAGGAUUGACAAAACCUUCUGGUUGCAUCAUAUACAACUCUUCUUUAAGAAAACCAUUAAGGAAUGCAGUUUUGACAUCCAGUUGCCAGAUUUCAUAAAAUGUGGCAAUUGCUAACAUGAUUUGGACAGACUUAAGCAGCGCUACAGUUGAGAAAAUCCCAUUGUAGUCAACACCUUGAACUUGUCGAAAACCUUUUUGCGACUAGUCGAGCUUUGUAGAUAGUAACACUACCAUCAACGUCGGCCUUCCUCUGGAAGAUCCAUUUAUUUUCUAUGGCUCGCUGAUCAUCGGGCAAGUCAACCAAAGUCCACACUUUGUUCUCAUACAUGGAUCCUAUCUCAGAUUUCAUGGCCUCCAGCCAUUUCGCAGAAUUUGGGCUCAUCAUCGCUUCCUCAUAGUUCGUAGGUUUAUCAUGGUCUAGUAACAUGACUUUCAGAACAGGAUUACCGUACCACUCUGGUGCAGACCGUACUCUGGAAGACCUACGAGGUUCUGUAGUAACUUGACCUAAAGUUUCAUGAUCAUCAUCAUUAGCUUCCUCACUAAUUGGUGUAGGAAUCACUGGAACUGAUUUCAGUGAUGAACUAUUUUCCAAUUCGGGAGAAGGUAUUAUUACCUCAUCAAGUUCUACUUUUCUCCCACUCACUUCUUUCGAGAGAAACUUCUUCUCUAGAAAGGAUCCAUUCUUGGCAAUGAAUGUCUUGCCUUCGGAUUUGUGAUAGAAGGUGUACCCAACAGUCUCCUUUGGGUAUCCUAUGAAGACGCAUUUCUCCGAUUUGGGUUCGAGCUUAUCAAGUUGAAACUUUUUCACAUAAGCAUCGUAACUCCAAACUUUAAGAAACGACAACUUAGGUUUAUUGCUAAACCAUAGUUUAUACGGUGUCAUCUCAAUGGAUUUAGAUGGUGCCCUAUUUAAUGUGAAUGCAGCUAUCUCUAAUGCAUAACCCCAAAACGAUAUUGGUAAAUCGGUAAGAGACAUCAUUGAUCGCACCAUAUCAAAUAAAGUGUGGUUAUGACGUUCGGACACAUUGUUACGCUGUAGUGUUCCAGGUGGCAUGAGUUUGUGAAACUAUUCCACAUUAUUUUAACUGAAGGCCAAACUCGUAACUCAAAUAUUCAUCUCCACGAUCAGAUCGCAGAAACUUUAUUUUCUUGUUACGAUGAUUUUCCACUUCACUCUGAAAUUCUUUGAACCUUUCAACUAUUUUAGACUUAUGUUUCAUCAAGUAGAUAUACCCAUAUCUGCUCAAAUCAUCUGUGAAGGUCAGAAAAUAACGAUACCCACCACGAGCCUUAAUUCUCAUUGGUCUACAUACAUCAGUAUGUAUUAUUUCCAACAAGUCAGUAGCUCAUUCCAUUGUUCUGGAGAACGGAGUUUUAGUCAUCUUUCCCAAAAGGCACGGUUCGCAAGCAUCAAAUGAUUCAUAACCAUGUGAUUCCGAAAAUCCAUCUUUAUGGAGUUUCUUCAUGCGCUUUACACUGAUAUGACCCAAACAGCAGUGCCACAAAUAAGUUGCACUAUCAUUAUUAACUUUGCAUCUUUUGGCAUCAAUAUUAUGAAUAUGUGUAUCACUACGAUCGAGAUCCAACAAUGUAUUUUCAUUGGGUGUAUGACCAUUGGAGGUUUUAUUCAUGUAAACAGAACAACAAUUAUUCUUUGACUUUAAAUGAAUAACUGUAUUGCAAUAAACAUGAUCAAAUCAUAUUCAUGCUCAACGCAAACGCCAAAUAACAUUUAUUUAGGUUUAACACUAAUCCCGAAAGUAUAGGGAGUGUGAGAUGAUGAUCAUAUCAAUCUUGGAACUACUUCCAACACUCAUCGUCACUUCCCCUCAACUAGUCUCUGUUUAUUAUGUAACUCUUGUUUCGAGUUACUAAUCUUAGCAACCGAACAAGUAUCAAAUACUCAGGGGCUACUAUAAACACUAGUAAGGCACACAUCAAUAACCUGUAUAUCAAAUAUACCCAUGUUCACUUUGUCAUCCUUCUUAUCCACCAAAUAUUCAGGGCAUUUCCGUUUCCAGUGACCAUUUCCUUUGCAGUGUAAGCACUGAGUUUCAGGCUUUGGUCCAACUUUGGGCUUCUUCGCAAGAGUGACAACUUGCUUGUCAUUCUACUUGAAGUUCCCUUUAUUUCCCUUUGCCCUUUUCUUGAAACUAGUGGUCUUGUUAAUCAUCAACACUUGAUGCUCUUUCUUGAUUUCUACCUUCGUUGAUUUCAACAUCGCGAAGAGCUCGGGAAUCGUUUUCGUCAUUCUUUGCAUACUAUAGUUCAUCACGAAAUUCUACUAACUUGGUGAUGGUGACUAAAGAACUCUAUCAAUCACUAUCUUAUCUAGAAGAUUAACUCACACUUGAUUAAAGCGAUUGUAGUAACCAGACAAUCUGAGCACAUGCUCACUAGUUGAGCAAUUCUCCUCCAUCUUUUAGCUAUAGAACUUGUUGGAGACUUCAUAUCUCUCAACUCGGGUAUUUUCUUGAAAUAUUAACUCCAACUCCUGGAACAUCUCAUAUGGCCCAUGACGUUCAAUAUGUCUUUGAAGUCCCGAUUUUAAGCUAUUAAGCAUGGUGCACUAAUCUAUCAAGUAGUCAUCAUAUUGAGCUAGCCAAAUGUUCAUAACGUCUGCAUCUGCUCCUGCAAUAGGUCCGUCACCUAGCGGUGCAUCAAGGACAUAAUGCUUCUGUGCAGCAAUGAGGACAAUCCUUAGAUCACGGAUCCAAUCCACAUCAUUGCUACUAACAUCUUUCAACACAGUUUUCUCUAGGAACAUAUCAAAAUAAACAUAUGAAAGCAACAACGCGAGCUAUUGAUCUACAACAUAAUUUGCAAAAUACUACCAGGACUAUGUUCAUGAUAAAUUUAAGUUCAAUUAAUCAUAUUAUUGAAGAACUCCCACAUAGAUAGACAUCUCUCUAUUUAUCUAAGUGAUCACGUGAUCCAAAUCAACUAAACCAUAACCGAUCAUCACGUGAAAUGGAGUAGUUUUCAAUGGUGAACAUCACUAUGUUGAUAAUAUCUACUAUAUGAUUCACACUCGACCUUUUGGUCUCAGUGUUCUGAGGACAUAUCUGCAUAUGCUAGGCUCGUCAAGUUUAACCUGAGUAUUCUGCGUGUGCAAAACUGGCUUGCACCCGUUGUAGAUGGACGUAGAGCUUAUCACACCCGAUCAUCACGUGGUGUCUAGGCAUGACGAACUUUGGCAACGGUGCAUACUCAGGGAGAACACUUUUAUCUUGAAAUUUAGUGAGAGAUCAUCUUAUAAUGUUACCGUCAAUCAAAGCAAGAUAAGAUGCAUAAAAGAUAAACAUCACAUGCAAUCAAUAUAAGUGAUAUGAUAUGGCCAUCAUCAUCUUGUGCUUGUGAUCUCCAUCUCCGAAGCACCGUCAUGAUCACCAUCGUCACCGCCGCGACACCUUGAUCUCCAUCAUAUCAUCAUUGUCGUCUCGCCAACUAUUGCUUCUACGACUAUCGCUACCGCUUAGUGAUAAAGUAAAGCAAUUACAGGGCGAUUGCAUUGCAUACAAUAAAGCGACAACCAUAUGGCUCCUGCCAGUUGCCGAUAACUCGGUUACAAAACAUGAUCAUCUCAUACAAUAAAAUAUAGCAUCAUGCCUUGACCAUAUCACAUCACAACAUGCCCUGUAAAAACAAGUUAGACGUCCUCUACUUUGUUGUUGCAAGUUUUACGUGGCUGGAAUGGGCUGAGCAAGAACCGUUCUUACCUAUGCAUCAAAACCACAAUGAUAGUUCGUCAAGUUAGUGUUGUUUUAACCUUCUCAAGGACCGGGUGUAGCCACACUCGGUUCAACUAAAGUUGGAGAAACUGACACCCGCCAGCCACCUGUGUGCAAAGCGCGUCGGUAGAACCAGUCUCGCGUAAGCGUACGUGUAAUGUCAGUCCGGGCCGCUUCAUCCAACAAUACCGCCGAACCAAAGUAUGACAUGCUGGUAAGCAGUAUGACUUGUAUCGCCGACAACUCACUUGUGUUCUACUCGUGCAUAUAAUAUCUACGUAUAAACCUGGCUCGGAUGCCACUGUUGGGGAAUGUAGUAAUUUAAAAAAUUUCCUAUGCACACACAGGAUCACGGUGAUGCAUAGCAACGAGAGGGGAGAGUGUGUCCACGUACCCUUAUAGACUGAAAGCGGAAGCAUUAGCACAACGCGGUUGAUGUAGUCGUACGUCUUCACGAUCCGACCGAUCAAGUACCGAACGCACGGCACCUCCGAGUUCAGCACACGUUCAGCUCGAUGACGUCCCUCGAACUCCGAUCCAACCGAGCUUUAAGGGAGACUUCCGUCAGCACGACGGCGUGGUGACGAUGAUGAUGUUCUACCGACGCAGGGCUUCGCCUAAGCACCGCUACGAUAUUAUCGAGGUGGAUUAUGGUGGAGGGGGGCACCGCACAUGGCUAAGAGAUCCAAGGGAUCAAUUGUUGUAUCUAGAGGUGCCCCCUGCCCCCGUAUAUAAAGGAGGGAGGGAGAGGCCGGCCCUAGAAGGGGAGUGCCAAGUGUGAGGAGUCCUACUAGGACUCCCAAGUCCUAGUCGGAUUCCCCCUUCCUUUCCGGAGUAGGAGAGAAGGAAAGAGGGGGAGAUGGAGAAGGAAAAGGGGGCUGCACCCCUUGUCCAAUUCGGACGAGAGGCGGGGCGCGCCUCCUUCCUUUUGGCCUCUCUCCUCUAUUCCCGUAUGGCCCAAUAAGGCCCAAUACUUCUCCCGGUGUUCCCGUAACUCCCCGGUACUCCGAAAAUACCCGAAUCACUCGGAACCUUUCCGAUGUCCGAAUAUAGUCGUCCAAUAUAUCGAUCUUUAUGUCUCGACCAUUUUGAGACUCCUCGGGACUCCGAACUACCUUCGGUACAUCAAAACACAUAAACUCAUAAUAUAACCGUCAUCUAACUUUAAGCGUGCGGACCCUACGGGUUCGAGAACUAUGUAGACAUGACCGAGACACGUCUUCGGUCAAUAACCAAUAGCGGAACCUGGAUGCUCAUAUUGGUUCCUACAUACAUUGUUCCCUUUGUCAUCGGUAUGUUACUUGCCCGAGAUUCAAUCGUUGGUAUCUCAAUACCUAGUUCAAUCUCGUUACCGGCAAGUCUCUUUACUCGUUCCAUAAUACAUCAUCCUGCAACUAACUCAUUAGUUACAAUGCUUGCAAGGCUUAUAGUGAUGUGCAUUACCAAGUGGGCCCUGAGAUACCUCUCCGACAAUCGGAGUGACGAAUCCUAAUCUCGAAAUAUGUCAACCCAACAAGUACCUUCGAAGACACCUGUAGAGCACCUUUAUAAUCACCCAGUUUUGUUGUGAUGUUUGGUAGCACACAAAGUGUUCCUUCGAUAAACGGGAGUUGCAUAAUCUCAUAGUUAUAGGAACAUGUAUAAGUCGUGAGGAAAGCAAUAGCAACAUACUAAAUGAUAAGGUGCUAAGCUAACGGAAUGGGUUAAGUCAAUCACAUCAUUCUCCUAAUGAUGUGAUCCCGUUAAUCAAAUGCCAACUCAUGUCUAUGGUUACGAAACUUAACCAUCUUUGAUUAACGAGCUAGUCAAGUAGAGGCAUACUAGUGACACUAUGUUUGUCUAUGUAUUCACACAUGUAUUAUGUUUCCGGUUAGUACAAUUCUAGCUUGAAUAAUAAACAUUUAUCAUGAAAUAAGGAAAUAAAUAAUAACUUUAUUAUUGCCUCUAGGGAAUAUUUCCUUCAAAAAUAUUGUCAGCGGAUUGGACUCGUGAAAUAUUAUACUCUUUGCGAUUGUGUGUGGAAUUUAAUUUGCAGAGCCGGACACGAUUCUUGUGUUCAAAGACUAUUUUGGAGUAUUCGGAGAAGGAACCCGCCUUUCAAUGCCGAAGACAAUCUGCGCGCCGGACACCAUGUCAUUGAAGCCUGGUUCAGGAGCUACUGAGGGAGUCCUGGAUUAAGGGGUCCUCGGGUGUCCGGCCUAUUGACCUUGGCUGGACUAAUGGGCUAUGAAGAUAUGAUACGUCUCCAACGUAUCUAUAAUUUAUGAAGCAUUCAUGCUAUUUUAUUAUCUGUUUUGAAUGAUUAUGGGCUUUAUUAUACACUUUUAUAUUACUUUUGGGACUAACCUAUUAACCGGAGGCCCAGCCCAUAUUGCUGUUUUAUUGCCUGUUUCAGUAUUUCGAGGAAAAGGAAUAUCAAACGGAGUCCAAACGGAAUGAAACCUUCGGCAGCAUGAUUUUUUGGAAAAAUAUGAUCCGAGAGACUUGGAGUUCACGUCAGAAGAUCCUCGAGGAGGCCAUGAGAUAGGAGGGCGCCCCCCCCCUAAUGGGUGCGCCCUCCUGUCUCGUGGGCCCCUCGAGGCUCCCCCGACCGACUUCUUUCGCCUAUAUAAGCCUACGUACCCUAAAACCAUCGAAUAUCAAGAUAGAUCGAGAGUUCUGCCGCCGCAAGCCUCUGUAGCCACCAAAAACCUCUCAGGAGUCCGUUCCGGCACCCUGCCGGAGGGGGAACCCAUCACCGGUGGCCAUCUUCAGCAUCCCGACGCUCUCCAUGACGAGGAGGGAGUAGUUCACCCUCAGGGCUGAGGGUGUCUACCAGUAGCUAUGUGUUUGAUCUCUUUCUCUCUCUCGUGUUCUCUCUAUGGCACGAUCUUGAUGUAUCGCGAGCUUUGCUAUUAUAGUUGGAUCUUAUGAUGUUUCUCCCCCUCUACUCUCUUGUGAUGAAUUGAGUUUCCCCUUUGAAGUUAUCUUAUCGGAUUGAGUCUUUGAUUUGAGAACACUUGAUGUAUGUCUUGCCGUGUUUAUCUGUGGUGACAAUGGGAUAUCACGUGCCACUUGAUGUAUGUUUUGGUAACCAACUUGCAGGUUCCGCCCAUGAACCUAUGCAUAGGGGUUGGCACACAUUUUCUUGACUCUCCGGUAGAAACUUUGGGGCACUCUUUGAAGUACUUUGUGUUGGUUGAAUAGAUGAAUCUGAGAUUGUGUGAUGCAUAUCGUAUAAUCAUGCCCACGGAUACUUGAGGUUUGGUUGAUUUGUGUCUUAAGGUGUUAUUCUAGUAUGAACUCUUGAAUAGAUUGAUCCGAAAGAAUAACUUUGAGGUGGUUUCGUACCCUACCAUAAUCUCUUUGUUUGUUCUCCGCUAUUAGUAGCUUUGGAGUCACUCUUUGUUGCAUGUUGAGGGAUUGUUAUUGUUGGGGAACGUAGCAGAAAUUCAAAAUUUUCCUACGUGUCACCAAGAUCUAUCUAUGGAGAAACCAGCAACGAGGGGAAGGAGAGUGCAUCUACAUACCCUUGUAGAUCGCUAAGCGGAAGCAUUCAAGAGAACAGGCUUGAAGGAGUCGUACUCGUCGUGAUCCAAAUCACCGGAGAUCCUAGUGCCGAACGGACGGCACCUCCGCGUUCAACACAUGUACAGCCCGGUGAUGUCUCCCAUGCCUUGAUCCAGCAAGGAGAGAGGGAGAGGUUGAGGAAGACUCCAUCCAGCAGCAGCACAACGGUGUGGUGGUGGUGGAGGAGCGUGGCAAUCCUGCAGGGCUUCGCCAAGCACCGCGGGAGAGGAGAAGGGAGAGAGGUAGGGCUGCGCCAGGGAGAGGUCAAAACUCAUGUGUUGGCAUCCCUCAAGACCUCAACUAUAUAUAGGGGAGAGGGAGGGGGUGCACCCCCUCUAGGGUUUCCACCCCAAGGGGUGCGGCCACCCCAAUCCCAUCUAGGGUGGCGGCCAAGGGAGGGGAGAGGGGAAACUUGCCCCCCAAGUUAGGUCGAAGCACCCCCUCCCCAAACCCUAGGCGCCUUGGGCCCUUGUGGGGGGGUGCACCAGCCCACCUGGGGCUGGUCCCCUCCCACACUUGGCCCAUGCAGCCCUCCGGGGAUGUUGGCCCCACUUGGUGGACCCCCGGGACCCUCCCGGUGGUCCCGGUACGUUACCGAUAAAACCCGAAACUUUUCCGGUGACCAAAACAGGACUUCACAUAUAUAAAUCUUUACCUACGGACCAUUCCGGAACUCCUCGUGACGUCCGGGGUCUCAUCCGGGACUCCGAACAACAUUCGGUAACCACAUACAAACUUCCUUUAUAACCCUAGCGUCAUCGAACCUUAAGUGUGUCGACCCUACGGGUUCGGGAACCAUGCAGACAUGACCGAGACGUUCUCCGGUCAAUAACCAACAGCGGGAUCUGGAUAACCAUGUUGGCUCCCACAUGGUCCACGAUGAUCUCAUCGGAUGAACCACGAUGUCAAGGACUUAAUCAAUCCCGUAUACAAUUCCCUUUGUCUAGCGGUAUUGUACUUGCCCGAGAUUCGAUCGUCGGUAUGCCGAUACCUUGUUCAAUCUCGUUACCGACAAGUCUCUUUACUCGUUCUGUAACACAUCAUCCCAUGAUCAACCCCUUGGUCACAUUGUGCACAUUAUGAUGAUGUCCUACCGAGUGGGCCCAGAGAUACCUCUCCGUCACACGGAGUGACAAAUCCCAGUCUCGAUUCGUGCCAACCCAACAGACACUUUCGGAGAUACCUAUAGUGCACCUUUAUAGCCACCCAGUUAUGUUGUGAUGUUUGGUACACCCAAAGCAUUCCUACGGUAUCCGGGAGUUGCACAAUCUCAUGGUCUAAGGAAAUGAUACUUGACAUUAGAAAAGCUUUAGCAUAUGAACUACGAUCUUUUGUGCUAGGCUUAGGAUUGGGUCUUGUCCAUCACAUCAUUCUCCUAAUGAUGUGAUCCUGUCAUCAAUGACAUCCAAUGUCCAUGGUCAGGAAACCGUAACCAUCUAUUAAUCAACGAGCUAGUCAACUAGAGGCUUACUAGGGACAUGGUGUUGUCUAUGUAUCCACACAUGUAUCUGAGUUUCCUAUUAAUACAAUUAUAGCAUGGAUAAUAAACGAUUAUCAUGAACAAGGAAAUAUAAUAAUAACUAAUUUAUUAUUGCCUCUAGGGCAUAUUUCCAACAGUUAUAUGAUCUAUCUAUGUUAUUAUUGUUGAGAGAACUUGCAUUAGUGAAAGUAUGAACCCUAGGCCUUGUUUCCUACCAUUGCAAUACCGUUUACGCUCACUUUUAUCAUUAGUUACCUUGCUGUUUUUAUAAUUUUAGAUUACAAAAACCUAUAUCUACUAUCCAUAUUGCACUUGUAUCACCAUCUCUUCGCCGAACUAGUGCACCUAUACAAUUUACCAUUGUAUUGGGUGUGUUGGGGACACAAGAGACUCUUUGUUAUUUGGUUGCAGGGUUGCUUGAGAGAGACCAUCUUCAUCCUACGCCUCCCACGGAUUGAUAAACCUUAGGUCAUCCACUUGAGGAAAAUUUGCUACUGUCCAACAAACCUAUGCACUUGCAGGCCCAACAACGUCUACAAGAAGAAGGUUGUGUAGUAGACAUCAAGCUCUUUUCUGGCGCCGUUGCUGGGGAGGUGAGUGCUUGAAGGUAUAUCUUUAGAUCUUGCAAUCGAAUCUUUUUUUUUCUUGUUUUAUAACUAGUUUAUUUUAUAAAAGAAAACAAAAAAAUGGAGUUAAGUUUGUCUCAUACGCUUCGUCUUUUUAAUAUCUUUCGUGAGUAUGAUGGAAAGGAAAAUUGUGCUCAAUUGCUAGAAUAAGAGUGCAUUAAAAUGCUUGGUACUAAAUCUUUGAAUGAUGAGCAUGAUUGCAAUGUUGUUAGUAUGAACUCUUUGAAUAUCCAUAGUACUAAUGAUGAUUGCACUAGUUAUGAUGAAAAUGUCCCCUAUAAGCAUGUUGAUUUUUGUGGAGUGCAUGUUUGCAUGAACACACCAAAUAGAGAAGAUAUAUAUUGCAAGAGGCAUAAGCAUUUAGAAACUAAAUGGUUGCAAGAAAGGCUAGAUGUGAGUGCUGAAAAUUUAAAAUUCCUUUGCCGUACUUGUGAACUUUGCAAUGAACGUGGUCAUUUACAUCUCCAAUGCAAAUUGUUUCAUGACUGAAUCAUGUCCAAAAAUUGUGAUGAUUUGAUCUCCCUUGCACAUUAUAAUGAACUUAGUUUGCUUUUGGGUUAUGAAGAGUUGAAACAUUUAACUAAGCCUAUUCCAGAAUUUAAUCUUGAGCAUUUCCUUGAUAUUGAUCUCGAAAAGAUUUAUAUUUUUUGUGCGGAGAAUUGCAUUGAAAAUCCUUAUAUUGCCAAUUACAUAAAGAAAAGAAAGCAAAUAGAAGAAGAAGAGAAUAAUAAUGAAAGGGAAGAGACUUCCCAAUCUCCUCCUAUUAUUUCUUAUGAUGAAUCAGGUAACGAGGAGCUUUCUAUUCAACCAAUCACAUCAAUAAGGAGCUCAAAGAGGAAGGUUGAACCCACACAUAAUGUGAAGAAGAAAAAGAAAAGAAGGAGCAACAAAGGUAAAAAAAAGGUAUCCCUCCCAAAUUAUGUUGCUCCUACUACUCAUUGUGAUGAUGAUAAUUGCUUUACUAUUGGUGCUAUCCAUAUUUUUAAUUAUGAGAGUGAUUAUGCCUGUGAUAUGAAAGAGCCCAAGCUUGGGGAAGCUAUGUUUGAUGAGGAUGGCAUAUUUGAUAAUAUAUUUGCUGAAAUUAAUGUUUGUACCAAGCUUGGGGAUGCUAUGUUUAAUGAAGAUGAUACUUUUAGCAUCCCAAGUUUUGAUAUGCAAAGUUGUUAUGAUGAUAGCAUGCCUCCUACCUAUGAUGAUUAUAUUGAUGAAAGUGGGUUUGGAAGAGUGUCAACUUUAGGAAGUAGUGAUCCCACUAUUUUGGAGGAUGUUGAAUUUUAUUGUGAUGAAUAUGAAAGUGGAUUUGGGAGAGUGUCAACUUUAUUUAGUGAUUCCACUAUCUUGGGAGAGGUUUCAAUCGAUUAUGAUGAGAACGAAGUUGCUACUUAUGAUGAUUAUUGUGAUGAAACUUAUGCUAUAAAAAGUCGAUGAUUAUAUUUACAAAUCUUGUCAUGAUUAUGAUUACCCUCUUUCUGAACAUUACUCUUUUAAUGUGGAAACAAUUUUUAGUGUUCAAGUCUCUUAUGAUACUCCCACUAUUCCGAAUGAGAGGAAUUUUGCUUAUGUGGAGAGUAGUAAAUUUUCUAUGCUUGUAGAUCAUGAAAAGAAUGCUUUAGAUGCUGGUUAUAUUUUUGAAUUUAUUCAUGAUGCUACUGAAAAUUAUUAUGAGGGAGGAACAUAUGCUUGUAGGAAUUGCAAUAAUGUCAAGUUUCCUCCCUAUGUGUUGAAAAUUUUGAAGCUAUGCUUGUUUUACCUUCCCAUGCUAGUUGAUUAUUGUUCCCAUAAGUUGUUUGCUCACAAAAUCCCUAUGCAUAGGAAGUGGGUUAGACUUAAAUGUGCUAGUCAUAUGCUUCAUGAUGCUCCCGUUAUAUUUCAAUUCUUAUCUUUUAUGUGAGCAUCAUUGUUAUCAUCGUGCCUCGCUAGAAAGGCAUUAAAGAAAAGCGCUUGUUGGGAGACAACCCAAUAUCUAUCCUUUGUUUUUAUAGCUUUUGUUUCAAUAAAGUGCCAAGUAAGACCUUUAGGAUAGCUUUCGGUGAUAGUUGUGUUGAUCCUGCUGAAAAUCAGAAACUUUUGCACCCAGUAAAUUAGUUUUGUUAAUUCACAUAAAAGUUCUUAUGAUCUGAUUCUUUUUGCUAUUGAUUGGUACAUUAAUUUCUUAGGACUUCCUAAUUCGGUAGAAUUUUUGGAGUUCCAGAAGUAUACGUUCGAUACAGAUUACUUCAGACUGUUCUGUUUUUGACAGAUUCUGUUUUCUAUGUGUUGUUUACUUAUUUUGAUGAAUCUAUGAGUAGUAUCGGAGGGUAUGAACAAUAGAUAAGUUAGAGUAGAGUAGAUAUUACACCAAUAUGAAUUUAGAAUGAGUUCAUUACAGUACCUAAGUGGUGGUUUUAUUUUCUUAUACUAACGGAGCUUACGAGUUUUCUGUUGAGUUUUGUGUUGUGGAGUUUUCAAGUUUUGGGUAAAGAUUCGAUGGACUAUGGAAUAAGGAGUGGCAAGAGCCUAAGCUUGGGGAUGACCAAGGCACCCCAAGGUAAUAUUCAAGGACAACCAAGAUCCUAAGCUUGGGGAUGCCCCGGAUGGCAUCCCCUCUUUCGUCUUCGUUCAUCGGUAACUUUACUUGGAGCUAUAUUUUUAUUCACCACAUGAUAUGUGUUUUGCUUGGAGCGUCAUUUUCUCUUGUUAGUAUUUGCUUGCUGUUAUUUAGAAUAACGUUUUGUAUCUUUAGUUUCAAUAAAAAAAGUCAAGGAUAGCCUUUGCCAUGAUUAUUUUGCUAGUAUACAUGUUGCUGUUUGAAAACAGAAAGUUUACCGCUGUUGCAAAAAUUCCCUAGAAAAGUCAGAGAAUGAUAUAAUGUUUAAACCUUUUGCAUAUUGAGAUAUGAUAAAUUUAUUACAGUGGGAAUUUUAUUUCAUAAUUUUUGGAGUUAGGGAAGUAUGAUGAAUCUUGCAUUCUUUACAGACUGUACUGUUUUGACAGAUUGCUGUUAUGUUUGCAUUGUUUGCAUAUGUUUGCUUGUUUAAUGAUUCUAUUUGAGGAUAGGAGUAUUAAAUAUGCAGAGGCAUUUAGUAUGCAAUGUUGAAUAAUAAUUUUAGUGAUUUGUUACAGUAGAAAAUGAUAAGGUUUUGCAUUGGUUUAUACUAACCUAUCUCACGAGUUCUUGUUGAGUUUGGUGUGGAUGAAGCUUUUGAUAAAAAGAGAAACCAUGAUAUGAGAGGAAUUAAGGAGACACAAAAUUUCAAGCUUGGGGAUGCCCAAGGCACCCCAAGAUAAUAUUUCAAGAAGUCUUAAGCAUCUAAGCUUGGGGAUGCCCCGGUAGGCAUCCCACCUUUCUUCUUCAACAAUUAUCGGUUAGUAUCGGUUGAGCCUAAGUUUUUGCUUCUUCACAUGAGUUGUGCUAUCCUUGCAAUGUCAUUUUAUUUUAUUUUGCUUGCGGUUUGAAUACAAUACCAAGAUCUGAAAUUCCUAAAUGAGAGGGAGUCUUCGUAUAGUUACAUAAUUAUUUAGCUACUCAUUGAUCUUCACUUAUAUCUUUUUGGAGUAGUUUGUCAUUUACUCGUGUGCUUCACUUAUAUCCUAUGAGUAAAUUGUUGAAUGAGUUGAUCAUAAUAAAUCUGAAAUUAUAUAUGCCUCAUUUGCUUAUCCCAUGGGGAGUAAUGACUUCACGUCUAAGAAGUAGAGGUUGUAAAUUUAUUGAAGGUUAGCAAGCAUUGUAUUGGUCAUUUGAACAAUUCAUGAAAGAAUAUUGAAGGAAGAGAGAUUUCACAUAUAAAUAUACUAUUGUAGACAUAUUUUAUAGUUGGGAGCACUCAUUAAGUAUGACAUGCUAAAGAGUUGAUGUUGGACAAGGAAGACAACAUAAUGGUUUAUGUUUUCCGACAUCUCAGUUAAAGUAUAUUGUCAUGGAUCAUUCAAACAUGUUGAGCUUGCCUUUCCCCUUAUGCUAGCCAAAAUUCCUUGCACCAAGUAGAGAUACUACUUGUGAUUCCAAAUAUCCUUAAACCCAGUUUUGCCAUGAGAGUCCACCAUACCUACCUAUGGAUUGAGUAAGAUCCUGCAAGUAAGUUGUCAUCGGUGCAAGCAAUAAAAAUUGCUCUCUAAAUAUGUAUGAUCUUUUGGUGUGAAGAAAAUAGCUUUAUACGAUCUCUUGUUAUGGAAGCAAUAAAAGCGACGGACUGCAUAAUAAAGGUCCAUACACAAGUGGCAAUAUAAAGUGACGUUCAUUCGCAUUAAGAUUUUGUGCAUCCAACCCUAAAAGCGCAUGACAACCCCUGCUUCCCUCUGCGAAGGGCCUAUCUUUUACCUUAUGUCUUUUACUUUAUGCAAGAGUCAAGGUGAGCUUCACCUUUCCCUUUUUCAUUUUAUCCUUUGGCAAGCACCUCGUGUCGGGAAGAUCCUGCUAUAUAUAUCCAAUUGGAUGUAAGUUAGCAUGAACUAUUAUUGUUGACAUCACCCAAAGGUGAAUAAGUUGGGAGGCAACACUAUAAGCCCCUAUCUUUCUCAGUGUUCGAUUGAAACUCCAUAACCAUUAGUAUUUCGUGAGUGUUAGCAACUGUAGAAGACUAUAUGAUAGUUGAGUAUGUGGAGUUUGUUAUUUCUGAAAAUAAGAUGAAUUGCAAUUGUUUGAUGACCGAGAAUGAAGUUUGCUAGUUUUCAAGAAAGUUUAUGGUCUAUGCUUUGACAUGUGAAUUGUUUGUUACUUUAUCGUGAGAAGUUUUAUGAGAUGAACUACUGUUAUGAUAUAUUAUCAUGCUCUAAAAGGUGAUUGAAAUUAUUAUUGAUCAAACUUGUGCACCUUCUAGCAUUCACACUUCAUAAAUUCUUUCUUUUAUCAUUUAGCUACUCGAGGACGAGUAGGAAUUAAGCUUAGGGAUGCUGAUACGUCUCCAACGUAUCUAUAAUUUAUGAAGCAUUCAUGCUAUUUUAUUAUCUGUUUUGAAUGAUUAUGGGCUUUAUUAUACACUUCUAUAUUACUAUUGGGACUAACCUAUUAACCGGAGGCCCAGCCCAUAUUGUUGUUUUAUUGCCUGUUUCAGUAUUUCGAGGAAAAGGAAUAUCAAACGGAGUCCAAACGGAAUGAAACCUUCGGCAGCGUGAUUUUUUGGAAGAAUAUGAUCCGGGAGACUUGGAGUUCACAUUAGAAGAUCCUCGAGGAGGCCAGGAGAUAGGAGGCCCCCCCCCCUACUGGGCGCGCCCCCUGUCUUGUGGGCCCCUCGAGGCUCCCCCGACCGACUUCUUUCGCCUAUAUAAGCCUACGUACCCUAAAACCAUCGAAUAUCAAGAUAGAUCGGGAGUUCUGCCACCGCAAGCCUCUGUAGCCACCAAAAACCUCUCGGGAGUCCGUUCCGGCACCCUACCGAAGGGGGAACCCAUCAGCGGUGGCCAUCUUGAUCAUCCCGGCGCUCUCCAUGACGAGGAGGGAGUAGUUCACCCUCGGGGCUAAGGGUAUGUACCAGUAGCUAUGUGUUUGAUCUCUCUCUCUCUCUCGUGUUCUCUCUAUGGCACGAUCUUGAUGUAUCGCGAGCUUUGCUAUUAUAGUUGGAUCUUAUGAUGUUUCUCCCCCUCUACUCUCUUGUGAUGAAUUGAGUUUCCCCUUUGAAGUUAUCUUAUCGGAUUGAGUCUUUGAUUUGAGAACACUUGAUGUAUGUCUUGCCGUGUUUAUCUAUGGUGACAAUGGGAUAUCACGUGCCACUUGAUGUAUGUUUUGGUGACCAACUUGCGGGUUCCGCCCAUGAACCUAUGCAUAGGGGUUGGCACACGUUUUCUUGACUCUCCGGUAGAAACUUUGGGGCACUCUUUGAAGUACUUUGUGUUGGUUGAAUAGAUGAAUCUGAGAUUGUGUGAUGCAUAUCGUAUAAUCAUGCCCAAGGAUACUUGAGGUGACAAUGGAGUAUCUAGGUGACAUUAGGGUUUUGGUUGAUUUGUGUCUUAAGGUGUUAUUCUAGUAUGAACUCUUGAAUAGAUUGAUCCGAAAGAAUAACUUUGAGGUGGUUUCGUACCCUACCAUAAUCUCUUCGUUUGUUCUCUGCUAUUAGUAGCUUUGCAGUGACUCUUUGUUGCAUGUUGAGGGAUUGUUAUAUGAUCUAUCUAUGUUAUUAUUGUUGAGAGAACUUGCACUAGUGAAAGUAUGAACCCUAGGCCUUGUUUCCUACCAUUGCAAUACCAUUUACGCUCACUUUUAUCAUUAGUUACCUUGCUGUUUUCAUAAUUUCAGAUUACAAAAACCAAUAUCUACUAUCCAUAUUGCACUUGUAUCACCAUAUCUUCGCUGAACUAGUGCACCUAUACAAUUUACCAUUGUAUUGGGUGUGUUGGGGACACAAGAGACUCUUUGUUAUUUGGUUGCAGGGUUGCUUGAGAGAGACCAUCUUCAUCCUACGCCUCCCAUGGAUUGAUAAACCUUAGGUCAUCCACUUGAGGAAAAUUUGCUACCGUCCUACAAACCUGUGCACUUGCAGGCCCAACAACGUCUACAAGAAGAAGGUUGUGUAGUAGCCGUCAAGAUACAAGACCGAAGACUCUCACCUGUGUUCGGAUGGGACUCUCCUUGGCAUGGAAGGCAAGCUUGGCGUCCGGAUAUGAAGAUUCUUUCUCUGUAAUUGACUUUGUACAACCCUAGUCCCCUUCAGUGUCUAUAUAAACCGGAGGGGUUAGUCCGUAGAGGCAAUCAUAAUCAUAUAGGCUAGACUUCUAGGGUUUUAGCCAUUACGAUCUCGUGGUAGAUCAACUCUUGUAAUACUCAUAUUCAUCAAGAUCAAUAAAGCAGGAGUAGGGUAUUACCUCCAUAGAGAGGGCCCGAACCUGGGCAAACAUCGUGUCCCCCGCCUCCUGUUACCAUCAACCUUAGACGAACAAUUCAGGACCCCCUACCUGAGAUACGCCGGUUUUGACGCCGACACCCAUCAAAAUAUUAUAUGCUAAAAUUGUUGACGUUGGACACGGAAGACAACUUAAUGAUUUAUGUUUGUUCAUAUUCACAUAGAAGUCAUAUUGUCAUAGAUCCUUCAACAUGUAGUGCUUGCCCCUAUGUUUGCUAGCCAAAAACUCCGCACUAAGUAGAGAUACUACUUAUGCAUCCAAAACCCUUAAACCUUAUCUUGUUUGAUAGUCCACCAUAUCUACCUAUGGAUUGAGUAAUAUCCUUCAAGUAAGUUGCCAUCGGUGCAAAAAGGGCAAUAAAAUUGCUUAUAAAAAUGUGAGACCAUUUAGUGUAAGGUAAAAUUGAGCGUUAUACGAACUCGUAAUGGUGAAGAAUAAAAGCGACAGACUGCAUAAUAAAGGUUGCCAUCACAAGGGGCAAUAUAACGUGACGUUCUCUUGCACUAAGGGGUCGAGCAUACAAACAAAAAGCGCAUGGCAACCUCUGCUUCCCUCUGCGAAGGGCCUAUCUUUUACUUUCAUGUAUUUACUUUUAUGCAAGAGUCAAAGUUUUUCUCUCUAUUCCUUUUUUUUUCCUUUGGCAAGGAUCAUGUGGCGAGGAAAGAUCUAGGCACAUAUGUCCAGUUUAAUAUGGGUAGCAUGAGUUAUUAUUGUUGACAUCACCCUUGAGGUGAGUGUGUUGGGAGGCGAAACUAUAAGCCCCUAUCUUUCUUUGUGUCCGGUUGAAACAUUUUGCUCAUGUGUACGUCGUGAGUGUUAGCAAUCAUAGAAGACUAAAUGAUGGUUGAGUAUGUGGACUUGCCUAAAGGCUCCGAUACGUGACCCUUCCUGAAAAGAUGAUGAAUUGCAGUUGCAAAGUUGACUAAGAACAUAGUUUGUUGGUUUCCAAUAGAGUUUAUGCUUUAUACUUCGAUGUUGUGAUGAAUUGUCACUUGUUCAUGAGAGGUUUAUGAUAAAAGUUUUAUAUUAAAGUCUGUUGUUGCUAUAAUAAGUCACAUGAUGCUGCUAUGUCUGUAUUUUUGUUUUUAUCGACACCUCUCUCUCUAAGCAUGUGGACAUGUUUUUCGAUUUUGGUUUUGCUUGAGGACAAGCGAGGUCUAAGAUUGGGGGAGUUGGUACGUCCAUUUUGCAUCAUGUUUUCCUACUGUUAUUUAUGUUGUUUUAUUGUAUAAUAAUGCUUUUGGAGUAAUUCUAAUGCCUUGUCUCUCAUAAUAUGCAAGGUAUGCACCAAGGGGGAGAAUUCUGGCAGCUGGAAAUCUGGACCUAAAAAAGCUACGUCAAGCUACCUAUUCUGCACAACUUCAAAUGAGCUGAAACUCCCCUAGGAAUUUGUAUGGAAUAUUUAAUGAAUAUUAGAGCAAAUAAGUACCAGAGGAGGGCCACCAGGUGGGCACAACCCACUUGGGCGCACCAGGAGGCCCAGGCGCGCCUUGGUGGGUGCUGCCCUCCUCGGCCCACCUCCGGUGCCCAUCUUCUGGUAUAUAAGUCAUUUUGACCUAGAAAAUGAGGGGAGGACAUUCGGGACGAAGCGCUGCCGCCUCGAGGUGGAACUUAGGCAAGAGCACUUUUUCCCUUCGGCGGAGCAAUUCCGCCGGGGGAACUUCCCUCCCGGAGGGGGAAAUCAUCGUCGUCAUCAUCACCAACAACUCUCCCAUCUCGGGGAGGGCUAUAUUCAUCAACAUCUUCAUAGCACCAACUCCUCUCAAACCCUAGUUCAUCUCUUGUGUUCAAUCUUUGUAUCAAAACUAUAGAUUGGUGCUUGUGAGUGACUAGUAGUGUUGAUUACAUAUUAUAGUUGAUUACUAUAUGGUUUAUUUGGUGGAAGAUUAUAUGUUCGGAUCCAUUAUGAUAUUUAAUACCCCUCUGAUCUUGAGCAUGUUUAUCAUUUGUGAGUAGUUACUUUUGUUCUUGAGGUCACGGGAGAAAUCAUAUUGCAAGUAAUCAUGUGAACUUGAUAUGUGUUCGAUAUUUUGAUUGUAUGUAUGUUGUCAUUCUCUUAGUGGUGUCAUGUGAACGUCGACUACAUGACACUUCACCAUAUUUGGGGCUAAGGGAAUGCAUUCUGGAGUAGUUAUUAGAUGGUGUGUUGCGAGAGUGACAGAAGCUUAAACCCCCAUUUAUACGCUAUUCCGUAGGGACCGAUUGGAUCCAAAACUUUAAUGCUAUGGUUAGAAUUUAUUCACAAUACUUUUCUCGUAGUUGUGGAUGCUUGCGAGAGGGUUAAUCAUAAGUAGGACACUUUCCUUAUCAUAAGAAACCGUUUUGGCCUGUCCUUUUCCUCAAAAGGAUUGGGCUACCUUGCUGCACUUUUGUUACUACUAUUGUUACUUGCUCGUUACAAAUUAUCUUGCUAUCAAACUACUCCGCUACUCACAAUUUUAGCACUUCAAACUGUACCUUGCUGAAAUCCACUUGUCAUUUCCUUCUGCUCCUUGUUGGGUUCGACACUCUUACUUAUUGAAAAGGGCUACAAUUGACUCCCUAUACUUGUGGGUCAUCAGCUACCACCACCAACAAUACUGAAGUACCUAACAACAUUGAACAACCAGUCACUUCUGAUGAUGUUGUUCCUCCACCAAGGCCUCAUACCAUGGAAUGCGCAUUCUAUCAAGGUGAGUUGGUAACUAUUAGAUGGCCUAUAAUGGUUCCACCCACUGCUCCCGGGCCACAAUAUGAUUAUCACGUGGAGGAGAGGCCUCAGACCUUGAAGCCAAAGCCAAGACUACCAAGGCUUCCUAGUGCUGCAACAACACACGGCUCAUUUAGUGUGCUCAGCUUCAGAGAGCACAACACAUUCUUCGACAGCACCAAGAACCCAUACACGAAGCCCAAGAUCUCCUCUGAUAGGUUUUGGAGCUGACAGCAACGAAGCUAUUACUCGUAUAUCCUAUACAACCAAGACCGGGUUUUUUCUCAUAAGCGUCUGGAUUGUGAUGCUGUUGCUGGGCUGCCAUGCCUUGAAGAGGCACUUGAUUGCUUCAUAGAUGUUGGGCUGCUAUAUUUUGUGACUGGCAAGGAGCACUGGAAUGAAGAGCUUUUGCUGUAGUUCUAUGCAACCUUGCACAUUCGAGGCUACAACAAGGAUCCGAAGACUUGGGUCCUUCAGUGGAUGACAGGAGAUGUUCAUCAUGAAGCCAAAGCUCAGGACGUCAUUGAGCUUACCUCCCUGCCCACUCCUAGUGAGUUAUGUGAACUAGGUUGUCAGCUCUAUCAAGAUAAACUGCAGAGCAUAUUUCGGAAGCCCAAGCCAAAUAUGAGUCAGAUGCUGAGCAUGAUGAAGCCAUUGCCCUAAGAUGCUGAAUACCCUAAAUAGUUCUUUGUUGAAGACCUCAAGUACUUGCCCCACACAGUCUAUCACAUUCUGAGGCGUACUCUCUGGCCAAUCAAAGGAUACUCUCUGGAGCUAAACUCGAAGGCGCCAUGAAGACACUGGUCUUCUAUAUUGUCAAUGGCAUAAGAUUCAACACUCAGGAUUUCUUCAUUCGUCAGUUGGCUGCUUCUGGAAUUGAUCUGUUUGGCCUGAAGUUAUAUGCCCCCUGGAUCAUGCGUCUCAUCAAGCUUCAUUCCAUAGUUGACUAUCAACCUUCAGCGUGCAAUCAUGUCAUAUUUCUGCCUAAUGUUGACAUGUCCUAUGAAGCCAUCUACUCUGAUCCAGCAAAGAAGCCACUCCAUAUGCAGAAUGCUGAAUAUCAAAGCUUCACUCAACCUAUUGAAGGCAUUCAUGUACCAAAUUCUGCUACUCCUGACUAUCCCCUGGCUGGCAACUUGCGUAUGCCGCAUCGCGCCAAUACUGAAGCCACUGCCAGUGCAAUUGCACAAAGGCCUCAGAAGCAUUCGUGUGUCCUUAAUGACCGUGAGCUUCUGGUAUCUUUGCAUCAGAAGCAGGAUAAGCAUCAUGAAUGGAUGAAACGCCAAAUGCAAAGUAUUCUGGUGGAUGUCAAUCGCAUUCGCAACUUGGCUACCAAGAAUUCUUUUGUUGCUCAUGAAGCCUGCCUGCGGUCCUGGAAGAGCCUUACCUUGCUCUGCUCUGAAGAUGAUCUUCGCGAGGAUGGCUUCAUUGAAAAAUUCAAGUUUGACUCCAGGCCACCACAAUCAGCAAGUUGGCGUCCAACACCUUCUAUUCAAGAUUCUGAGUACUCAUCUUCGGCUGCAACUAUUGUUGCGAGAGUUGUCGAUGAUGAAGACGACGCCACUUCACCAUCAUUAGCUUCACUGCAUCAAGAUGCUGCCCCAGGCCCCUCUGCACCACCUAACUCCAACGUCGACCAUGCUGCUCCAAAUUCGUCUACACCUGGGAACGCGUAGAAACUCUCUGUCUUCAAACCUUUUUGGUCCUUAUUGACAAAAGGGGGAGAAGCAUAUGAGGUUGGUAGUCUUCAAGCGGGUCCAUAUGGGUGGAUGCCUUAAUUUUUGCUAAGUGCUUGCAACUCUCAUUUUUAAAACUAUUUGGCUCUUGAGUUGUAACACUUAAACUUGAUGGUCGUCUACUACUUUUGCUACUAUGUUGUGAUUCGAUGAUAAAUUCCGCAUGAAGUCAUUCUGCAGACGUCUUUUCAUUAUGCAUAUCAUUAUCUUCAUAACUUUCAUAUAUGCAUGAUGAAUUGUCUUCAUACAUUGAAGAUGGCCUCCACGAAGCAAAACCUGCAUGUGCAUUUUCAUUCAAAAGCAAACUAUUUAUAUGCACAUCUUCAGGGGGAGCCUCUUUUGAUCUAUGAAGACAAUGCUCACAAAACUGAAUUUCACAUAUCAGGUCGGGUUGCCACUUGGCUAUAAAUAGCCUACCCCCUACACCAUAGAUUGGUGGCUGCUUAGAGUUAGUGCACAUCUUUUGUCGUUUGAGAGCAACCCACCUCCGAAGCAUUUGAGAGAGAGAUAUUUGCGAGGACUUAAGCCCAAAACACCUAGACCCAAAGAGUGUUAGGCAUCACUGAAGUCUUUCUGUCCGCGUGAUCUUAAGACUUGUUACACUUGAGGACUGUGAAUCCUCCAGCCGGUUAGGCGUCGCGUUCUGAGCAUCCAAGAGUCACUGUGGAUUGCAGGUGAAUGAAGUCUAUGAAGGUUUGGAAGUGAUGCGGAGCAUCCCACAUUCAUUCCCAUGUACACUCCGACUACUCUCCAAGCCCCAAAAGGACAUAUGACGAGACCUCAAACAUACGCCAUCGGACACAAGGUGAACUCGCUCCUCUCCGAAUCGUCACUUUCCACAUGUGAGACAUGGAUACUACCUCAAACAUAUGUGCUAUGCAUGACCAGGAACCAAGAGGAAGGCCAUGGAACAACUACGAGCAUUGGACAAGACGGAGAGGACACCAAGCGCGAGGAACAAGAGGAAGAGCUGCCAGGAAGCUACAGCUCUCAGACGUCCGACGACCUCCAGACGACUGACGAUCUCCGAACAUCCGAUGCCUGGAGACUCCACCAGCCAGAUCAACUCCAGCCGAGGCAACCUACAAUGCCCGGACGAUCGCCCGACACCGGACAUCCGACACUCAUCAGCGCACGGACGACCGACACCGACCGGACAUCCGACACUACCGGACUAGAGCCAAAACAUCGGAAGUCCGAAGACUUCCGGAUGACCGGACGCCCGUGGGCGACCGGACAACCAAUAGCCGUCGGACGUCCGACGCCUGUCUGCAUGGAGAGAUCGGGCCCGAGGCCCAUGUAUCCCUCUCCCACUUACCCCUUCGUGGACCUAGACUAUAUAUACUCCUCCACCUCCUUCUAGUUAGGGUUAGCGUUGUGAUAGCUCAUUUGUGAGACAGAGCCUCGCUCAUUCAUCUGGAUCUGCUCCUCUGAGAGAGGCUGUGCCUCUACGGAGAAGAUCCACUUGGAUUCAAGACCCCUAAUAGGAAGAACUCAAGACCUCCUCUUGGAGAAGAACCGGUUACCCUAUGUAUCUUCCUUGUUGGAUUCGGAUCGUGUAUCUCAUUGUGUUUCGAGAAUCUAGCACAUGUGUGAUUGAUCUUGUUAGUUGAGUGUUUCCUCUUGUAUUUCCCCUUGUUUUCCCUCGUUUCCCCCUCGUGUUCUUCGUAUUCUUCAUAGGAUCCCCUCCAAACGUGAAUGAUCGGGAUGCUAGGGUUCUACCCUACAUCAUCUUGGUAUCAUGAGCCACGUCGAUUGAGGGAGUCCUGGAUUAGGGGGUGUCUAGACAGCCGGACUAUCAUCGUCAGCCGGACUCCAAGACUAUGAAGAUACAAGAUUGAAGACUUCGUCCCGUGUCCGGAUGGGACUUUCCUUGGCGUGGAAGGCAAGCUUGGCGAUACGGAUAUGUAGAUCUCCUACCAUUGUAACUGACUCUAUGUAACCCUAGCCCUCUCCGGUGUCUAUAUAAACUGGAUGGCUUUAGUCCGUAGGACACAAUAACCAUUACAAAAAUCAUACCAUAGGCUAGCUUCUAGGGUUUAGCCUCCUUGAUCUCGUGGUAGAUCUACUCUUGUAAUACCCACAUUAUCAAUAUCAAUCAAGCAGGACAUAGGGUUUUACCUCCAUCAAGAGGGCCCGAACCUGGGUAAAACAUCGUGUCCCCUGUCUCCUGUUACCAUCCGCCUAGACGCACAGUUCGGGACCCCCUACCCGAGAUCCGCCGGUUUUGACACCGACAUUGGUGCUUCCAUUGAGAGUUCCUCUCUGCCGUCACCGAUAGGCUUGAUGGCUUCUUCAAUCAACAACAACGCAGUCCCGGGUGAGACUUUUCUCCCCGGACAGAUCUUCGUAUUCGGCGGCUUCGCACUGCGGGCCAAUUCACUUGGCCAUCUGGAGCAGAUCGAAAGCUACGCCCCUGGCCGUCAGGUCAGGUUUGGAAGCCUAAACUUCAUGGCCGAUAUCCGCGGAGACUUGAUCUUCGAUGGAUCCGAGCCGCAGCCGAGCAUGCCGCACUGUCACGAUGGGCAUGAUCUAACUCUGCCGCCGGACAGUACCUUGGAGGACGCACACGAAUCCGCUCCGACCCAUAGUCCGGAGCCGAUCACGCAGAUCAAGGACGGGUGGCUGGACACCGCCUCGGGAGCUGCAACUUCCACCGCGAUGGAGCCGGACACUGACCUCGUCCCUUAUAAAGCUCGUGACUCCGAAGUGCCGGACUCCCUGCCGGACUCCGAACCUCCUGCGCCCCUGCCAAUCAAAUCUGAUUGGGCGCCGAUCAUGGAGUUCACCGCUGCGGACAUCUUUCAGUACUCACCCUUUGGCGACAUCCUAAAAUCGCUAAAGCAUCUCUCGCUAUCCGGAGAGCCCUGGCCGGACUACGGCCAGGAUGGUUGGGAUGCGGACGACGAAGAAAUUCAAAGCCCACCCACCACCCACUUUGUAGCCACUGUCGACGAUCUAACCAACGUGCUAGACUACGACUCCGAAGACAUCGACGGUAUGGAUGACGAUGCCGGAGACGAUCAAGAACCAGCGCCUAUAGGGCACUGGAAGACCACCUCGUCACACGACAUAUACAUGGUGGACACCCCAAAAGAUGGGGACGGCGAAGAAGUAGUGGAGGCAGAUUCCUUAAAGAAACAGCCCAAGUGCCGACGUCAGCGGCGCCGCUCUAAAUCCCGCCAUAGCAAGAAUGGAGAUUCCGGCACAGGAGAUAACAACACCCCAGAAAGUGCCGAAAUCAACCCCCUCCAGCAAGAUUCAGCGCAGGAGGAUGCAGAAGCAAGCCCUCACGAGAGAGCGGCAGACGAAGAGGUCGAGGAUUAUAAUUACAUACCUCCCUCCGGAGACGAGGCAAGCCUCGACGACGACGAAUUCGUCGUGCCUGAGGAUCCCGUCGAACAAGAGCGUUUCAGACGCAGGCUAAUGGCCACAGCAAAUAGCCUGAAGAAAAAGCAGCAGCAGCUUCAAGCUGAUCAAGACCUGCUGGCCGACAGAUGGACCGAGGUCCUCGCGGCCGAAGAGUAUGAACUCGAACGCCCCUCCAAAAGCUACCCAAAACGCAAGUUGCUCCCCCGACUAGAGGAGGAAGCAUACAAACCUUCAUCACCAGUGCACAAUACGGCAGACCGACCACCUCGUGGCCGCGACAGAGAGGCAUCUAAGCCCUCCACCAAAACCGUACCCCGGCACCGCUCAAAAAGUACGAAGCCACGAGGGAACGCGCCGGACUUGCGGGAUAUAUUGGAGGACAAGGCAAGACAAUCCAGAUCUAUCUAUGGAUCACGUGGGCGCCCCAAGACCCAUGACGAAUACCGUCGCACCGGAUACAACAACUCCGGCUGGGCCGAACACAGCAGACAACGCUCUCUUGAGCUACGUCGUGAUAUUGCUCAAUACAGAGGCGCCGCACACCCACUAUGCUUCACUGACGAAGUAAUGGAUCAUCAAAUCCCCGAAGGGUUUAAACCCGUUAACAUCGAAUCCUACGAUGGCACAACAGACCCCGCGGUUUGGAUCGAGGAUUAUCUCCUUCAUAUCCAUAUGGCCCGCGGCGACGAUCUUCACGCUAUCAAAUAUCUCCUGCUCAAGCUUAAAGGACCAGCUCGGCAUUGGCUCAACAGCCUGCCCGCAGAGUCAAUUGGGUGUUGGGAGGACCUGGAAGCCGCAUUCCUCGACAACUUCCAGGGCACAUAUGUGCGACCACCAGACGCAGAUGACCUAAGCCACAUAAUCCAGCAGCCAGACGAAUCGGCCAGACGAUUCUGGACACGGUUCUUAACAAAGAAAAAUCAAAUCAUCGACUGUCCGGAUACAGAGGCCCUCGCAGCCUUCAAACAUAACAUCCGCGACGAGUGGCUGGCCCGGCACCUAGGACAGGAAGAGCCGAAAUCCAUGGUAGCCCUCACAUCACUCAUGACCCGCUUCUGUGCGGGAGAGGAUAGCUGGCUAGCUCGCAGCAACAACCUCAGUAAAAAUGAUGGCAGUCCGGAUACCAAGGACCGCAAUGGCAGGUCGCGUCGAAACAAAAACAAACGCCGCAUUAACGGCGACAGCAAUGAGGAUACGGCAGUCAACGCCGGAUUCCGAGACUCUAAACCCGGUCAAAGGAAGAAGCCAUUUAAAAGAACAACUCCGGGCCCGUCCAAUUUGGACCGAAUACUCGAGCGCUCUUGCCAAAUACAUGGCACCCCCGAAAAGCCAGCUAACCACACCAACAGAGAUUGUUGGGUAUUCAAGCAGGCAGGCAAAUUAAUUGCCGAAAACAAUGACAAGGGGCUACACAGCGAUGACGAGGAAGAGACCCGGCCGCCGAACAAUAGAGGACAGAAGGGCUUCCCCCAGAAGUGCGGACGGUAAACAUGAUAUACGCAACGCAUAUACCCAAGAGGGAGCGGAAGCGUGCACUAAGGGACGUAUAUGCGAUGGAGCCAGUUGCCCCAAAGUUCAACCCAUGGUCCUCUUGCCCGAUCACUUUCGAUCGAAGAGACCAUCUGACCAGUAUCCGCCAUGGCGGAUUCGCCGCAUUGGUUUUAGACCCAAUCGUCGAUGGAUUUCACCUCACGAGAGUCCCGAUGGACGGCAGCAGUAGCCUGAACCUGCUUUAUCAGGAUACAGUGCGCAAGAUGGGCAUAGACCCUUCAAGGAUUAAACCUACAAAGACGACCUUCAAAGGCGUCAUACCAGGUGUUGAGGCCAAUUGUACAGGCUCAGUCACACUGGAAGUGGUCUUCGGAUCCCCGGAUAAUUUCCGAAGCGAGGAGUUAAUUUUCGACAUAGUCCCGUUCCGCAGUGGCUAUCACGCUCUGCUCGGACGAACCGCGUUCGCAAAGUUCAAAGCGGUGCCGCAUUAUGCAUACCUCAAGCUCAAGAUGCCAGGCCCUCGUGGAGUCAUCAUGGUCAAUGGAAAUACGAAACGCUCCCUCCGAACGGAGGAACAUACAGUGGCUCUCGCGGCAGAAGAACAGAGCAGCCUUCUAAGGCAAUUUUCGAGCCCGGCCGUUAAACGACCGGACACGGCCAAACGCGCCCGGAGCAACAUCAACCAAGACCACCUGGCACGUUCCGAGCACGCGUAGCAAUGCGUCCCCAACCCCAACCCUCGCAUGAUUGCAAGACAAACUCUCCGCGUACAUCAUUAUGCUCUGGAGAUACCAUGGGCAUAGGGGGAGGGGCACGACCACAACAGACCCAGAGUGCGGUUCGACCACACCAGGGGCUCCCAAGUGGGUUGCUCUUUUUAUUUUUUAUUUUUCUUCUUUUUAUACACAGGAGUCUGUCCGGCGGCGAACCUGCCGAACUCCUGAUGCAACAGCCAGGGAGGGACAAAGGCUGCGACGAACACUCAGGUGGUCUCCAUUACGAGCAUUAAAUUUGUUAAAUACACCAUUCCGCAGCCUACCCCUGGAGGGAGACACCUUUAAUUAGUCCAAUCCCUUGCUUACCGCACUAUUUGUAUCAUUCCGCACUCAUAGCAGAAUUUCUUGAAUAAAUAAUGCAGCACUUUUUGCAUAUAAUUGCAUUACUUUACAUAUAUGUUCAUUUAUGACAUCUUGCACCCGUAUAUUUUGGUACGGCCGAAUACACCAGGGGCUUAUGUUCCCCGCAUUAUGGUAUGAUAAGUCCGAACACUUUCACAAGUGCGGCACCCCGAACUUAUAGCAUUAUAUGAAUCGGCUCUGAAUCAUGACUUGGGUCAAUAGUUGGGUUUGCCCGGCUCCCACGUUUUGGUACCUUACGUUCCGUUCUGUCGGCUAAGGUGGCACUGGGAGAACCACUGCGAUUGCGCCCCGGUUGAGCCGGGUUAACGCCUCAGUGGAGAAAGCUAAAACUGACUGUCAUGAUAAGGCGAGAGACUGGUCGCUGUUCGAGAGGUCUUUUCGAGUCCCUAAAGACUUAUGCCGCUUCGAGCGAAGAACCGGAUAAUGUCCGGCCAAGGCGUGGAUAGCGCCCCGAACUCGGUCUUCUGAAUACUAGGGGCUUCGCCGAAAUUUAAAAUUAUAGAAUUCUAUGGCUAAGUGAGAGUGUUCAAGCAUUAUAAGUCCGGUUGCCUUGUUCGUUGUGUUGAGCGCCUCCCUAGAUGGACCCAAAAAUGGGAACAAGAGUGCUCAAGUUUAUCCCGAACACCCCAGCACUCGUGGCAUGGGGGCUGAAGCCAACGACUUGCCAUCUCUCAGAUAUAAUAAACGCCCGCACAGAAGGUAAUAUUUUAAAUCAAUAAGCGUUGCUUAGCGCAUAUGAACAAAGUUUUCAGCGCACAGGAUAACACAUUGCGAAUUUACUCAAUAAUUACAUCUCUGGGGCACUCAUCCGCAAUCUUGCAGGCACCCUUCAGGAUAGUCUUAUAGUACAUCUCGGGCGUACGAUACUCCUUGCCCGUUGGCUGCGCGUCAGUGAUAAGCCUCUCCGCAUCCAGCUUGCCCCAAUGCACCUUUGCGCGGGCAAGGGCCCGACGAGCACCUUCAAUACAGGCGGAGCGCUUGAUGACCUCCACCCAGGGGCACACAUCCACCAGCCGCCGCACGAGGCCGAAGUAGCUCCCAGGCAUGGCCUCUCUAGGCCACAGCCGGACUAUGAGGCCCUUCAUGGCCUGCUCGGCUACCUUGUGGAGCUCGACCAGCUGCUUCAGCUGGUCGCUAGGGGGCACCGGAUGGCUGGCCUCAGCGUACUGAGAGCAGAAGACCUUCUCCGUUGAGCUCCCCUCCUCGGCUCGGUAGAAUGCGACGGCAUCAGACACGCUGCAAGGCAGGUCUGCAAACGCCCCUGGAGAGCUCCGAAUUCGGGUAAGUAACAGGUAAUUUACAUUCACAUGCUUGCUAUGCAUGAAAAAUGCCUUACCCGCCGCUAUCUUUUUCACCUCCUCAAUCUCCUGGAGGGACUUAUGGGCCUCGGCCUUGGCGGCUUUGGCACUUUCGAGAGCCGAGGCAAGCUUGGACUCUAGAGUCUUUGAGUCACGCUCCAAACUCUCAUGUUUUUCCAUGAGAGCCUGGAGCUCUUGCCGCACCUCCACCACCCGUGCCUCCUGCUUCUCUCGCUCUGCUCGUUCCGCGGCUGCAUUGCUUUCGGCCGCGGACACAGCCUCCUUCAGGGUUGCCACCUCAUUCGUGGCCCCUGCAGUACCCAUGUUAUCCUUGUUAUUUUUAUCGCAACCUAAAUCCUUUUCUGUAAGGUAAAAAUUCAAAGUGGUGUUACUCACCUUCUUUGUCCUCAAGCUGCUUCUUGGCACGGCCGAGCUCUUGCUCGGACCGCUCGAGCUCCUGCUUUAAAGCACCGACCUCCGCAGUCAGUGCGGCAGAGGUCAGCAGCGCAGCCUGCAAACCCAUAUUGACAUAAUUUUUAGCAACCCUGCGUAUAUCUUUUUUAGAUCCUCAGUCCGGCUUUUCUUUCCGAACACCGAACCAAGCAUCAGGGGCUACUGUCUAUGUGGUAUUACAUUGCAUAUUUUUAACUUCUUACCUCAAAGCCUCAUAGAAGGCUACUGCAGGCUUCGGUCAGCCCGCUCUUGGCGAGCUGAACCUUCUGAAUCACCGCACUCAUAAUAGUGUGGUGUUCUUCCUCGAUGGAAGCGCCUUUGAGCGCCUCCAACAAGUUGUCCGGCGCCUCCGUUUGAACGGAGGCCGCUGGCUUCACGGUCUUGCCCUUCUUGUGAAGGGGCCGCCGGCCGGACUCCGGAACCACUGCGGGUUCCAACGUGGAGUCCAGCGCAAAGUCUGGGAGGCUGCCUUGUGGUGCCUCCGGAGCCUCCUCCUGAUGGGUCCCUUCUUGGGAUCCCACCUCGGUGUCCUCAGCGUCGCGAGGGGUGGAGGCAGUCGGGAUGGAGUCUACAUCCGAUGGAGCCAACGACCCGCUCGAUGAAGCGGGGAGAUCAUCAUCGGCCGGACUACAAGCAGCGUGCGGCAUUAGAAGGACACUAUGUGACACAAAAGAGAAAUUAUAAAUUAUUCAGGAAUCCGGAUACUUACGAUCUUGCCGGAGGCCUGGCCCUUGAAGGCCACUCUUCGUCACCAACAUUGGCGUUGGCGGAGCUGUCCGGGGGAAUAGUCCUUCCCCUCUUGGACCCUUCGGCCUCCCCUGUUGGGGAAGCCUUACUCUUCCUCUCUCCUUCCUCUGGGAGAUAGUCCUCUUUCUCCCCCUCGUCUUCGGGGGAGGAGUCCGCCUCGGAGUCGUCGGACACCUGAAAACGGGAACUCUUUCGAGUACCCGUGGCCUCCUUCUUGGCCUUCUUCUCCGGCACCACAUGCGGUGCCGGAACCAGUAGCCCCGCUAGACGGGCGUCUACUGGGUUUUCUGGCAUAGGAGCCGGACAGAUGAUCUGCUCCGCCUUCCUCAUCCAGUCCUGUCAAAGGAAAAGGGAAAUUGAAACCCGCAUAGAGUCAAACUAUGAAUAGCAAGUGUCCCGUAAAGGGGUAGAAUCACUUACCUCGUCAACUGGACGCUGCGAGCGAAAUCCGCGAUCUUCAGUAGCGGAUGCGGGAGCUUCGGCGCCCUUGAAGAGAACUUUCCAGGCAUCUUCGUACCUAGUGUCGAAGAGCCUGUUCAAGGUCUGGUGCUGUGCCGGAUUGAACUCCCACAAUUUAAAUGCCCGUUCUUGGCACGGGAGAAUCCGGCGGAUGAGCAUGACCUGGACCAUGUUGACAAGCUUGAGCUUCUUGUUCACCAGCCUCUGGAUACAGGCUUGGAGUCCGGUCAGCUCCUCCGAAUCACCCCAGGUCAGGCCACUCUCCUUCCAAGAGGUGAGCCGCAUGGGGAUCCCGGAUCUAAAUUCGGGGGCCGCUACCCAUUUAGGGUCGCGCGGCUCGGUGAUGUAGAACCACCCCGAUUGUCAUCCCUUGAUGGUUUCCACGAAGGCACCCUCGAGCCAGACGACGUUGGGUAUCUUACCCAACAUGGCGCCUCCGCACUCCGCCUGAGUGCCCUUCACCACCUUCAGCUUGACAUUGAAGGUCUUGAGCCACAAGCCGAAGUGAAGCUGGAUGCAGAGGAAGGCCUCGCACACGACGAUAAACGCCGAGAUGUUGAGGAUGAAGUUUGGCGCCAGAUCGUGGAAAUCCAGGCCGUAAUAGUACAUGAGCCCCCAAACAAAGGGAUGCAAUGGGAAGCCCAGUCCGCGGAGGAAGUGGGGAAGGAAUACGACCCUCUCAUGGGGCCUGGGGGUGGGGAUGAGCUGCCCCUCGUCGGGCAGCCGGUGCGCGAUAUCGCCGAAUAGAUAUCCGGCGCUGCGCAAUCUUUCGAUGUGACCCUCCUAACGGAGGAGGUCAUCCACUUGCCUCCCGCUCCAGACAUGACUGGAGAAGGUUGAGACGAGAUGUACGGGCUUGGGUGCUGGAGCUCGAGUGCGCGGAGAUGGAUAAGCAAAGGAGGAAGAAUGCGUAGGUGAAAGGGUGGAUCCUUAUCCCCUUAUAUAUGGGCGGACGAAAACUAUGCGUCCCCACCGGCCUGGUAAAACUCGCUUAUCUCCCAAGCGCCACCAUCAAUGCCGCGGUUGGGUUACCCACGUCCGUAUUGAUGAGAAUCCCGGAAUAAGGGGAACACGAUCUCUGCUUCGACAAGACGUGCCAAGGAAACCGCUUUGCUAAACGCGCUGAGGUGGUAAAGUAAAAAACGAUUCAAGUAAGGGCUUGGUAGUGGUGUGACAUCAUGCCACAAAAAACGUCAACAGAUUGAACUUGUGUAUAUAUUAUUCUCUCUACGGUGGAAUGUGGAAUUUAUUUUGCAGAGCCGAACACUAUCAUGGUGUUCACAAUCUUCUAUGAAUUAUUCGGAGGAGGAACCCGCAUUGCAACGCCGAACAAUAUGCGCGCCGGACUCAUCGUCAUUGAAGCCUGGUUCAGGGGCUACUGAGGGAGUCCUGGACUAGGGGGUGUCCGGACAGCCGGACUAUCAUCGUCAGCCGGAUGGGACUUUCCUUGGCGUGGAAGGCAAGCUUGGCGAUACGGAUAUGUAGAUCUCCUACCAUUGUAACCGACUCUAUGUAACCCUAGCCCUCUCCGGUGUCUAUAUAAACCGGAUGGCUUUAGUCCGUAGGACACAAUAACCAUUACAACAAUCAUACCAUAGGCUAGCUUCUAGGGUUUAGCCUCCUUGAUCUCGUGGUAGAUCUACUCUUGUAAUACCCACAUUAUCAAUAUCAAUCAAGCAGGACGUAGGGUUUUACCUCCAUCAAGAGGGCCCGAACCUGGGUAAAACGUCGUGUCCCUUGUCUCUUGUUACCAUCCGCCUAGAUGCACAGUUUGGGACCCCCUACCUGAGAUCCGCCGGUUUUGACACCGACAUUGAUCACGUAUUUGGAGCCCCUACCCUGUGUUUUCUAGCUUGAUUUUGUUGUGUUCUUCCCCAAUUUCGAAAAUCCCCACCAAAAAUAGCCCCAAUUUUUUUGUGAUUUGUUGGUUUGAUGAUGUUUUGUUGAUUUUGAUCCAUGGAUUUGCUUGGUUUCGAGUGGAUCUAGCAUCUCCCCAAGUUUCCCCACUUUCCAUCCACGAAAUCUCAUCAAUUUCUACCCCAAAAUCUCCAUUUUCUGCCCAAAAUCACGUCCCAAAACUUGGAUCCCGAGUUGACCCAGACCCACCGGAUGUCUGACACUUUACCGGACGACCGGCCCGUCCGCAGCACCGGACGUCUGACCCUUACCGUACAUCUGACACCACCAAUCCAAUACCAAAACAUCGGAUUUCCGGCCAUUUCCGAACGUCCGUCCCGCGCUCCAGCCACCGGCCGUCCGAUCCUUAUCGGACGUCCGACCCCUGUGAAAACUGACUUUGGCUGAUUUUUGUUUCGGCCAUAACUAAUUCAUCUAAACUCUGAUUUUGAUGUUCUUUAGCUCGUUUUGAAGCUCUUGACAUCCCCCAUCCCACAACAAUACCACCAACAUCAUUUGACUCCAUCAAAGUUUUGUAAUUUUGGCAUCUUUGCCUAGGGCUUCCACCAAAUCAUCCGCUACACCACCAUCGACUUCUGCAACCUAACCCAUUUUGCUUGCCAUAGCAUUAGUGGUUGCUUGAGUUGUGAUUCGAGUCUCCUAAGGUGUUUUGGCUACUUAGGGACGGUUACUUCUUCAUCAACCACCACCACCAUUUCCGCAUAGGCUUGCCCACCAUACACUUCCACCAACCCAACUUAACUCAAUUUUGUUUGAGCUUGUUUGAGUUGUGGCUUGUGUCUCCUAGGGUGUUUCGGCUACUUAGGGACAACAACUUCAACUCCAACACAUGUAUAGCCCAUCUUUCCACUUCCGCAUUGCCGAGUGUAAACCACCCCCACUUUUCCGCUACCACCAUUUGACUUUUGUCCUUGAGAUUUUGAGUUGUGGUUUUUCCGUUUCCUAAGGUGUUUCGGCUAAUUAGGAAUGGGUCGACAUCGACAACACCGCCUCUCAUCAUCGACACGGACGAUAACCUCGACGACAUCAUUGUACAUUAUCCUUGCCAUUACAUUGUUAACCCCUAGCCCAUUUUGCGUCACUUGCCUAUCGAGACUAGCCAUUUGAGUAUUGCCGGCAACGUUACUUGUCACAUUAGUGAUCAUUGAUCUAUACCUUCCAUUGCAUACAUACCAUAUCAUAUUGGUAUCAUCUUGCUAUCAUAUCAUAUCUUGUGUCACAAAUUUGUUCCCGCAUAUAUACAAAUGCUAUCUUGGUUUGUGCAUUGUGCAAAAGUGACCAUACAAAAAAAGAAAAAAAAGAAUAAAGCUUUUAAGCAAAGAAAAAGAGAGAGCAAAGAAGCUUGUAAGCAAGUGCCAUAGCAUCAUACUACAUUGCAUAUAAGAUUGUCAUAUCCGAUCAUCUUGGAUCAUCUUGAGAGAAACACCGGGAGCCAUACAUACAUAGCAUACUUGGGAUAGAAAGUUUAUCCAUUUUGCAUCUUAUAGGUUGUGCACAAGCGUCAUAUCCGCCUAUCGAGCAAUCGUGCUAGUGUCUCUCUUGAGUUGUGAAACACGAGCGUUUUCCGUGGAUUCCACAUUUCGUGCUCAUUCCUUGGUUGCACGACCCCAUUUAUCUACCCGAGUGUGUGUUUCCAUGUAUCACCCAUAUUGCUAUCCGUCUACUUGUUGCACUUGCGAAUUUGUGAAUCUCUUUCAACAUUAUUGACUCUUGCCAACAUUUUCCAUCCAAUUUUUGUGCCACUAUCCUCACCGAGCUCCACCAUAAGCCUUACUUGUGUAGGUGUGAGAAAUCAACGAGAUCGGUACCAAUUGUGCUAUUUCCUUGUUACAUCAUUGAGUGAUCAUUGAUCCAUUUUCAACAUCGGUCAAGGUACAUUUGGUAUAGUUCUCUCCUUUCUUCCACUCAUCUUUGCUCGAGUUUUGUCAUGGAUAGGCAAGGAAUUUCAUCUCCGGUCUUCGACAACAAUCACGGUGCGAACAACUACAUCACCAAAGCGUCCAUCUUCGAUCUACAACGACAAAUGCAAGGCGCACAAUCAAGAUUGCGAGAGCGCAUCGAGAACAUCUCCAUCAACAUUUGUCACUCCGAAGCAAGGAAAAGGGACUACAUCGACAAGAAGCUUUCCGCACAAAAAUAGGAGCAAGAUGCAAGGAUGGAGAGAUUCAGGCCUUAAUCAAGUCUACUUCCCCUUUGUCAUCUUCGAGGCAGCGGCGACAAAGUCGAUCAUCUUUGGAGCGCCCAAGCAAUGCAAGCGCAAUUCGUCCACAUCCACAUCUCCAUGGCGACCACCAUCACGUUCUUGAUCCACAUCGUCAUGAAGGGCAAGUCACCUCCAAGCAUCAUGUGCACGACGACGACGAACGUCGUCUACUAUGAGGUCAAGCACGACAACGACAUCAUCAUCAUAAAUAUGCUCCACAAGCGCAAAUGUACAAGUCCCAACAAGCCCUACCUCACGCCAAGUCCAAGCUUCAUGAGCAAAAGAGAAGACUGCAAGACGAGCAGCACCAAGACGGAGCUACGGCUACCACCACCACUUCGGCAUCUUCGCCUUUGGAUGUACGGCAUCUUCGCCUACUUCCCACGAGUUCGCCUACAUCGACAUCUUCAACACCAAGGCGACCACCUAUGAGCGAGGGCGACACUUCCAUCUUCGGAAGCCCCUCAAGGAAGAUGGCCGAGCAUGGAAAAUUCCCUUCGGUCAUGGAGACGAGCUAUGAGGUGCCACAUCAUAUGGACCUCCAACACCAAGGCUGUGACAAGACGGUCGAGCAAGGGCCAUCCCCUUCGACCAUGGCGAUAGGAGUUGAGCAUGGAGACGUUUGCACCUACAUCUCUCCGACACCCACAUAUGUCGAGAUGCCCCAUUUGUCAUGUGAGGAGAGCCACCACCCCAUGAUUAAGACGAGUGACUCCACCACGUGUGACAUUGAGAGCAUUUCCUAUGAGAGGAUGAGUGUGACCACCACCAGCCCCACACAUGAGAGCAUGACACACAUCCUAUGUGAGGUUGAGCGCCAUUUGAGCGACUCCACCAACCAUAUGAGUGAGAGCAUUAUUGAGGGAGUGAGUGAGCCACAACACUUAGCGAGUGAGGUAGUUGACACGGCAUGUGAGGCCACUAUGAUUUCUAACGACUUAACCUCUACUCCUAGUGUGUUUUCUUCUUUGGUGCUAGGUCUCCUACAUGACGACAUGCCUAUCCUCGACGAGUCCAUCCCUCCAAUGGAGACGACAAUGGCCAUGGUGGACGAUGAUGCACCCCCCACUUGGUUCCAUCAAGAUGAAGUUGACCACGACUUGAUGUUUGACACCUCACCUACAACACAUGGGCGACGCUCCAAAGGUAACAUAGGUGAUGGUGCUUCUCUUGUCCCACUAGUGGACUCUCUUGACAUUUAUUGCUUGCAUGAUGUUGACCCACCUAUUCCCAUGCUUCAUGCUAGUGCGGACUCCUUCAUGUCAUGACUUACCUAUUUAUGAUGAAUAUGAUGAUGAGCAUGUUGAGUUUCCUAGUUGUGGUGCUAUGCUCCAUAGGAUAUCAUGUGAAAAUUCUUUUGGUCACAUCAUGUUUGACAAUCCAUUGAACUUGUCAUAUGCUAUGAGUGAGAUAUCCCAUAUUGCAUCAUUUCAAUCGCAUCAUUUCAAGCUCGACAUAGUAACUAUGCAUGCCCCAUUAAAAUAAAUCUCAUUUGCACUUAUGGCAUAGAUGACGAGAUGAUGGUCAUUGGCUUUUGUUUUUCAUGUGAUGAUAUUGCCAUGCUUCCUUUACAUGAUUUGUGCAAUUCAUCUACUAUGUCAUGCCAUGAUCUCAUAGAACCAAAUAUGCUUUGUUUUGGAUGUUGUCAAUAUUCUCCAUGUGAUGUUUCUACUUAUGCUCAUGAGGAGACCCCCAUAGUUUCCUCAUACAUAUUAGGAGAUUUUGAUGCAUUCCUGAUAACCCACAAGUAUAGGGGAUCGCAACAGCUUUCGAGGGUAAAGUAUUCAACCCAAAUUUAUUGAUUCGACACAAGGGGAGCCAAAGAAUAUUCUUGAGUAUUGGCAGUUGAGUUGUCAAUUCAACCACACCUGGAUAACUUAGUAUCUGCAUCAAAGUAUUUAUUAGCAAAAGUGGUAUGAUAAUAAAGGUAACGGUAGCAAAAGUAAUGUUUUUGGGUUUUGUAGUAGUUGUAACAGUAGCAACGGAAAAGUAAAUAAGCGAAGAACAAUAUGUGAAAAGCUCGUAGGCAAUGGAUCAGUGAUGGAUAAUUAUGUCGGAUGCGAUUCCUCAUGUAAUAGCUAUAACAUAGGGUGACACAGAACUAGCUCCAAUUCAUCAAUGUAAUGUAGGCAUGUAUUCCGUAAAUAGUCAUACGUGCUUAUGGAAAAGAACUUGCAUGGCAUCUUUUGUCCUACCCUCCCGUGGUAGCGGGGUCCUAGCGGAAACAAAGGGAUAUUAAGGUCUCCUUUUAAUAGAGAACCGGAACAAUGCAUUAGCACAUAGUGAAUACAUGAACUCCUCAAACUACGGUCAUCACCGAGAAGUAUCCCGAUUAUUGUCACUUCGGGGUUGUCGGAUCAUAACACAUAAUAGGUGUCUAUAGACUUGCAAGAUAGGAUCAAGAACACACAUAUAUUCAUGAAAACAUAAUAGGUUCAGAUCUGAAAUCAUGGCACUCGGGCCCUAGUGACAAGCAUUAAGCAUAGCAAAGUCAUAGCAACAUCAAUCUCAGAACAUAGUGGAUACUAGGGAUCAAACCCUAACAAAACUAACUUGAUUACAUGGUAAAUCCCAUCCAACCCAUCACCGUCCAGCAAGCCUACGAUGGAAUUACUCACGCACGGCAGUGAGCAUCAUGAAAUUGGUGAUGGAGGAUGGUUGAUGAUGAUGACGGCGACGAAUCCCCCUCUCCGGAGCCCCAAACGGACUCCAGAUCGGCCCUCCCGAGAGAGAUUAGGGCUUGGUGGCGGCUCCAUGUCGUAAAACGCGAUGAAACUUUCUCUCUGAUUUUUUUCUCCCCGAAGUGAAUACAUGGAGUUGGAGUUGAGGUUGGUGGAGGUCCAGGGGGCCCACUAGAUAGGGGGCGCGCCCCCCUGUCUCGUGGACAGGGUGUGGGCCCCCUGGUCUUGAUUCUUUCGCCAAUAUUUUUUAUAUUUUCUGAAAAGUGACUCCAUGUAUUUUCAGGACAUUCUGAGAACUUUUCUUUUCUACACAUAAAAUAACAUCAUGGCAGUUCUGCUGAAAACAGCGUCAGUCCGGGUUAGUUUCAUUCAAAUCAUGCAAGUUAGAGUCCAAAACAAGGGCAAAAGUGUUUGCAAAAGUAGAUACGUUGGAGACGUAUCAACUCCCCCAAGCUUAAACCUUUGCUUGUCCUCAAGCAAUUUAGUUGAUAAACUGAAAGUGAUAAAGAAAAACUUUUACAAACUCUGUUUGCUCUUGUUGUUGUAAACAUGCAAAGCCAUCAUUCAGGUUUCAGCAAAUAUCAUGAACUAACCACACUCACAAUAAAACUUAGGUCCCACAAUUACGCAUAUCAAUAGCAUAAUCAGCUAGUGAGCCAUAAUAAUAAAACUCGGAUGACAACACUUUCUCAAAACAAUCAUAACAUGAUAUAACAAAAUGGUAUCUCGCUAACCCUUUCUGAGACCGCAAAACAUAAAUGCAGAGAACCUUUAAAGAUCAAGGACUGACUAAACAUUGUAAUUCAUGGUAAAAGAGAUCCAGUCAAGUCAUACCCAAUAUAAACCAAUAGUAAUGAAUGCAAAUGACAGUGUGCUCUCCAGCGGGUGCUUUUUAAUAAGAAGGGUGAUGACUCAACAUAAAAGUAAAUAGAUAGGCCCUUCGCAGAGGGAAGCAGGGAUUUGUAGAGGUGCCAGAGCUCAGUUUUAAAAUAGAGAUUGAAUAACAAUUUGAGCGGCAUACUUUCGCUGUCAACACAACAACUAUGAGGUGGCUGUAUCUUCCAUACUACAUGCAUUAUAGGCAAUUCUCAAAGAGAAUGGUAAAGGUUUAUACUCCCCCAAUCCAACAACAAGCAUCAAUCCAUGGCUUGCUCGAAACAACGAGUGCCUCCAACUAACAACAGCCCUGGGAGAGUUUUGUUUAAUUAUUUUGAUUUGCUUUGAUCUUUUUGGAUCAUGGGACUGGGCAUCCCGGUUACCGGCCCUUUCUCGUGAAUGAGGAGCGGAGUCCACUCCUCUUGACAAUAACCCACCUAGCAUGGAAGAUAUAGGCAGCCCUAGUUGUAACAUGAGCUGCUCGAGCAUACAAAACAAAAUUUCAUUUGAAGGUUUGGAGUUGGGCACAUACAAAUUUACUUGGAACAGCAGGUAAAUACCGCAUAUAGGUAGGUAUAGUGGACUCAUAUGGAACAACUUUGGGGUUUAAGGAGUUGGAUGCACAAGCAGAAUUCCUGCUUAGUACAGGUGAAGGCUAGCAAAAGACUGGGAAGCGACCAACUGAGAGAGCGACAACAGUCAUAAACAUGCAUUAAAAUUAAUUCACACCGAACACAAGCAUGAGUAGGAUAUAAUCCACCAUGAACAUAAAUAUCAUGAAGGCUAUGUUGAUUUGUUUCAACUACAUGCGUGAACAUGUGCCAAGUCGAGUCACUCAAUUCAUUCAGAGGAUACCAUCCCAUCAUACCACAUCAUAAUCAUUCUAAUAGCAUGUUGGCACGCAAGGUAAACCAUUAUAACUCAUAGCUAAUCAAGCAUGGCACAAGCAACUAUAAUCUCUAAAUGUCAUUGCAAAUAUGUUUACUUCAUAAUAGGAUGAAUCAGAAAUGAUGAACUCAUCAUAUUUACAAAAACAAGAGAGGUCGAGUUCAUACCAGCUUUUCUCAUCUCAAUAAGUCCAUCAUAUAUCGUCAUUAUUGCCUUUCACUUGCACGACCGAACGAUGUGUAUAAUAAUAAGAGUGCACGUGCAUUGGACUAUGAUGGAAUCUGCAAGCAUUCAACUCAAAAGAGAAGACAAGGUAAUAUGGGCUCUAAGUAAAAUAAACAAUCAUGCAUAUGAGAGCCACUAAGCAUUUUCAAUAUGGUCUUCUUGACCCCCAAAGGAAAGAAAAUAAAAUAAAACUAUUUACAUGGGAAAGCUCCCAACAAGUAAAAGAAGAACGAGAAAUAUUUUUGGGUUUUCAUUUUAAUUUCUACUACAAGCAUGUAACUUAAACUAACUAUUUUUUUUGGUUUUCCUUAAGGUUUUCAAACACACAAGAAGAAAACUAGAAAAAGAAAUUUAAACUAGCAUGGAUAAUACAAUGAAAGAGUAUGAGCACCGACGACUAGUGUGUGAACAUGAAUGUAAAGUCGGUGAAAAAUACGUACUCCCCCAAGCUUAGGCUUUUGGCCUAAGUUGGUCUAGUACCAAGGACCGCCCGGCUGAUAUCCGUAAGUGAAAUUGGGGUCAUACUGAGAUGCAGCGGCAACCGCCUCCUGAGUUGCGGCGUGUUGGCGAGCUGCCUCCGCUCUCCCCUCGUGUUCAGCUACUUCCUCCCUGGUGACAACAUAUCUUCCUUUUGCCUGAUAAUCAAAAAGGUAGGGAGCACGAAGAGUAACAUGGACGACGUUGCGUUUGUCAUAGAUUAGUCGAUAUUGGAGGAAUUGUUCAUUCCUCCCAAGAAAUUGAUUAUUGACCAUAGCUUCAAAAUCCAAAUAAAUAGGAGGUAUUAUUAUAUCUCCCUCUCGUGGGGCUAUACCAAGAUAAUUAGCCACACGGGUUGCAUAAAUUCCUCCAAAUAAAUUUCCCUUUCUACUAUUAUUCUGCAACCUACGUGCAACUAUUGCCCCCAAGUUAUAACCUUUAUAACCUAACACAGCACUCUUGAGGACACACAGAUCAGGGACACACAUGUGGCAUGCUUCAUCUUUGCCGUUAAUGCAUAUACCAAUGAAGAGAGCAAAAUAAUGUAUAGCAGGAAAAUGAAUGCUCCCUAUGGUAGCUUGUGCUAUGUCCCUAGAUUCUCCCACAGUAAUACUAGCAAGGAAAUCUCUAAAUUCAGAUUUGUGAGGAUCAUUAAUAUUACCCCACUGCGGGAGUUUGCAAGCAGUUGUAAAAUCCUCUAAGUCCAUGGUAUAAGAUGUAUCAUAAAUAUCAAAUAUGACACUAGGAGAAUUACGCGUGCAGUUAUAUUUAAACCUCCGAACAAAGGAAUCAGUCAAUUGAUAGUACUGAGGACACUUAUCUUGUAAGAAGUCCUCCAACUCAGCAUUACGCACAUACGCGUCAAAAUUCCUCCUUGAAGCCUGCUUCGACCAUAAAAUUAUCGGAUGGCCACUCACAAGCUCGUACAUCCGCGUCCCUCGGCAAUUCAACAUCUUGCUCAUGUAUAGCAAUCCUGGGCCCUUUCUUCACCGAGGAACAACCUUGGUACAUUAUUCUAAGCAUAAUUCUUUUUCUGAAAUAUUUCUGAAAUUUUAGUAACUUCAAAACAAAAGUGAAUAAAACUAAACAAGAUUGAUAGCAACUACUCCUACAAUUGCCUAGAGCCUAUAUCAUGCAUUAGAAUUGCUUGGGACCUCAUAAAUUUAACAUGCAAGCUCGAGAACAUGGUCACCUAUGCAGCAAAAAUUUGCAAUGAAUAAAGCACUAGAACAAAAACUAAUUGGACCAAUGGAGGAGUCACAUACCAAGCAACAAUCUCCCAAAGAAGUUUUGUGAAUGGAGCUUUGAGCAAGGAGAUCGAAAAUCGCAGCAAAAUGAGCUAGAACUCGUGCUUGAGCUGGAUGGGGAUUUUUUUGGGUAGAAGAUGAAGUGUGUGGGUGCUGGCAUAAGUUGAUGGGGGCCACCAGGGGCCCACGAGACAAGGGGGCGCCUAGGUGGGGUGGGCGCCCUCCACUCUUGUGGCCUGGUGCUUGCCCCUCCUGCAGUGUUUUCAGUGCCUAAAAUCCUCAAAUAUUCCAUAAAAAAUCAUACUAAAUUUGCAGGGCAUUUGGAGCACUUUUAUUUUCGGGAUAUUUUUUAAUGCACGGAUAAUUCAAAAAACAGACAGAUAAUACUAUUUUUGCUUUAUUUAUUCUAAAUAACAGAAAGUAAAAAGUGGGCAUAGAAGGUUGUGCCUUCUAUUUUCAUCCAUCUCGUGAUCAUCAAAAUGAAUCCACUAACAAGGUUGAUCAAGUCUUGUUAACAAACUCAUUUCGAAUAACACGGAACCGGAGAAAUUUCGAAUAACACUAAGUUAUCUCAACGUGGAUAUGAAAAUCCCCAACAAUAAGAAUAUCAUACUUUUUCUUGACAGUACGGAGAGGAAAUUCAAAACCUCCAAUGAUGAUAGUUGGAACUUUUCCAAUAGAAUUGAUACUAUGAACUUGAGAUUGUUUCCUCGGAAAGUGUACCGUAUGCUCAUUACCAUUAACAUGAAAAGUGACAUUGCCUUUGUUGCAAUCAAUAACAGCCCCUGCAUUAUUAAGAAGAGGUCUACCAAGGAUAAUCGACAUACUAUCGUCCUCGGGAAUAUCAAGAAUAACAAAGUCCGUUAAGAUAGUGACAUUUGCAACCACAACAGGCACAUCCUCACAAAUACCGACAGGUAUAUCAAUUGAUUUAUCAGCCAUUUGCAAAGAUAUUUCAGUAGGUGUCAACUUAUUCAACUCAAGUCUACGAUAUAAAGAGAGAGGCAUAACACUAACACCGGCUCCGAGAUCACAUAAAGAUGUUCUAACAUAAUUCCUUUUAAUGGAGCAUGGUAUAGUUGGUACACCCGGAUCUCCAAGCUGCUUUGGUAUUCCACCCUUAAAAGUAUAAUUAGCAAGCAUGGUGGAAAUUUCAGCUUCCGGUAUCUUUCUUUUAUUUGUAAUGAUAUCCUUCAUAUACUUAGCAUAAGGAUUUACUUUGAUCAUAUCAGUUAAGCGCAUACGUAAGAAAAUAGGUCUAAUCAUUUUAGCAAAGCGCUCAAAAUCCUCAUCAUCCUUUGACUUGGAUGGUUUAGGAGGAAAGGGCAUAGGUUUCUGAACCCAUGGUUCUCUUUCUCUACCAUGCUUCCUAGAAACAAAAUCUCUCUUAUCAUAACGUUGAUUCUUUGAUUGUGGGUUAUCAAGAUCAACAGCAGGUUCAAUCUCUACAUCAUUGUUUUUGCUAGAUUGAGCAUCAACAUGAACAUUAUCUUUAACUUUAUCACUAGGUUCAUGUUCAUCACCCGAUUGUGUUUCAGCAUCAGAGAUAGAAAUAUCAUUGGGAUUCUUAGGUGUGUCUACAGUAGGUUCGCUAGAAGCAGGCAAAUUCCUAUCGUUCUUCUUUUUCUUCUUUUUAGAAGAACUAGGUGCCUCUAAAUUAUUUCUCUGAGAAUCUUGCUCGAUUCUCUUAGGGUGGCCUUCAGGAUACAAAGGUUCCUGAGUCAUUCUACCAGUUCUAGUAGCCACUCUAACAGCAAAGUCAUUUUUAUUAUUUAAUUCAUCAAGCAAAUCAUUUUGAGCUUUGAGUACUUGCUCAUCUUGAGUAGCAACCAUAGAAGUAUAUUUGCUAAUGAGUUUAAGUUCACCUUUAACUCUAGCCAUAUUAUCGCUCACGCGUCCUAUCUCGAAAGCAUUAUUCUUUAACUCUCUACCAACAUAAUCAUUAAAACUUUCCUGUCUAGCCAUAAAGUCAUCAAAUUCAUCUAAGCAUGGGCUAUGAAAGUUAGUAGAGGGGAUUUCAACUUUAUCAUAUCUAUAGAGAGAAUUUACCUUCACUGCCUGUGUCGGGUUAUCAAGACAAUGUGGUUCUUCAACAGGCGGUAUAUUAAGACCAUGUAUUUCUUCAAUAGGAGGUAAAUUCUUAACAUCUUCAGCUUUAAUACCUUUUUCUUUCAUUGAUUUCUUUGCCUCUUGCAUAUCUUCAGGACUGAGAAAUAAAACACCUCUCUUCUUAGGAGUGGGUUUAGGAACAGGCUCGGGAGUUGGCUUAAUUGGUCCAGGAAUUGCCUCAGGAAUUGGCUCAGGAAGAGUCCAAUUAUUUUCAUUAGUCAACAUAUUAUUCAGUAGUAAUUCAGCUUCGUCGACUGUUCUUUCCCUGAAAACACAACCAGCACAACUAUCCAAGUAGUCCUUGGAAGCGUCGGUUAGUCCAUUAUAAAAGAUAUCAAGUAUUUCAUUUUUCUUGAGAGGAUGAUCAUGAAAGCAUUAAGUAAUCGGAGAAGCCUCCCCCAAGCUUGUGGGACACUCUCUUCUUUGAUUUGCACAAAAUUAUAUAUUUCCCGCAAGGCAGCUUGUUUCUUAUGAGCAGGGAAAUAUUUAGCAGAGAAGUAAUAAAUCAUAUCCUGGGGACUACGCACACAACCAGGAGCAAGAGAAUUAUACCAAGUCUUAGCAUCGCCCUUUAAUGAAAACGGAAAUAUCUUAAGGAUAUAAAAAUAGCGAGACUUCUCAUCAUUAGUAAACAGGGUAGCUAUAUCAUUCAACUUGGUAAGAUGUGCCACAACAGUUUCAGAUUCAAGGCCAUAAAAAGGAUCAGAUUCAACUAAAGUAAUAAUCUCAGGAUCAACAGAGAAUUCAUAAUCCUUAUCAGUAACACAAAUAGGUGAAGUAGCAAAAGAAGCGUCAGGUUUCAUUCUAGCAUUAAGAGACUGCUGCUUCCAUUUAGCUAAUAAUUUCUUAAGAUCAUAUCUAUCAUUGCAAGCAAAGAUAGCUCUAGCAGCUUCUUCAUUCAUAACAUAACCCUCAGGAACAACAGGCAAUUCAUAAUCAUUGGGAGAAUUUUCGUCAUCACUAUCAUCAAUAAUAGCAUCUUCAAUAAUUUCAUUCCUCCUAACUCUAGCAAGUUGUUCAUCAAGAAAUUCACCUAAUGGCAAAGUAGUAUCACGCACAUAAGUAGUUUCGUCAUAAGUAUCAUGCAAAGCAGAAGUGGCAUCAUCAAUAACAUGCGACAUAUCAGAAUUCAUAGCAGUAACAGGUUUAGGUGUCGCAAGCUUACUAAUAACAUAAGGGGAAUCUAGUGUAGAGCUAGAUGGCAGUUCCUUACCUUCCCUCGUAGUUGAGGGAAAAAUCUUGGUUCUGUCAUCUUUCAAGUUCUUCAUAGUGAUCAACAGAUAUAAAUCCCAAGUGACUCAGAGAAUAGAUCUAUGUUCCCCGGCGACGGUGCCAUAAAUUAGUCUUGAUAACCCACAAGUGUAGGGGAUCGCAACAGCUUUCGAGGGUAAAGUAUUCAACCCAAAUUUAUUGAUUCGACACAAGGGGAGCCAAAGAAUAUUCUUGAGUAUUGGCAGUUGAGUUGUCAAUUCAACCACACCUGGAUAACUUAGUAUCCGCAGCAAAGUAUUUAGUAGCAAAAGUGGUAUGAUAAUAAAGGUAACGGUAGCAAAAGUAAUGUUUUUGGGUUUUGUAGUAGUUGUAACAGUAGCAACGGAAAAGUAAAUAAGCGAAGAACAAUAUGUGAAAAGCUCGUAGGCAAUGGAUCAGUGAUGGAUAAUUAUGUCGGAUGUGAUUCCUCAUGUAAUAGCUAUAACAUAGGGUGACACAGAACUAGCUCUAGUUCAUCAAUGUAAUGUAGGCAUGUAUUCCAUAAAUAGUCAUACGUGCUUAUGGAAAAGAACUUGCAUGACAUCUUUUGUCCUACCCUCCCGUGGCAGCGGGGUCCUAGCGGAAACUAAGAGAUAUUAAGGCCUCCUUUUAAUAGAGAACCAGAACAAAGCAUUAGCACAUAGUGAAUACAUGAACUCCUCAAACUACGGUCAUCACCGAGAAGUAUCCCGAUUAUUGUCACUUCGGGGUUGUCGGAUCAUAACACAUAAUAGGUGACUAUAGACUUGCAAGAUAGGAUCAAGAACACACAUAUAUUCAUGAAAACAUAAUAGGUUAAGAUCUAAAAUCAUGGCACUCGGGCCCUAGUGACAAGCAUUAAGCAUAGCAAAGUCAUAGUAACAUCAAUCUCAGAACAUAGUGGAUACUAGGGAUCAAACCCUACCAAAACUAACUUGAUUACAUGGUAAAUCUCAUCCAACCCAUCACCGUCCAGCAAGCCUACGAUGGAAUUACUCACGCACGGCGGUGAGCAUCAUGAAAUUGGUGAUGGAGGAUGGUUGAUGAUGACGAUGGCGACGAAUCUCCCUCUCCGGAGCCCCGAACGGACUCCAGAUCAGCCCUCCCGAGAGAGAUUAGGGCUUGGCGGCGGCUCCGUGUCGUAAAACGCGAUGAAACUUUCUCUCUGAUUUUUUUCUCCGCGAACGUGAAUAUAUGGAGUUGGAGUUGAGGUCGGUGGAGGUCCAGGGGGCCCACGAGAUAGGGGGGCGAGCCCAGGGGGAGGGGCGCGCCCCCCUAUCUCGUGGACAGGGUGUGGGGCCCCUGGUCUUGAUUCUUUCGCCAAUAUUUUUUAUAUUUUCUGAAAAGUGCCUCCGUGGAUUUUCAGGACAUUCCGAGAACUUUUCUUUUCUACACAUAAAACAACAUCAUGGCAGUUCUGAUGAAAACAACGUCAGUCUGGGUUAGUUUCAUUCAAAUCAUGCAAGUUAGAGUCCAAAACAAGGGCAAAAGUGUUUGGAAAAGUAGAUACAUUGGAGACCUAUCAAUUUCAUACUUUGCAUGAUUCCCAUAAUUUGCAUGCACCAUAUGCAUUCCAUGAAUAACAAUGCUCUAUAUAUAUCUCAUGAUGCAUUACAUCCUUUGAUUCUCCAUUAUGGCAUACAUAAUAACAAACCUCUCAUGAUGGAUGACAUGUUUCUAUAUCACGCAUAUCAUUUAUUUGAGCAUUGUAUAUUUUGUGCUAACCAACACAAGCAUGUGCGCAUCAUGAUGGAUGAUGUGUACAUAUACCACGCACACACAAUUUUCCCUUUGUCUUUGUUUUGUGUAGGUACUCACGUAUGCUCGUCAACAUCUCAAUCCCAAGAGUUGGCGAAACGAGCUCUUGAGAGCAACGACGACUUGGGAUCACAUGAACUAUCCUUACCCCUAUUCCCUUCGGGCAAGGACUACGCGCACCUCUUUACUUGUCUCUUGCACGACUAUGGGCUAUUUACCACUUGUCACCUUAUGCUCAUUUUACCGUGUUCACUUUGCAUGCUAUGCUUGCUUCUAUGCCUUUGCCAUGCAAUUGUGACCCUUGCUUGCAUCUACCCAUGAUUCACCAUUAUGCUACUUCUAUGUGUAUUUGCAUGCUUGGUGGAGACACUUGUAGCUAUUACCAUGAUUUCUUUGUGCCCCAUGCUAUUGAUGCUUGUUGUGUUGGGAGAGUCAUGAUGUCCCAUUGCUAUUUACAUAUGGCCUCUCGCCAAUACAUUGAUGAUAUUUUUCUCAUAUCUUGCUUUCAUGCUUGUGAUGUGUCAUGUGCAUUAUUCAUGCCCACUAUUUGCACACAUGACAUGCUUGCCAUGAUCCCCUCUAGUAUGUUGCAUCUUCACACUACUAGCUUGCUUGACUUGAUCUCUAUAUAUGAUUGAUUGCUAUGUUGCAUCACCCAUGUUCCACUCUUACUCGCUUUCUUGGGUUGAUGACAUAUAUGCUCAUGCCUCUCACAUGAUAUAUCUUGCUCAUUAUCACUUACCUCCAUUAGUUGCCUCUCUCAUAUCCACUUGUAUUGAGUGCAACCAUACUAUGCUUCUUCAUCUUGGAGACUUGGACACUUUACUUGUAAUGCAUGCUUGUUUUAUUGAGCCUCUUGUAUUUGGUUGUUCUUGCAUCAUACGCCUCCAUACUAUGAAAUGCUCCCUUGUCCUUUCUUAUUAUGAGCAUGAUGCAUACACUUGUUGGGUAUUUUACCACACGAAUGAUAGGUUUUGCACUUCUGCUAACCUCAUUUAUUUUGUUGAUUGUUUGUCAUGUUCUUUCGUUUUGAAGGAUCCACAAGGCGGUACCGUCAUGCGACAACUUGGUCAUGCGAAGGCAUACACGAUGCGCGACACCAACAUAUUCGACAUCAUUCAUGAGGUGAACUCCUUCCCUUUGAGCCAUCCUCAAGUACGCAUAUUGGAUGGGUCACUCUUUCAUUGUUGUUUCCUUCUUGUUGUCUACAUGAUACAUCUCGCGAACGGAGGAGCGACAUUGGAGAUUGGCUCUAUGGACCUUCACAUUGAGGAGCGCUCGCACUUAUUGGAUGCACCUUCGGAACUCCACUCAUGCCACGCCAUCGAGCAUUGGUACACUAACACCUCCAUAUUUGUUGAUUGUGCUCACACAUGUCAUGCUCGAUGGACAUAUCAUACUCACCACAAGUAUGCACCCUGUGCAUGGAUUGACUCACAUUAUGAUUGCCUUGUUGCACCUUGUAUUCCCAUGUCAUCCAUGAUAUAUGAGCUUGUGCAUUUCCUUAGCAAAUUUGUUUGAUCUACCUUGAUGGCAUAUUCAUGCAUCAUGAUCAUCUUGUCUACCAUCAAUUGCAUGAUAACAUACACAUAUAGAGCAUCCAUUGCCAUAUUCAUGCAAUUGAUAAACCGUCUCACUAUGACAUCAUUUUGCACCAUGGUUGCUUUGAUCAUAUUCACAACACAUUUGUGUGCAGAAUGAUUGCAUUUACUCCCAUGAAAGCUUUGCAUACCUUUCUAGAUCAUCUUGAUAAGCUUCAUGCGCUUUGUCACAAACAAUCUUGGCGAACAGAAUCAUUCUUACAUGAUGGACACUUUGUGUGCGCUAACCAUUGUAUUUCCGAGUGUCACUUGUGUUUGCUCAUUUUGCAUGUACCACAUACCGGAGACACCUUGGAGUAUUUGGAUUACGCCAUGCCUUCAACUCCGUCCAACUACAAGUCCGUCCACGACAACCGUUUCCAUGGUGAUGAGGAUCAUGAUCCGAGGUCGGAUCUUUCCCAAGGAGGGAGGGGGGAGAUGAUGCGGAGCAUCCCACGUUCGUCCCCAUGUACACUCCAACUACUCUAUAAGUCCCAAGAGGACAUAUGACGAGACCUCGAACAUACGCCAUCGGACACAAGGUGAACUUGCUCCUCUCUGAAUCGUCACUUUCCACAUGUGAGACAUGGCUAGUACCUCAAACAUAUGUGCUAUGCAUGACCAGGAACCAAGAGGAAGGCCAUGGAACAGCUACGAGCAUUGGACAAGACGGCGAGGACACCAAGCGCGAGGAACAAGAGGAAGAGCUGCCAUGAAGCUACAGCUCUCGGACAUCCGAUGACCUCCGGACGACCGACAAUCUCCGGACGUCCGACGCCUGGAGACUCCACCAGCUAGAUCGACUCCAGCCGAGGCAACCUACAGUGCUCGGACAACCGCCCGACACCGGACGUCCGACACUCAUCAGCGCCCGGACGACUGACGCUGACCGGACAUCCGACACUACCGGCUCAGAGCCAAAACAUCGGAAGUCCGAAGACUUGCGGACGACCAGACGCCCGCGAGCGACCGGACGACCGACAGUCGCCGGACGUCCGACACCUGUCUGCGCACACAGAUCGGGCGUGAGGCCCAUGUAUCCCUCUCCCACUUACCCCUUCGUGGACCUAGACUAUAUAUACUCCUCCACCUCCUCCUAGUUAGGGUUAGCAUUGCGAUAGCUCAUUUUGUGAGAUAGAGCCUCGCUCAUCCAUCCGGAUCUGCUCCUCCAAGAGAGACCGUGCCUCUAUGGAGAAGAUCCACUUGGAUUCAAGACCCCUAACGGGAAGAACUCGAGACCUCCUCUCGGAGAAGAACCGGUUACCCUAUGUAUUGUCCCUUGUUGGAUUCGGAUCGUGUAUCUCAUUGUGUUUCGAGAAUCUAGCACAUGUGUGAUUGAUCUUGUUGGUUGACUGUUUCCUCUUGUGUUUCCCCUUGUUUCCCCCUUGUGUUCUUCGUAGGAUCCCCUCCAAACGUGAAAGAUCGGGCUGCUAGGGUUCUACCCUACAUCAGGAAGUCUACCUUGAAGACUUACCAGAGUGAUUGGGCGAGGACUGGGUGUCCUUAGCUCAAGGGGAAUAAGGUGAAGACAUGGUCUUCUGAGUUCAAUCUCAGCCUCCCUAACCAGACGUACGGUUGUCACAACAACUGGAACUGAUCUACCAAAUCCUUGUCUUCACCAAACAACCGGUUCUAUCCCAUACUCUCAUUACUCUUCAGUUUGUCUUCGUGAAGUCAUUGCUUGUCUGCCUGAUUCAUUUGACUUCACCGUGUGAAAUUUAUAUCUGUUUAGCUUCGUACUGUCUUCCAUCCUGAUCCUGUCUACCUAGCUGCAGUUAGUCUUUGUGCUUUCACUGUAUUGUAUGCUCGACUAAUCCUUGCCUAGUGUAGUUUUCAUUCCGCUGCUAACUAUAUAGGUUCAGUUUGCUUGUUUGUCUUUAAAGCAACUGUGUUUUGAAGACUCUCAUAAAAAUCGCNNNNNNNNNNNNNNNNNNNNNNNNNNNNNNNNNNNNNNNNNNNNNNNNNNNNNNNNNNNNNNNNNNNNNNNNNNNNNNNNNNNNNNNNNNNNNNNNNNNNNNNNNNNNNNNNNNNNNNNNNNNNNNNNNNNNNNNNNNNNNNNNNNNNNNNNNNNNNNNNNNNNNNNNNNNNNNNNNNNNNNNNNNNNNNNNNNNNNNNNNNNNNNNNNNNNNNNNNNNNNNNNNNNNNNNNNNNNNNNNNNNNNNNNNNNNNNNNNNNNNAUAACUAGCCCUUUCACUAAUUGAUCAUAAAACAAUGAUAUGUACAUUGGUAGGCAUUGAACAACCAUUUUGUAAGAAAAAUUAUGACAAACUUGACCGACCAUUCAUUCCCUGUGUGAAGAAAAUAAAUGUGAAAUAAUGCAGUCCAUUUGCAAAUAUACAUAUACUACAGUAGAAAUUUAUACAUACACAUACUGACAUUUUUUUAUACAUAUACUCACUCUGUCUCAAAAUAAGUGUCUCAAUUUUGUACUACACUAAGCUUGAAACACUUAUUUUGAGACCGAGGCGGUACAUGCUAGUACUCCGAACCUAGUAAAUUUCAGACAGUCAUAGUCACAGUGCUUGACAGUGCUCUAUCUCUGAAAAUACGGAGUACAGUCAUAGAUCUGUACUAUACUUGUAUCUGACUGUACUAAACAGUGCUCUAUCUCUGAAAUUAGCACGUCUAAGUAGGAAUGAAAAUGGAGCGGAAACGGACAGAACUGAGUUCUAUCAUAUUUGUUUUCACAUUUUUUUGCAGAAGCAGAAACGAAUACAGAAACCCCGAAAUGAAUACGGAAACAGAUACUACCGGAAACGGACACUGAGCGAAUACAAAGAGGAUACGGAAACAGAAAUAGGCAUUGAUCGGAACUUUAAAACCCCUUGAAUCAUAGAUAAAUACACACAAAAACAAACAAAUUUAAUGAGUUGUUAACAUGGCUACAAAAUAAUAUCAUUAUGUUAGCGACUUAGCGUAGUAUUGUAGUAGUACCGGACAAUUGCGUGUAAGCUGAGUACAUGUGUGGUAGUAGAAGUUGGGCCUUAGAUCCAUUCUAUUAAUUGUGUCUCUUUUUGGUGGUUGGGUUACAAAGCAGCUAUAGGUCUAUAGUAAAAACAGAAAUUUCAUACUCACGGAAACGGAAAGUUCCAUUUCCAUGCAUGUUUCACCGGAAAACACCGUUCCGUUUUAUUUCUGUUUCCGCAUAAAAAAUUCCAUUUCCACUUCCGUUUUGUAAAUUUGCGUUUUCGUUUUCAUAUUUCCUCUCCGUUUUCAUUCUUCCUCUGAAAAAACGGAAAGUUUCCACUUCAUUUUUAUCCCUAUGUCUAAGGCAUGAUGCCCUACACUUUGCCCAAAUUUGUGCUAUGAGCAAUGGCCGGAAAUUCGCGCUAGUACGCACACAGCAAGCACAGCCGGCUGGAGUAGAGCACGCACGCGGCUGGCCGGACAUGGACGCGCACAAGCACUACUCACACGCCAAGCAGAGCACGCACGCAGCUGGCUGGAUCAGAGCAGUAGCACGCACGCAGCCGGCGAGCUUGUACGGCGGCGAGCAGGCGAGGCGUCAGAACUAGGGCAGCGGCGUCGACUUUUUUUUUUUUUGAAGUGUUUACAUAUAUGAAUAUGCUCCUGUCUGUUCUUAUUAAGGUCGCGCUAUCUAUCGUCAUGUGCAGUCUUCAGAGUGAGUGGCUAGUUGCGGGCGCUCACAGUGCGAGAUCGCAAGAUUGAGUCCUGUAAAGCACUCUGGUUAGUGUAUUUUUUUUGUUUUUUCGUCGCUCGUUAUAGAAGACAAGUGGCUUUGUGUUGUUAAAAAAAUGUCAUUACAAAUAUUAAUUUUUUAUUAUCAUUACGAAAAUGAAAAACAAAGAAACAAAAAGAAAAAAAUAGAGCAGCGUGAGCGACUGCGCUGAUGGGCCAUUCACACUAAUGUCCAGACAUCCGGUCAACGAUCCUAGUAUUUGACUUGCCACGUCAGCAAAUACCAGCUAAAGGCCAAGAAGGUUUAAAAUAGAUCGGGAUCAGAAAAUUCGGUGUGUUGAUUUUCGGGUUACAAGUUUAGGGUUUGAUUUAGCUUUCGUCUACAAGUUCAACUUGUUAAAGUAUAUGGGAAGCGUAGAACCCUUUGUCUCGGGCCACAUGUAUAUAUUGGGCAAAGCCUUGGCAUACAAGUUACAUGGGAGAUCGAGAGAACGAUCACGAGAUCGACCAGGACAGUCGUUACAAGGAGAUAAGAAAGAGAAGAAGGGAUAGAGAAGAAGUACAUAAUUUAAACAAACUUCUAUCCCUAUACAACUCCUAUACGUCUAUUCCAACACCCCCCCCCCCCUCAAUCUAAACCUCAAGCUUUGCCAAGGUUAAGAUUGUACUUGAAUUCAUUUAACCUUCUCUCAGUAAGGGGCUUUGUAAACCCAUCUGCGAGUUGAUCUCCUGUGGGAAUAAACCGAAUCUCCAGAAGCUUUCGAGCUACUCUUUCUCUGACAAAAUGGAAAUCAACUUCAAUGUGUUUUGUUCGUGCAUGAAAAACAGGAUUUGCUGAGAGAUACGUUGCACCAAUAUUAUCACACCAUAAUCUCGCAGCCUGUGGAGUUUUGACUCCAAGUUCAUAGAGUAAUGUGUGUAUCCACAUCACUUCAGUUGUAGCAUUAGCCAGGGCCUUAUAUUCAGCCUCUGUGCUUGACCUAGAAACUGUGGCAUGUUUUCUUGCACUCCAUGAUACAAGAUUAGUUCCCAGAAACACAGCAAAACCACUUGUAGAUCUUCUAUCAUCAGCACAGCCUGCCCAGUCAGCAUCAGAGUAUGCAGUAACAAGCAUAGAAGAGGACUUGAUAAUGUUGAGGCCAAGACCUUCUGAGAACUUGAGAUACCUUAGAAUUCUUUUGAUUGCAGUCCAAUGAGUAGUUCUAGGUGCAUGUAAAUAUUGGCAUACCUUGUUUACUGAAUAAGAUAUAUCAGGACGAGUGAGUGUUAAGUACUGCAAGGCACCUACAACACUCUUAUAGUUUGUUGCAUCCUCUGGUCCAAGAACUUCUUCACUUUUCACUGUAAGCCUUUCUGAGGUAGAAAUUGGCGUGUUAACUGGCUUACAAUUUUCCAAUCCUACUCUCCUGAGAAUAUCAGUUGUAUAUUUUUCCUGUGAGAGAAGUAUGCCAUCUUUAACUUGCUUUACCUCUAUACCAAGGAAAUAGUGAAGAUCACCCAAGUCCUUAAGAGCAAAUUCCAGCUUAAGAUCUUUAAGCAAGCAAGUAGUGGCAUCUGAACUUGAACUAGCAACAAUUAUAUCAUCAACAUAAACAAGCACAAAGAUAGUGACAUUGCCUUUUAUUAAAGAAGAACAAUGAGGUAUCUGCCUUGGAUGGUAUGAAUCCAAGACGUUGCAACUGCAUACUUAUGGAAUACCAGGCUCUUGGGGUCUGCUUCAAACCAUACAAAGCUUUAUCCAACUUACAUACAUGUUGUGGUGUGCUGGGAUUCUCAUAACCUGGUGGUUGCCGCAUGAACACUUCUUCCUCAAGAACACCAUGAAGAAACAUGUUCUGAACAUCUAGCUGUCUUAGACUCCAUGCUCUCGAAACAGCAAUAGACAAGACAAGUCGAAUAGUAGUUGAGUUAAUAACAGGACUAAAGGUAUCUUCAUAAUCAAUUCUAAACCUUUGUUUAAAUCCUUUGGCAGCUAAUCUAGCCUUAUACCUGCCUAUGCUUCCAUCAGACUUCCUUUUUAUCUUAUACACCCAUUUGCAAUCAAUAACAUUGUCUCCAUACUUUGGUGGAACCAAGUUCCUAGUCUUAUUUUUCAUAAGUGCAUUAUAUUCAUUAUCCAUAGCUUCCUUCCAAUCCUUAUUAGCAAGAGCAUCAUGCAAAUGAAGUGGUUCAUCGGUGGUGGUAAGAAAGGCACGUUUGAUUUUGUCAUACCUUAUCGUACCAUCAUUGUACUGUUUUUCUUUGACAAUAUCUGACUGAGACCGUGUUUGCCGAAGAGAAGAUGUAGGCAGUACAGGAGCAGUUGCUGCCACAGAAGAUCCAGCCAUCACCUGAUCCGAGGUGGAUCCAUGCAGCGAACCAGCCGGCUCCGGCUCCUGGUCCAAGAUGGAUCCAUGCAGCGAAUCAGCCGCACGCCCGCGACCAGCCACUAUGGGGUCAGGCCUGCACCCUCGGUCGGGCGUUGUGGAGGCCCGCGCAGGCGACGCAUCCGAUUCGCCCCCCUCCGCACAUGGGCUGUCAGCGCGUGGGGACGUGGCGGGUGGAGACGCAGCGGGAUUGGCGCGAGGCGACGCUGCAGGACUGGUGGGCGCCACCCAGUCAGCGCGGUCGGCCACCAGGCCAGGUGAAGCCAGGUGCACAGGGGGAUCCACCUAGGGUCGUGUGCCACCAGAGACAGCAGGCUGGGCGGGCGAAUCUGCCUCGGAUCGCCCGCUGUCAGCCGAAUCAGCAGCAGUUUCCAUGCCCAUCUUGUCUGUUUCCUCACACAUAAAAUGACAGCGUGAAUUUGCACAAAUAUCAACAGAAUCAGAAUUUCCUUGGGAUUUUUGUACAUGAUCAAGUUCAUUUAAUUCCGCCUCAUGAUCAGGUAGUGUGGUAGGAUCAGAAAGGAGAGCAAUUUCUGCACGAAGCAAGGCUCCCGCAUUGGGGUGUAAUUUGGCAAACGGAAAGAGUGUCUCAUCAAAAAUAACAUCACGAGAAAUAUAGAUACGUCCGGUAGAAAUUUCAAGGCAUUUAUAACCUUUAUGAAGAUUACUAUAGCCAAGAAAUACACACUGAGUGGAUCUAAACUCAAGUUUAUGAUGAUUGUAGGGGCACAAAUUUGGAUAACAAGCACACCUAAAUAUUUUAAGAUAGUUGUAAUCAGGUUUUUGAUGAUAGAGACGCUCUAACGGAGUAGUGUUGCCAAUAACUUUGCUAGGGAGCCUAUUGAUAAGAUAAGUGGCAGUGAUAAAGGCUUCAUCCCAGUACUUGAGAGGCAUGGAAGCAUCAGCUAAAAGAGAAAGGCCAACUUCAACAAUGUGGCGAUGUUUGCGCUCAGCGGAGCCAUUCUGUUGAUGAGCAUGAGGGCAAGAUACAUGAUGGACUAUCCCAAUGCUACGGAAAAAAGAGUGGAGUUUCUCAUACUCCCCUCCCCAGUCACUUUGGACAGUAAGGAUUUUCCUAUCAAAUUGGCGCUGAACAAGUUUCUGAAAUUCUUGGAAAAUAGAGAAAACCUCAGAUUUAUAUCGAAGCAAAUAGAUCCAAGUGAACUUGCUAUAAUUAUCGAUAAAACUGACAUAAUAUUUUUUUUCUACCAAAAGAAUCUCGGGCAUGGCCCCAUACAUCACUGAAAAUAAGUUCUAACGGAGCAUGAGACACACUAGUUGACUUGGGAUAAGGAAGCUGAUGGCUCUUGGCACAUUGACAAGCUUCACAAACAAACUCACAAACUGGACUAGGAGACAAAGAAAGUUCGCCUUUAUUAACUAUAUUUUUGGCAAUAAUCGAAGAUGGAUGCCCUAAUCGUUGAUGCCACCGUGCCAAGGAGGGCUUGAUGACGGAGUAAACGUGACGACGCUUGUGACCUAGUGCUCCGGAUGGAAUGGGGUAGAGCCCUCCAACGCAUCUACCGUGAUGAAGUAGUUCCCUCAUUGCCCGAUCCUUGAUGAAAAAAUAACGAGGGUGAGUUUCAAAGAAGACAUUAUUGUCGGUGACUAAACGAGACAUGGAUGCAAGGUUCUUGUCAGCUUGAGGAACAUGAAGCACAUCUCUAAGAACAAGAUUAUGUUUGAGUGUAGGGGAAUUGAUAGAACCUUGACCGAUGUGACAAAUAUCCAUACCUCCACCGCUAGCGGUGUGAAUCUGGUCGGUGCCAUGGUAUCGCUCGCGAAGGGCGAGUUGCUCGAGCUCAUUUGUCACGUGAUCCGUAGCGCCAGAGUCCACGUACCAGACGCCGUCACCACCCUGUUCACGCAUUGCAGCAGCAACAUGGCGAUCCGAGGGCACAAAGUCCUCGUCGUAGCGAUGCCAGCAGUCGAUCACCUCGUGGCCAGACUUCCUGCAAAGCUGGCAGCGAGGGCGACCACGGGAAGGAGGGCGGCGGCUGUUGUUGUUGUUGAAGCCGCCGCCAUUGCCGCUGGUGUUGUAGCCGCCCCCGCCAUGGGAGCCAGAGCGGGCGCCAUCGCCUGGAGGAGCGCCGCGUCCGCGCCCACCGCCGCGUGCCCCUAGUGACCGCGCCCACGGCCGCGGCCACGAGAGGCUGAGUUGACGGAGGACUGCCGAAGGUCACCGCCAUGGAGGAGGGUGAGGCGGGCAUCAAAACUGAGCAGCUGGCUAUAGAGUUCUUGUACGGUGAUGGGUUCCACCCUGGCGGCAAGCGUAGAAACCACCGGGUUGUACUCCAUGUCCAAGCCAGCAAGGAUUUGGGAGACGAUCUCCGGAUCAAAGAGGGCCGCGGUCGUGCUUGCGACCUCAUCGGUGAGACUUUUGAUCUUACCAAGAUAAUCAGCCAUAGACAUGUUACCUUUCUUGAGGUUGGUGAGCUCGAUGCGAGUGUUUAUCGCUUGGGCUUGACUUUGAGCAGCAAACAUGGCGUGGAUGGUGUGCCACACCUCAGCCGGCGUCUGGAGCGUGGCGACCUGAGCAAGAAUCUCACGGGAAAACGAACCCAUUAAGUAUCCAUGAAGUUGUUGCUGCUGUGCAUACCAGAGGGAUCUUGCAAAGUUGAUGAUUUGUUCUUCUUUGCCGUCCUUGGUGAUGGUGAGGGUGGCCGGCGGUGGUGGGCUCUUCUCGUCGAGGUGGUGCUCCAUCUGCGCGCCUCUGAUCUGCGGGAGCACGAUGGCCUUCCAGAGCAGGAAGUUGCCCCUCGUAAGCUUCUCUUGUGGUGGCGAUCUGAGGGAGGUGGUGUUGUGGGUGGAGGUGGAAGAUGAUGCAAAGGUGGAGGAUGGGGUGGUGGAGAGCACACCCAUGGUGCUUGGCAUCAUGGCAGCAGCGGUGGUGGACAUGAUCUCGGUCGCCGAGGUAGCUAGAUGCAAUCUCUCUCGAUUGGAUGAGGAAGAGGCUUUGUUACCAUGUAAAAGUAUAUGGGAAGCAUAGAACCCUUUGUCUCGGACCGCAUGUAUAUAUUGGGCAAAGCCUUGGCAUACAAGUUACAGGGGAGAUCGAGAGAACGAUCAGGAGAUCGACCAGGACGGUCGUUACAAGGAGAUAAGAAAGAGAAGAAGGGAUAGAGAAGAAGUACAAAAUUUAAACAAACUUCUAUCCCUGUACAACUCCUAUACAUCUAUUCCAACACAACUUUGUUUUGGACUUUCUCCACAUGGAAACUUGGAAAGCAUGCAUGCUGUGUCGCUCGUAGCCUGGGCGCUUUCACCUGUAUGUGUGAUAUGACGAGUGCACCUGCGAAAUGCAAAGAAAUAUGACCAGAUCCAAUUCGCCCGUAUCAUAUGGCCUCCAAAUGCCACUGAAGCAGAAUCUGCAAAUACAUCACCGCGCAUGCGGUUACAGAUACAGUACUCUAUAUGGCAAGAAAGUAAUGAAUGGUAGGGGUGAAAGCCUGAACCCCAUCUGAUCAAACGAGCAAAUAAACGAGUGGAUAAACCCAUCUGAAAAUACAUUGGAUAAACGAGCCACUUCUUGCCAACCAACAACCCAGAUAUACAUAGAUCAAAAACACUGGAGUGAUUGUACAGCAUAUGACACAGCUUACACUCGACCAUAUGAACGAAUUAAUAUUUCUGACGGACUUCCUUUUUACAGAGAGAGAGGGAGAAGUAGAUACAAGCUCACCGACAGCAAACACCAAAUUGCAUGCAUAUGGCCUUAUGCAUGCCAAGGGUAGGAAACUAGGAAUGAACAAAAAUCAAAUUCCUACCCCCCUUAACCCAAAAGAAAAACUAUAGGGAGAACUCACCAAGAAGAAGCUUCCGGAUUUCUGACUUCUCCCUGAAAGCCAGCAGUCCGUUCAAUUGCAAUCCACCAAACUGAGCAAGCUAUGUUUUGUUCAGUUAGAGUAGUAGUUUAGGUUCAUGGGAAGCAACAGUUUUUAGCUGUUAACAAUGGGAUUCUCCCAUCGGGCACCAGCAGGAACUUCACAAGAUCGGCACUAGUAUCUCCUUCCGAGGAACACGCCGAUGACCACUGACAGCAAGGCGACGCCCAGGAUGAACUUGAAGGCCAUGAUGCCGGAGGGCUCCCGCAGUUGUUGCUGCGCCGGGUUCGGGGAGGCCAUGCUAGGAGCCUGAGAUAUGUCGCGCUGUUUGUUUUGCGGUGCUAACGAGUCCAGGCUGAAUUCUCGGGAUCUCGUUGACACCACUGCAUCCUUUGCCUGUAAAAAAGAUGAUGUUGUUAAUUGCUG
RNAcentral lists this long non-coding RNA (155764 nucleotides) under Triticum aestivum (bread wheat). Its description in RNAcentral is "long non-coding RNA (TAES_LNC022957)". The stretch from base 18030 to 18144 matches the Rfam family "MIR1120/MIR1122 microRNA precursor family". The record is from RNAcentral. Lineage: Eukaryota; Viridiplantae; Streptophyta; Magnoliopsida; Poales; Poaceae.